Molecule: long non-coding RNA, 137865 nt
Filed under: Solanum tuberosum (potato)
Lineage: Eukaryota; Viridiplantae; Streptophyta; Magnoliopsida; Solanales; Solanaceae
Description: long non-coding RNA (STUB_LNC005032)
Source: RNAcentral
UUUACUCCCUGAAACCUUUGUUUGUCCUAAAGAAACAUUCAGGCUUCGGCACAUGGAUAAAAAAUGAAAAUGAAAUCUCUCAUGUGUGAAUUUAUUAUAAAAAAUGCCACUCUUUUAUUCCAUUUUGUGUGCCAACUUACUAGUUUGCGAAUCCUUGUUUGAUCAUGGUUUUCCUACACAUGUUUUUAUUGUUUCCAAGUUUUAGUAUGUGUGAUUUAUUAAAGAAAGAUAAUAGACUUGGUGCUUGAAGUCGACUAAACAAAUGUUGUUUUGAUCAUCAUACUGAACAUUGGGGCAAGGGAGUGCUAUUGAAUCGAGAACUGUAUUCGAAGUUAUUCUUUAGAUUUUUAUACAACUUAUUCAUGUUUUCCAGGGAAGACAAGGGGAUUAUAUCAAUGGUUUGUUAUCGACAAGCAAGGAAGAUUUUCAACCUCCAAAAUUCCAGGGAAGUGUAAAAUCAAUCUUCCAAGCUCUUUUCACCUUCCUUCUCUGAGCUAAUACACUAAGGUGAGAGACUGCAAAGAGUUCUUAGAUUUAGGACGUUUCGUCUUGAGCUGCCUACUAAUUCUACUUUUUGCACUUGGAAGGAUCUCUCUUGAAACACAUAUUAGAGUCAUGGGAUCCUAUAUUUCGAUGACUUGUAAAGACGAGAAUUGUUUGCAAGGUCAUUAGAUUCAUUUACAUGUAUGUAUUGCAUUCUUUCGAAUGUGCUCUUGACAGACAAUUCUUGUAAAAACCAAAUACUAUUUUCCCUUCUACAUAUCAAUCAGCAAUUGUUCCAUAUGCUACUGCUCCAUACCAUACAAGGUCUGUGAAUAUCUUCAUAUUCAGGAUGAUUUGUUCACUUUGUUGCUUUAGUAUCCGUCUCACUUAACAAAUUCCGUUUAUGAGUGAGACCGAUACGUUGUAUUUUUGAAUAAUAUCUUGAUAUCAUCAGAUCAAUAGCGCACAGAAGAAUAUUGAACUCACAUCCUUAUUGCCUUCUGGCAUAUCCAGAAUUUUCUGGGCAGCUCUUUUAUAAGUGUCACUUCUACCUAUUUGUGUAUCUUACAACAAAAUUGAGAAUGCAAUGCAAAACGAAAAGCAAAACUAUAGCUAGAUGUGAUUACUAACUCUUUUCUCUAUUAGAUAUUUACGUUUUAUGUAUACACUGACAGUUUUAAAAAAGUUCACUAACAAUGCAAUUUAAUCAGCUAUAGCUAGUUAGUACUCCAUUUUCCAGGUUUCGAUUUCAACCUGCUAUGAAGAGUCACUUAUUAUUGUUAGAGGGGAAUUCAACUGAAGAAAUCACCACUAAAUGACAUUGGAAAUGGAUAGUUUUGAAGUUUUGUUCAUGAGGCAAGCGGGGUCAAAAGUUUUAAGACCAUCACCUCCAAUGUCAUUCUCUUUUAAUACUCUAUUAUUGCUUAAGGGAAUAGGAACAAAGUUGCAUCUUGAUGCCCUAAAAAAGGAGAUGCCUCCUUCACAGCAAAUUGAUGAAGUGAUACAAAACGUUAUAGGUGACAAAUGAGCAGGUUGAGCUGAAUUUGGAUGGAUCAAAUGAGUGGGUUAAAUCCAUCCAAAUGUCACUUAGGCAAAAAGGGGUGGUUGAAAUGGAUUGAGCUGUAAUUGGCUAAAACUGUGGAUCAUAAUCUCAACUCGCCAAACUUUCACUAAGUUUUAAUUUCUUUAUUUGUUCUUUUAUAAAUUUUCAAUACCUUGGAAAAAUAUUUUCCUUAUUAUGACUGUAUAUAAUAUACUAGUAAAAUUAUCCACACUUCGCGCGGGAAUUUAAUGUCAUGGAAUUUAUAAAAUAAAAACCUAUCGGGCAUUAAAACUAAAACACUAUAUUAUCUUACAUACAAGAUUACGUAGUAACAAACAUUAAUAAUAUGAAGGAAAAUGAAAAUUAUUAAAUCUUAUCAUUUAUCCUUAAUAACAUAAGCAUAAAUUAAUGAUUGUAAAAAUACAUACCAGGAUCUGUAACAUAAACAAUGGUGUCAGUGAGCCACUCAACAGGAGCAAAGUACACAAAUAUUUAAUUGUGAAGAAGAAGAGGUUCGAAAUUUCGUUAUUUUAAAUGAGAGGAAUCCCUCUAUUUAUAGACAACAAAGGGUAGUGUGAACAAAUGUUUAUUGUGACUUAUCAGAAAGGUUACAACUAUUUGAAAAAGUUGCAACCUUUCGAAAAGGUCACAACUUUUCAUAAAAGUCACAACUUUCAUAAAAAUCGCUACUCUUUAUUAAAGUCGCAACUUUUCAUAAAAGUCACAACUUCUCAUAAAAGUCACAAUUUUUCAUAAAAGUCGCUACUCUUCAUUAAAGUCGCAACUUUUUCAUAAAAGUCACAACUUUUCAUGAAAGGAGAAGGCAAGUGUUGGAAAUAAAUAAAUUAAUAGGGAAUUCUGGUUUGUGGUGGCGUCACGUAGGUGGGCCUAAGGUUCUCUUUUAUAUAUGAUAUAUGAUUAAAUAAAAUAAAAUGUACUUUUUUUGAAAUUAUUUGACUAAGUUUUUCAUGAGUCGAUUUAGGCUAAAUAUCAACCAAAACUUUGAUACGUUGAACUAAUAAAUGAACGAGUCCAUAAUUAAUUCAAACUUAAACGAGUUAUAAUUUUAUAAGCUAAUUUUACAAAAUACAUCUAAUAAUCUAACUUUGUGAAUAAAUCAAACCUCAAGUUGCAAGUGGAUUGUAACACUAGAUUAUUUUAUUAUUGGAUAGCCCACAUGGCUUGAUUUGCCAAAUUUUGUUAGUCAACAAAAUACUACAUUUUCCUAAUAUAAAAUGUCAAAUUUAGCUCAUUUUGUAUCCAACCCCUCCAAAUCUGGAAGGAUCAAAUUGAAAAUAUAUUCAUUGAUGGACCAAUAAUUGGAUUACCAAGAAUAGUUGUAGUUUUGACAUAAUUUCACUAUGUUUAUCUCACUAGAACAUAAAAAGUUUAGCUAACUCAGCUAUUGUUAAAUAUUUUUACGACAAUAAAUAUUGUUCAACUUGUAUUCCUAAGAUACUUAGAACAAAACUUUGAAGAACUUGGUAAGAAACAACAAAGUUAAAAGAGUAUUUUCAAACUAGAAAAUUAAAACUAGUAGAGAAAAAUAGAAUCAGAAACAGAUUAGAAACAAUAUAAAAAUAUUUUUUCUCAAAGAAAGAAAAUCGAGCCCACUGAAUGCACAGUGUCCCCUUAAGGAAAUUAUUUCCCUCAAGUACUCGAGGUUAAUGGAAUAUAUCCUCCCAGGAUAUAACGAUCUUCUCACCGGUGUAUCAGUACCUAAACCACAGUGUCAGCGAACCACUCAACGACAGUAAAGUACACUUAGAAUACUAGAUUUAGUAGUAGUAGAAGAAGUCCAGAAAAAUCCGUUCAACUAAAAUGAGAGGAAAUCCUCAAUUUAUAGAAAACAAAGGGUAGUGUGAAAAGGUUCUUAUAGUGCCUUACCGGAAAGGUCACAAACCUUUGGAAAAGUCACAACCUUUCGAAAAGGUCACAACCUUUCAUAAAAGUCACAACUUUUCAUAAAAGUUACAACUUUUCAUAAAUGUCACAACUUUUCAUAAAAGUCACAACUCUUCAUAAAAGUCGCAACUCUUCAUAAAGUCGCAACUCAUCAUUUUCCAUUCUCACCUUUUAAAACCCAACAAUCCCCCACAUGAAUGGGGAAUGACUCCAAGACAAAGAAACAAACAAGUAUGUAUACUUUGCAAGCAAGAAUUAAUUGCAUCUAGAUAAGUAGGUUUCAUUUUGAACUUUCCGCAGUGAACAUAUGCCAGAUAUACUCGGUCAAUCAGUAGAUUUGAUAUCUUUGAACUGUCAAGAUUUGGUGUAUACCUAGACAACCAUAUGUCACACAAUCAACCCUUUACCUUAUGGUUCUUACGGUUGUGUUCGUUUCAGCCAUGAACACCUCAUAGUUUCAUGAGUGUAUAGAGAGAUGGACUUUUGACAAUCAUCCUAUUUGAAGAGGCUUACACUUCCACUCACAUAGGUGAUUUCUAACCGUGUUUUCACGUAGAUACACUAUUUGGUCAAAUCUGUCAAACUUAGCAAAUCAUUAAAAACUUUAAGCUUUAUUAACUUAUUAAUAAGCCUUAAUGUUGUAUCCUUAUUCUUGAACAUUGUCUUCAUCAUGAGAAUGGAUUGAGUUGGUUGACAAUGCCGAACCGUCAGUCACAACUUUGUUUUUCUCCUUUGAACCUAGCUCUUGGGAUCUCCAGUCUGCUAGGUAGAGUUACCACCAUGAUGACUUUUCCUAAGCCGUAAACCCAUUCCCUUAGAUGAUCUUUCAACUUUCUCUCUAGUUAGGCCUUUUUUGUAAGUGGAUCCGACACAUUAUCCUUUGACUCUACAUAGUCAAUUGUGACAAUUUCCACUAGAGAGAAGUUUUUCUAACGGUAUUAUGUCUAUGUCUUAUAUGACGAGUCUUUUCGUUACACAUCAUGCUUCAUGCCCUACCUAUUGCAUCUUGACUAUCAAAAUGUAUGCAUACUGAUGCCAAAGGUUUGAACCAAAAAAAUGAUAUCUAUCAAGAAAUUCCGGAGUUUUUCAACUUAUUCAUCGGUCUUAUCUAGAGCACCUAGCUCAGAGAUCAUUGUAGAGCCAGCGAUACAUGCCUUUUUUUUUGGAAGAUUUCCAAAAGACUGCUCCUCCACCAAAAGUAAAUACAUAUCCACUCGUGAAUUUUACUUCAUUUGAUCCCGGUGAUCCAAUUUGCAUCACUAUAUCCUUUCAAUACUACUGGAUAUUGUUAUAAUGCAAGACAUAGUUUUGAGUAUGUUUUAAAUACCCCAAAACUCUUUUCAUUGCCAUCCAAUGAGUUUGAUUGAGAUUAUUCGUGAACCGACUCAGUUUAGUAAUAACACAUACUAUAUCUGAUCGCGUACACUUCUUGAUAUACAUCAUACUUCCCAAUACUCUAGCACAAUCCAAUUGUGAGUCACUUUCUCCUUCACUCAUUUGAAAUGCAAAUCUCACAUUUAUUGGAGUCUUGACAAUAUUGAAAUCCAAAUAUUUGAAUUAGUCAAGUACCUUUUCAAUGCAAUGAGACCAUGACAAUGCUAAACAUUAUGGAGUUCUAAGAAUUCUUAUACCUAAGAUCACAUCAGCAACUCCAAGAUCUUUCAUAUCAAACUCGCUUUCUAGCAUACGUUUAGUAGCAUUUAUGUCAUUAGUGUCUCUACUGAUGAUCAACAUGUCACAAAUAUACAAACAAAAAAUUACCUUGUAAUUUUAAUGUAAACACAUUUAUCACUUCCAUCAUUCUUAAAUCCAUUUACCAACAUAGUUUGGUAAAAUUUCUUAUGUCAUUGUUUGGGUGCUUGUUUUAGUCCAUAAAGUUGUCACGCCCCAAGCCUACACCCUGGACGUGGCCGGCACUCGGAGACCAUCGAUGGGCCCAAGCGGACCGUUGGCUUGGCUUACUUAACUCAACAGAAUACUUAACUCAACAGAAUAAACCCAAUGUAAUAGUUUAAUUGAUAACAUCUUAGCCAAAAUGGCAACUUAUGUCUCAAAACAAAGUAUCUGUAAAUACAUAGAUGAGAGACUCAAUACUAAUUGUCUGACUGUCUAUGAAGACUCUAUAAUACUGAGAUAGGUGUUGGGACAAACCCCACAACAUCCUAAUAAAGAAAAACUAGGAAAGCGAAAUAAAAGAGUCCUCGGGAUGCAAUGAGGCUCACCACUGACUCUGGAGUGCUCAACUGCAUCAACGGCGCGUUGGAUGCUGAUCCUGGUUACCUGCGUCUGCAUCAUAAUAAGAUGCAGGCCAACUGGCAUCAGUACAUUGAAUGUACGAGUAUGCGAGUUGAAAAGAUAAACAACAACUUAAGCUUGAAAAGAGUGAAGUGGAACACUUACCUUGGCUCUGUACAACUCAUGAACAACUGAACUCAAUAAAAAGCAAUAAGACACAUGCAAUAUAUAUAAAGCUUGUAAAACAGUGUAAACAACUUAGUUCGUUAAAGAUAAAGCAAUAACAAACUCAACUUUACUUAUAUAUAAAAGUAAUAUAACUUUAGUGGGAGAUUCUUUAACCGACAACCNNNNNNNNNNNNNNNNNNNNNNNNNNNNNNNNNNNNNNNNNNNNNNNNNNNNNNNNNNNNNNNNNNNNNNNNNNNNNNNNNNNNNNNNNNNNNNNNNNNNNNNNNNNNNNNNNNNNNNNNNNNNNNNNNNNNNNNNNNNNNNNNNNNNNNNNNNNNNNNNNNNNNNNNNNNNNNNNNNNNNNNNNNNNNNNNNNNNNNNNNNNNNNNNNNNNNNNNNNNNNNNNNNNNNNNNNNNNNNNNNNNNNNNNNNNNNNNNNNNNNNNNNNNNNNNNNNNNNNNNNNNNNNNNNNNNNNNNNNNNNNNNNNNNNNNNNNNNNNNNNNNNNNNNNNNNNNNNNNNNNNNNNNNNNNNNNNNNNNNNNNNNNNNNNNNNNNNNNNNNNNNNNNNNNNNNNNNNNNNNNNNNNNNNNNNNNNNNNNNNNNNNNNNNNNNNNNNNNNNNNNNNNNNNNNNNNNNNNNNNNNNNNNNNNNNNNNNNNNNNNNNNNNNNNNNNNNNNNNNNNNNNNNNNNNNNNNNNNNNNNNNNNNNNNNNNNNNNNNNNNNNNNNNNNNNNNNNNNNNNNNNNNNNNNNNNNNNNNNNNNNNNNNNNNNNNNNNNNNNNNNNNNNNNNNNNNNNNNNNNNNNNNNNNNNNGUGGGUCCGCGACGCGGAGGCAUAAUUAAAUUUUGGUUCUGAAAACAUCUUUUGAGGCAGAACACCUCGUGUCAGCUCAGCGACACGAAGUUGAAACUUCAAAUCUGGGCACUAGGCGUGCGACGCGCAGCCACCCUCUGAUUUCGUCCGAUGAAAUUUCUUCUUCGUUUUCCAGCCCCAAUUCACCCAAACUCGGUUCUUUUUUCUCAAAUUGCUUUUAGAUACAGAUACCCAGCAAAAGUACUUAAGAACCUAAUUAGAAACGACUCUAUAAUGCGACGUAACGAACUCAGAAACUUCCCAACUCAGUUAAAUUCAAGAAUAGGCAUCAAGAUCAUCAAUAUUCAAACACUUUUAGGACGAAUCCAAACUGAAAUAAUAUGCUUGGCACGUGGGAGAACAAUCCCAACAUUAUGAGAGCUUCACAUACCUGAUCGAAGUAAUUUCUUGGCGAAACAACGAUCAAACUAGAGCAAUCUUGGCGAAUCUUGCCUUUUUGUUCUUCUUCUUUCUCCUUAGCCCUAGCGUGAAAUCCAAAUUCUAAAAUUGACUAAAUUCUGAAUUGACCCAUAUUAAACUCCUAAAAUUGGAUUAAAAUAAUAGGGUAGUGAAAAGACUAAAAUACCCUUUAAAAUCCCGGUUUUGGAGAUUUCCUUAAUCCAACAGCCUAACUUCCAAAGGGCAUAACUUGCUCAUACGAACUCGGAAUCGGGUAAACUUGGCGGCGAUGGAAAGAUCAUUCCAAGGGAUUUAUAACCCUCUCUAGAAUUAUACCUAACUAAUCCUGAGCUAGGAGUUAUGGUCUUUUGAAGUAGACCAAAAACUCACUUUCUUAACUUAGACAAUUUUCCAGAUUUCCUUAUUCUUUCCAAAAAUCAUUAUUUUCAGAUUUUAAACUCUUUCUAGUUGUUUCUAGGUGCGAGAUGUUACAAAAGUGACUUAAAAAGUUCGCACACUUUAUUUUCUUUACCAGGAACCACAAUACCCUCGGGUUUUUCCAUGUAAAUUUCUUCCUCCGAUUCUCCAUUUAAGAAAGUUGUUUUCAUAUUCAUUUGAUGAAUUUGGAGGUCAUAUACCGCAACUAAUAAUAUUAACAUCCGAAUGUGUAACAUCUCGCAAAUCGAAAGAACUAGAAAGAGCUAGAAUUAGAAAUAGUGACUUCUUUUGGAAAUAAUAAAAAUCUGGAAAAUUGGUUAAGUUAAGUUUGAGUUUUGGUCAACUUCAAAUGGCCAUAACUCCUAGCUCAGAAUGCGUUAGGUGUGUUUCCAGAUAUCAUAGGAAAGAUCUUGGAAUAAUCUUUCCAACGCCGCCGAGUUUGUGCAUUUCCGAGUUCGUAUGAGUGAGUUAUGCCCAUUAGAAGUUGGGUUGUUCAAAUAAGGAAAGUUCAAUCCGGAUUUUAGAAGGGGAUUAUGGUCUUUUCACCAUCCAAUUAAUUAUUUUCGUUUUUGGUAAUUAAUUUGGGGUCUAAACUGAUUGGAUUCAGUUUACGCUUUUGAGAAACAAGUUAGGGUUUUGAGAGAAGAGAAAAGAAGAGGAGAAAAGAGGAGAAGGAGCAAGGAAUCGUCAAGUUCUUGAAGCUAGGCUCGUGGAUUUCGUCGAGGGGUGAUCCCUACGAGGUAGGUGAGUCUUUCAUAGCGUUGGGUUCGUUCACCCUAGCGCCAAUCAUGUUUAUUUCAGCGAAGUUUGUUCUAGAAAGUUGAAAGUUGAUGAAUCUUGAAUGGUGUUCUUGAAAUUGGCCUUUGUUCUUGAGUUAGGUUGAGAUUUAGGAGUUCCUUUGAGGUUAAAAUGUUGUUUCCUUGGGUUGUUUGAGUUAGAUUCUUGUGUAUACAUGCUGGGUAUCUGAAUCUAAAGAAAAAUUGAGAAGAAUAGUCGAGUUUGGGUGAAUUGGGACUGGAAAACAAAAGCAGGAAAAAGUCGGGCAAAUCUGGUGCCCAGGCCGUGUCGUGGACCUGCUCCUCAGUUUCAAAAAAUUCAUGCUCGCGUCACGGAGCGGUCACGGACCGUUCUGCCUUAAAAAGUAUUUUCACGACCAAAAUUUAAAUACCUCUCCGCAUAGCGAACCCACCCUCAGACAGUGAUUUCUUGAUCCUUUUCUCAUAUUUAGCUAUCAAAAAUCAUUCCUAAACAUCAAGAGAUCUUUCCUAUCACUAAGACAAUCCUUGAAUCCAUAAUUCAAUUCAAGGAAAGUUAAGAGUCAAGUUAAGAGAAGUUAAGAGUCAAGUCAAGAGAAGUUAAGAGUCAAGUCAAGAGAAGUCAAGAGUCAAGUUAAGAGAAGUUCAUAAAGUUUUCCGAAAGUCUAUUACAAAUGUUUUAACUUUGUUUUAAGACUUGAGUUUUGAGUUGAGUAAAGAGUAAAGUUUGAAGUGCAUUUCUUCAAAAGAGUAUAUCGGGACUAUGUAUUCCGAAAGAGUAAAUGUUUUCACAUUUAAAUAAAAAAGGAAACUGAGAUUUCCAAAAGAGCCUUUGAGCUAGUUUUCAGUAAAGAGUAAGAGUAAAGUUCAUUAUUCAAAGAUUAUACGGGAACUAAGUAUACCCAAGAGUUAAAAUGUUUUCACAUUUGAGCAAGAAGGGAAACUGAGAUUUCCAAAAGAGCUUUUAAGCUAAAUUUUUGAGUAAUUAUCUCAAACCAAAGAAAGAGUUUUGUUUUUACAAAUAUAUGAGCUACAGUAUAUUUUGGGAGUAGUAUUGAGCAUCGAUAUGGGGACGAGCUUGAGUUCAGAUAACUUACGUCUCCAUAAACCAUGUAGCCAUCAUGGGUAGUAAAUGAUCAUACUUUUUAGAUGACUCCUUAAGAUGCUUUUAGCAUAAGCUAGUGAAUCCACUAAGUUAAGUAGUUCUAUAUGACGGCAAAGUAUAUGACAGUUCUGGUAGCGUGGACAAGACGUUGUAUCACCACUUAGGCUCAUAGUGGUGGUUGUCGGUUAGAGAAUCUCCCACAUAAACUAUAUUACUUUAUUUUAUGAGUAAAAUUGAGUUUGUUAUUGCAUUUUCUUUAAUGAACUAAGUUGUUUCCACUGUUUUUUACAAGCUUUCUAUAUAUUGCAUAUGUUUUAUUACUUUAUAUUAAGUUAAGUUAUUCAGGAGUUGAGUAAAGCCAAGAUAAAUGUUUCUUUCAGAUUCUUUCAAGCUUAAGUUGUGUUUAGCAUUCCAACUCGCAUACUCGUACAUUCAAUGUAUUGAUGCCAGUUGGCCUGCAUCUUAUUAUGAUGCAGACGCAGGUAAUCAGGAUCAACAUCCAGUGUCUCGUUGAUCCAGUUGAGCACACAGAGUCCAUUGGUGAGCCUCCUAGCUUUUCAGAGGAUCCUUUUUAUUGAUUUCAUGUAUUUUAGUUCAUUAGGAUGUCGUGGGUCUUGUCUCGACGUCCAUUUCAGUUGUUUAGAGGCUUCAUAGACAGAGUCAGUGGUUUUAGUUCAUGAGUCUUUUCUUUUCCUUUUUGGUUAAAUUGAGACUUAAGUUGUCACUUUGUCAGUGAAUGUUAUUAUAAUACAUUCUAAGUUAUAUUUUGAGCAGUUCAGUUUAUUUAAAAGUAUUUUUCUUCAUGAGUUAAGUCUUCCGCUGAGUAAGUAAGCCAGGCCAAGGGUUUGCUUGGGGCCAGCAAUGGUUCUCGAGUGCCGGCCACGUCCAAGGUGUAGGCUCGGGGCGUGACAAAAUGGAUGUAAUUCUAGUUACUGAUGAGUAUAUAUCAACAAAAUCAAGACCUUGUUUUUGUCUAAAGCCUUUGGCAAAAAGUCUUGCUUUAUAUUUGUCAACAGUUCCAUCGAAUUUGAUUUUCCUUCUGAAGAUUCACUUUGAACCCAAAGGUUUAUUUUCCGGAAGAAGAUCAAUUAACUUCCAACAUGGUUGCUCAAGAUUGCAUCAAUCUCAAUAUUGACACCAUCUUUCCAGAAGGAUGAGUCUGCAGAAGACACAAGAAAUGUUACAAAAUCAUAUUUGAAGGAAGUAGAUGUCCUUUGACAUUUACUACGCCUCUGAAUCUCUUUAUUAAGUACAUUUUCUUUUUUUUGUUUCUAAGAUCUUUUAGACCCUUCACUAGACUACUCAAGUCUAAUUUUAUAGUCCACAAUCAAAGGUCCUAUUUAAAUCCGUUUAGUUAUAGGAACUUGGACUUUGGCUAGACACCCCACACUUUGAAGUAUUUCAAGUUGGAUUUCCUUCUUUUCCAUUUCUCAUAUGGAAUAGAUUGUGUCCUGAACAAACAAAAUUGCUUUCUUUCUGAAAAGACAAAACUUUUUGUUGUUCCCUUUUGCAGUAAGGAUAGUUUCUCCACACAAGUCUUGUGGUAAACCUGAACUUAUAAGUAAUGCAACCAUCAUUUUCUUCAAAGUUUGGUUAUUUUUAUUUCCAUCCUGCAAUUCCAUUAGAUUUAGGUGAAUAGGACAAUAGUUUGAUGGAUAAAUCCAUUUUCUAAACAUAUUUCUGCAAAAGGAGAUUUAUAUUCUCCAUCCCUAUCACUUCUUAUCUUUUUCCCAACUGAUUUUCAACUUCAAUAUUAGAUUGUCUAGACAUUUCUAUUGCUUCAUCCUUACUAUUCAACAAAUAGACAUAGCCGUUUCUAAUGCAAUUGUCAAUGAAAGUUAUGACAUUCUUUUUCCCACCACGAGAUGGUGUUGACUUCAUAUCACAAAUGUUAGUGUAAAUCAACUCUAAGGGAUUAGAAUUCGUUUCAACAGAUUUAUAAGAAUGCUCAACAUACUUAGAUUCCCCACAAACUUGACAUUUUUAUUUAUUGCACUCAAAGUUAGACAAAACUUCUAAGUUGAUCAGUUUUCCUUACAAGGUUUUGUAAUUGACAUGGCCCAAGUCACAAACAGUUUGACUCAAGCAAGUAGGAACAAAUAAAAAUAUUGAGUUUGAAAAGAUCUCCGCGAGGUAGCUUUUUCUCACAAAUAUUUUGUUCCUAUUUCUUACAAUUUUGUGUGAUACAAACAUUGUUUAGAGUCAUCACCUUGUCAAAUGUCCUUUUCAGAAGGACCUUUCCAUAACUUUCAAUUUGAUUGUUAUAGAACUACCCAUGAACAAAGUUUCAUCAGGUCCAAUAAAGGCAAUAUAGUCCAAACGCUUCUUUUACAUAACAUGACAAAUGACUAUUCACCAAUAUUCAUGUCUACACAAAUAGUUAUAUUUAAUAGACAUUUUUUCUUGAAAAGUCACAACAUUUUAAUUGACACUUUUUCAUAAAAGAACUCAAUCAUUUUGAACAAGUAUACAUAUAAUUUGAUAGUUUCAUACUAGUCAUACCAUAUACUAGUAAAAGAGAAACUCAACGACCACAAUAUCAAAUAUACUCCAAGAAUUUUGUGGGUCUAACAUAAUACAAAAGUAUUAUCGAAUUUCAUAUCUUGUGCUCCAAAUUUAAAUUAGACACUAAGUCUAAUUUUAUCUUUGUCAUAAGCAUAGAACCCCCCACAUUUUAAAUAUGAUCUCAAAAAUAUUUUUCAAGUAUUUGAAAAUAGUUUUUCCACAUAUCUUUUUUUCUCAUGCUAUCAAAGUGUCAUUGGCAACAUGAAACCUCUUUUGAAAAUAUUAUUCUACAAAAGAAUUAUAGUGCUUUAAUUCUCUUUGACAAUCUUUACACAAUGUCAAAAUUUAUUCCAUAGAGGCACAAAAUCACAAACUCUAAGUCACUGGUAUUUUUCCUCUAUCACAAAUAGACAUAUCACUUAGUACAUAGAAUACUAACAAUAAGGACACUUUUUUUGUACAAUUUGUUUCUAUAUAACAAUGAAGUUUAUAGAAAAUUAAAAGUACAACACUGACUUAUUAUGUGAAGUUUUCAUAUUCUUCAAACUAAUUGCAUAGUCCAAUUUAUCCAGAGUAGAAAACUACAAAAGUUUUUAGUCUACAAAAAUUAGGUAUAAUCAAAUUUAACAUGGAGUACAAAACUACAAAAGUUUUUUUUUAGUCUCCAAACAGAAUUAAACAUAUUCUUAGAUUAUCACAUAGAUAUGCUUUUGUUUUCAAAUAGCCUUCCAACUAUAACAUUUUGACAUACUAUUUUACUAAACAAAAAUGUGUCAUCUCUCAUUCUGCAAACUAAAGAAUUUGAAAGGCAACACUUUUUGCCAAGGAAAAUUCAUUCAAAAUCAUAUGGUUUGCAUAUCUUUUUCCAAAGACAUACAUGAUACCAAAGCUAUUAACUUUUAUAAACUAUUUUCCUCCUUAGAUAAAUAAUAAGAAGGUUACCUAGUGUACUCUUUAACCGAAAUACCACAAAUUCUUCUAGUACAUUCUCACUUCGACCUUGCUAAACAAAGUACCGAAUUCUGGAGAAGUAAUGCAUUAAUCUUCUACUUCCAUGAUCUGUUUCUCUCAAUCAGUAGAAUACAAGAAAUACCAACAGUAUAUAAUUUCCUUAAGAUUGUUGUUCAUCUUGCAUUCCUAAGAUACUUAGAACAAAACUUUGAAGAACUUGGUAAGAAACAACAAAGUUUAAAGAGUAUUUUCAAACUAGAAAAUUAAAACUAGUAGAGAAAAUAGAAUCAGAAACAGAUUAGAAACAAUAUUUAAAUAUUUUCUCAAAGAAAGAAAAUCGAGCCCAUUGAAUGCACAGUGUUCCCUUAAGGAAAUUAUUCCCCUCAAGUACCCGAGGUAAAUGAAAUAUGUCCCCCUAGGAUAGAACGAUCUUACUUACCGAUGUAUCGGUACCUAAAACCACGGUGUUAGUGAACCACUCAAUGGUAGUAAAGUACACUUAGAAUACUAAAUUUAGUAGUAGUAGAAGAAGUCCAGAAAAAUUCGUUCAAUUAAAAUGAGAGGAAAUCCCUCAAUUUAUAGAAAACAAAGGGUAGUGUGAAAAUAUUCUUAUUGUGCCUUACCAAAAAAGUCACAAUCUUUCGGAAAGGUCACAACCUUUCAUAAAAGUCACGACUUUUUAUAAAAGUUACAACUUUUCAUAAAAGUCGCAACUUUUCAUAAAAGUCACAACUCUUCAUAAAAGUCGCAACUCUUCAUUUUUCCAUUCACACCUUUUAAAACCCAACAAUAAAUACCGCCAUGUCUGUAGUACUUUUGCCCAACUAAAAAAGAGAGUACAUUCCUAUACAUUGUCAAGAUUGAUGUGCGGUCACUUUAUGCUACCAUUAUUGUCAAGAUUAACAAUGUGCACAUUUGCUUAUCAAUUAAAUAAGAAAAAGUAAUAAAAUAUUUUUAGUCCAUAAUAUAAUAAACAUAUAAAAUCAACUUGUUUGUUAUAUAUAAACAAGAAAAGCAUGUAUCCAUAAAAUAAUAUUCCAUUUCCUACUUUCUAAAAAAUGGAGACUCAACAAUUACUCUCCACCCUCUUUUUGUUUUUUUAAGCAAUUCUGCUAGGCAAGGUGUGCCUAGGACUAAUUUUGUUAAUAAAGUGAAAAUGAUCUCAAAGAGAAGAGUACAAGCAAGGGGGACUAGGCCUUACCUUGCUAAUCUUAAUGAGGUAACAAACCUCUACUAAUUAACAAGCAUGACGAAAAUAAGAGCUAGAGAAAACUAGAUAUUUUAUGAUCAUCAUAGAGUUUAUAAUACACUCUGUGAUGAUACUACAAAUGAGAAUGUUUAAGUAAUGCAAAAAUCUAAAAUCUAAGAAUAAAGCUAGGUUAUCAACCUCAAACUUCAUUUUAUAUAUGUAAGAAUUAAAAGAGAUGGAUUGCCCGUGUAAUGUAACCUGAAGUAUUUCCCUCUUGUCUUCUUCAUCAAAUAUGUCCAACAAAACUUGAUAGUUCAUCACUUCUUUUUGGAUCGUGUUGUUGUUGAAACUGUCAUAUGAUUUUGCUUUGCUAGUCGCAUUGUUAGAUGCCUUGGAAUAAAUUCCUCAGUCACCUUACCAUCCCAACUAUGUUGCCUUUCAUGUGUCUUCUUUUGUUUUUGUUGCUUCCACUUCUUUGUUGCCUAGGCGAGAGAUCUCCAUCCUUGGCUACCUUAUCAAAUAAUAUGUCUAACAUAUCAUCCUCAUCAUCUUCGUCAAACAUUUCACUGCCCAAGUCACUAUCAUAAGUUGUGGUUGGACUACGUCUUGAAACUUCAGCUUCUGGCUCAUGACUUAUUUCCAAUACCUUGGUGUUAAUGGUCAAGAUCUUUUUGGAGUUAUCAAUUCUCACUGCCAUAUAUGGAUUUGCCUUACUUGAAGGCACAAAUAUGGGUGCUUGAGGACUUAACUUACUCCUUGUAGGUGCAUGCUCCUCUUCCUCAACUAAAUCUUCCCAUCUAGAAUCACUCGUUUCCUUCACCAAACUUUUUUCAUUCCUUUUGGAAUGUGGUUUGAUCAUUGGGUUUUCUUUAUUCAACAUUGUGGCAUGCGACUCUUUAAUUAUUCGAGUAGUUUCACUACUAAAAAAUUGCCAAAAAAUGACGAAAAAAAGCGACGGACUGCAUCGCUUUUUUUGUCAAAAGCGACGCAGUCAAUCUCGUCACUUUUUGGCUCGACGCUUUUUCAAAAGCAACGGACUGUGUCGCCAAAAAGUGAUGGACUGUGUUGCUUAUUGUUUUUAAAAAAAAUAUAUUUUUUUAAUAAUGAGAGCCGUCCGUCGCUUUUUUUUUUUUUUUUUUAAAUUUACAAAAAGAGACGAAGUCCGUCGAUUUUCUUAAUCUUUAUUGUUUUUUAGAAUCUUGAAAAGAGACGGACAAUGAGACGCCGUCCGUCGCUUUUCUGAAAAUAAAAUUUUGAAAAAUCCAGAAAAGCGAUGGACUAAAGGACCCUGUCCGUCGUUUUUCUGGAUUUUUCAAAAAAUAAAAAUCCAGAAAAGCAACGGACUAAAGGACCCUGUCUGUCACUUUUUCUGCACUUUUUUUGUAGCAAAAACUACAGUUUCUGCUGCCCACCUACAAAUUAAAUUAAAUUCAAUAUCAAAUCAAUUCAGCUCAUUCAAGCAAAAACACAUAAUUAACAUGCUACACAAAAUAUAAACUAACAAGCUUAAUUAAGCCUUCAAAAAUACCUAAAUCCCAAUUUAGUGAUUUAGAAAGUGUUUCAAAAUUCAAAAAUUAGUUCAUAAAUACUACAUUUCAAGAUCUACAAAGUUCAAGCUUAACUAAUUCAUAAACAACAAUUAAGUUUAAGAUUUCAAAUAAUUAAUUAUAUUCCUAAUUAAGUUCAAGUUAUUAUAAAUUUAGUUCAAAGUUCUAAUUAAGUUCAAAUAUAUUAAGGUCAAUAGGAUUUUAAGUACUUCAAAAAUCAAAUUAAGUUCAAAGUUCUAAUUAUGUUCAAUUAUUAAGUUCGUAUUAAGCUCAACAAGACUUUAAGUUCAUAUUCUUAAUUAAGUUCAAGUUAUUAUAAAUUAAGUUCAAAGUUCUAAUUAAAUUCAAAUAUAUACCAAGGUCAAUAAGAUUUCAAGUAAUUCAAACUUCAAAUUAAGUUCAAAUUUUUAAUUAAGUUCAAGCUUAAUUAAAUAGUUCAUAAAUAUUACAUUUUAUCAAGAUUUCUAAAGUUCACAACCUAAAGUUCUAAANNNNNNNNNNNNNNNNNNNNNNNNNNNNNNNNNNNNNNNNNNNNNNNNNNNNNNNNNNNNNNNNNNNNNNNNNNNNNNNNNNNNNNNNNNNNNNNNNNNNNNNNNNNNNNNNNNNNNNNNNNNNNNNNNNNNNNNNNNNNNNNNNNNNNNNNNNNNNNNNNNNNNNNNNNNNNNNNNNNNNNNNNNNNNNNNNNNNNNNNNNNNNNNNNNNNNNNNNNNNNNNNNNNNNNNNNNNNNNNGAAAAUCCUACAAAAAUUAAGGUUCACAACUUAAAGUUCUAAAAUCCUUCAAAAAUUCAAAUUCUCUAAAGUCUACAACUUGAAGUUCCAAAAUUCUACAAUAAUUCAACAUUCUCAACGUUCACAACCUAAAGUUCUAAAAUCCUACAAAAUUCAAGUUCUAUAAAGUUCACAACUUAAAGUUCUAAAAUUCUACAAUAAUUCAAGAUUUCUAAUGUUCAUAACCUAAAGUUCUAAAAUCUAACAAAAAUUCAAGUUCAUGUCUAAUUUCUAAAAUUAGUUCUAUAUAAACUUCAAAUGCAAGAAUUUCUAAGUUCAAGAAUUCAAGUAACCUAAUUUGAACUUUCAUAUACUAUCCAAUAUUUUUGUAACUUUAAAGUUAUCUAACUUUCAUGUACAAUUGCAUCUAAUAUUUUUCUAAAUUCAACUUUCAAACUUACUAAAUUCAAGAAUUUCUAAAGUUGGAAAAUUCAACUAAUCUAAUUACAACUUUCAUAUACUAUCCAAUAUUUUUCUAAUUCAAAGUAAUCUAACUUUCAUAAACAAUUCAAUGUUUUUCUAACUUCAACCGUCAAAACAUACUAAAUUCAAGAAUUUCAAAGUUGGAAAAUGCAACUAAUCUAACUUCUAACUUUAUAAGUUCUAACUUCUAAUUAUUUGUUAGUUCUAACUUCUAAUACUCAAUUCACAAUCAUAUUUUAAAAAAAUCCCAAUUUAGAAGAAAAUUCUAAAAUAAAAAAUCUCCAAUUCUCUCCCUAACUAACAAUAAUCAAAUAUACAAAUUAACAAUUGAAUAACACAAUUCAUCAAACCAAAACAAUAUACUAAUUUAUAACAAAUCAAAUAUUACUAGAAUUGAAAAAACCUAAAAUUAAACCCUAACCUUAAAAAGCUAAGGAAAAGAGGCAGUGAGACGACGGGUGGCGGCGCCGGCGCCGGCGGGGUAAGGCGGCGCCGAGACUAGUGCUAAGGGAGAGAAGGACGACGUGGGGCGGCGGCGAGGUGGAGCGGCGGCGGCACAACGAUUUGGAUUUUAGAGAGAAGGGAGAGAAGAGGGAAGAGAGAGAAAGAGAAAUGGGAAAAUGGGGGAAAACCCGCUUUUGGUUCAAUAUAAUUUUAAAAAAGCCACGGACAACGUCUCUUUGUCCGUUGCUUUUUUAAAAUAUUUGACCAAAAAGCGACUGACUAAAAGACGCUGUCCGUCGCUUUUUUAAAAAUGUUUGACUAGAUAUUUUGACCAAAAAGCGAUGGACUAAGAGAUGCCGUCCGUCGUUUUUUAAAAAAACUAAUUAAUAAAAUAAAAUAAAUUAAAAACGACGGACAACGUGGUUUUUUGUAAUUUAUAAAUAAUUAUUUUUAAUGAAAAGCGACGGACGGCGUCUCUAUAUAUAUUAAAUAAAUAAUAAUUAAUUAUAUAUAUAUUUAGUGCAAAAAUCCGCGAGCGACGGACUACGAGAUGCCGUCCGUCGCUUUUGUAAAAUAAUUUAAAAUAAUUAUUUUUAUUAAAAAGACGAUGUACAGUGUGGCAAAUGGCGUCGCUUUUUGGAGCGACACCGUCCGUCGCUUUUUUGUCCGUCAUUUUUUAGUCAUUUUUUAGUAGUGUUUCUGGAUUAGAAACUUGAAGAAUUGGAGUGGACAAAGCAUGGAGCUCUUGAUCAGAAUUGAUCAUUAGGGCAUCAAAGGUGUUAGAGCACACAAUCUUCCCUUGAUACUUUAUAUUCACAAUUUACCGUUUUGCUCCUUGCGUGGUGGGUUAGUGCAAUCUAGUUGUUGUAGUUUGGCUAGAGAAAAUGUUUUGCUUGGCACUUCAGUCCAGCCUCCCUUAUCAUUGUCCUUCAAAGUGAAGUCAUGAUCUCAUGUACCACCAGAUUUGAAAAUUUGAUCCAACUUCUCUUCACACUGUUGAACCUUAUUGGCCUGGCCAUAAUCUUGAAUCGUAGACAAACUAGGAUCUUUCCCAGAUAAAGCACUAGCAGUAGGUAGUUUAGGAUUCGAAGCUAGAUCAGACUCCAAAUUAAUCACGGGAACCAUCUAAUCACUAGUAACAUCAUCCUUUGCACUCAAAACCAAAGUAUCAUCUUGAACACAAGUAUCAACUACUUGAUCUCCAUUAUUUUUAAUGGCUUCCACAAUUGUUAUUUCAUUAUUAUUUGCAUCUGCAACUCGAGUAUUAUCAUCAAUACUUUGAUCUAUGUUUGCUAGUCCCCUCUUCUCAUUUAAAAUUUGUCUCAAAUCACUUUGAAAUUUCUCACCAUUGAAUUGUUCAUCUCCAACCAUUCCAUUAUCUUUGUGAUUUUUAUCUUGAUUCUUUUUCAAAAUCGAUCGACAAUUGUUUUCAUCAUGACCUUGAUGCUUACAAUGGUUACAAUAUAAAGGUAAAUUGUCAUAAAUAAAUUCCUGAAAAACCUCUUGAAUCUUACCGGUCUGCUCGUCCAAAUACUGGAGACGCAUCCUCUUAGGCAGCUUGUCCAUAAGAUCGAGUAUCACCUUCACCCUAGCAGUGCUAGGCCUUGUCUUGUCUUGUGUUGCCUUGUCAAUAACUAUUGGCCUUCCAACCGCUGAUGCCAUCGACAACAAGGAUCUCUUGGCAAAUAAAUCUGGUGAUAAUCGAGGCAAAGAAAUCCACACCGUGGCCAUUGAAGUUUCUUCUCUAGAAUUGAAAUCUAUUGUCCAAGGAAAUACCCUAUAAAGAUGUUGCUCUCCACGAAAAGGUAAAAAGCUUACCGAUUUUAAUAGAGCAACCACAUAAUCUUCAUAUUGGUCUAUCUUUAUUAGAAUAUGUCUACGAGCAAGUAAACCAACUAAAUAGUUUCCUUUGAUGCCCAAGUGUUUAGGUAAAAAUGUUCGCAAAUCCUUCACUUCUAAUGUAUCAGAUAAGAACUUAAUAAUUACAACUUGAUGUAAUCCUUCUUCCUGGGCGAAAACCUGUCGUUCUCCCUUUGUGAAUUGAAUCGUAGGCUCUCCAUGUACAUAUUGAAUCUGUUUCAACUGAUUUUUUGUCAAAUUUUUGACAUCUUGAUUUGUGGUUAAUCGAAUAGCAAAGGAUGUUUGUUGAUUAAGAUUAGGGUUUGUCUCUCCCACAACCAAAGGCAGGAGAGAGAUGUGCGGAGACAUGGCUGCUGCUAAGUCUCCAUCGCAAUUGCUCAGGGUUUAGGGCGUCCGCUGUUUCGAAUUACUCCACCCUCUUUAUUUCACUCUUGCUAUUUCUUUACUUAAUAUUCCAUCUUUUUCAAAUAUGGAAAAAAUGUUGGGUUGUGAGGGUGAAUUAGGGUAUCAUGCGGAAGCUUACAAUUUGCAAAUCAUAUAGUUGAUAAAAUCAGAUAAUAAAAACUUAUACUAAAAAAUCAAAAUAUUAUUAUAUCAAAACUAAUAUAAAGAAAACAUUGAAACUUUAGAGAGAAUAAAUCUCCCCAUAAACAAGACUCUUAAACGACUACAUUGUGGAUGCUAUGAUUCUUGUGUUAGAAGAAACAAACCUAUAUUUAUAGAGUCCUAAAAACCUUUUCUUACUAGAAAAAGGACUAGCUACUUCAAAACCUUUUCCUAAAAGGAAAGAAUAAAUCAAAUAUGAAAGAAUAUUAUAUUUUACUUUCAGGAAAAGUAAAAACAUUUAUGGUAAUGUUUUGUCUUUUCUUUAAGGAAAAAUAAAUCUUAAAUUAUGAUAAAAAAAUCAGGACAAAACCCUAACAUCUUUUACUCUUGAAAACUAUGUUAAGGAUUCUUGCCAAAAUCCUCAUCACCUCACAAAGGUAAACAAAUUUUGGUAAUAAAUAAAUAAAUUAUGAAUCUAUGAAAAGUAUUUGAUAUUGAAAGUGGGUUGCAUUAGUAUCAUCAUCGAUGUCUUCUUUAUUAAUGUGAAAUCUCUCAUUUCAAACAGAGUAAAUUAUAUUUAUCAAAAAAAUAAUAAUUCAUUAUAUAGAGGAGUAAGAGAUUAGGUUUUUUUAGAAGUCACAAACUUUCUUAAAAUAUGUUACUUUUCAGAACGUCAAUAAAAAAAUAUGAAUUUCUUUUUUUGUCGAACUCAUUUACUAUUUGUUUGGGUGAAACAAAGAUACUAGCAAACAUAAUGAGAGUUUAUAAAGAAGAAACAAUUGCAUUUAAAAUAUAUUGUUUGUGGCUCAAUUAAUAUCAACGUAAACUCUAAGCCAACAGUAAUUAAUAUAUGUUCAAUCCAGGGGAGGAUGUACAGUGUUUCCAGGGGUUCAUCCGAACCCCCUCGAUAAAAAAAUUACAUUAUAUAUAAGAUCAAUAUUUUAAUGUACGUGUAUAUAUUUAAAAUUGAACCCUCUGAACAUAUGUCAAAGGAGUAGCUCAACGGUUUAUGUGUUCAAAAUUUCAAUUAUAUGAGCUUUGUGUCACGGGUUCGAGCCAUGCAACAUCUUCUUCUUCUUUUUUUUGUAAUUUUUAGCGAUUUUGCAGGCUUCAGGCUUAAGUUUUAAGUGUUUUUUUAAAUUAUUAAAUACAUAUAGACCAAACGACGACAUUUCAUAAGUCAUAACUAAUCAAAAAAAUUAUAUUUUAAAUCUCUAACUGAAAAGUCAAGAAAUAAAAAAACCCCUCUUUUCUAGGGAUUGCAAUAUAAUAUUUUUUCCUCCUAGUCUUCUUGUUCAACUUCACCUUUGCUGCUUGCUGCUGCAGUCGCGAUAACAAAAACCCCUCUUUGUCAACCCAUUUGUUAUUCAAUCCGUUCAUAUAUGCUCCGACCCGUUUAUUUAUGGAUAUUAUUAACGUGUUUAAUUAUUAUUUUUAACCCCCCUUUAUAAAAUUUCUGCCUCCGCCACUGAUUCAAUCUAUCACAAUUCAGUUAUUAUUUACAUUAGAUUUCAUUAAUUAGAAUCUAACAUAACUCAUUUAGGGUUAAAAGAUAGCUUCAAGCUGCUUAAAGCCUCAUUUCUUCAAUUAUUCGAUUACUUGUGUCAAAAUCCAUUUGUGACAUUAAUUAUGUUAUCAAAUCUAGUGGAAUAUUUGCUAUUAUAAUAUACAUGAUAGGUCGAUUCUAUCUAUAUCUUUUCGUAAUCUCAUUUAUAAUAGAGAUAAUAAUGGGUGGAGCAUCCUCCCUAUUUAAUUUUUUUAAUAAAUACACCCUAAACUAAUGGUCCCAUCGUAUUGCAUGGUUACAUCAAAAUGUUAUCUCUAACUAAUUUUCAAAACAUUUAUAAUUUGAAUUAUUGGAGCUAAUGUCAUUAUAUAUAUAAUUUUAUGAUUAAUCAAUCUUCAAUCAUUUACCUACUAACUCCUCAAGUUUCUAUUUAAUUUGAUACUUUCUUCGUUUUAAUUUAUAUGUCAUCAUUUUAGAUUUCACGUGCAUUAAGAAACUAAGUAAGUUUACUAUUUUACCUUUAAUUAAUGUUUUUUUAAAUCAAGUUUUCAACAUGAGUUAAUUUAUUUUGAUUAAUUAAUUUGACCAAUGAACAUGAAGUAUUUACUUAGUUUUUCUAUGUUGGUUAAAUGUAUAUUUUCAAGGCUAAUAACUCGCAAGGGUAAAAUAGAAAGAAUAAUGUCAUUAUACAUUGAUUUUGUGAAAUGACAAAUAUUAAUGAUCAUCUAUUUUUAGUUGAAUUUUCUAACAAUUCAUCACUAAUUGAAUUUUCUAACAAUUCAUCGCUAAUCCGUAGCUAAAUAAGAUUGAAAUUUAAUUUGUUGUUUAGCUACGAAAUUCUGUCCAUCGCCAAUUCCUUAUUUUCUCGUAGUAAAGAAACCUAUUUCUAAGGAAGACAUUUAUUUCCUUAUUUUUAAGGAAAAAAAAAUUGUAGAGAAAAUAUUUUGAAAAUUUUGACUGGAAAUUAAAAAACUAAAAAAACAUCUUCAACUUAUUUUACACCACGAAUUUUAAAUUUUGCAAAUAGUAAAACACGAUUAGAGAAUAUGACAAAAAUGGUUAAUUAUCUUGGAUGAUAAGUUUAAAAUAGUCACUUAAGAGGUAAGUGUCACUUUGAUCAGCAGUUUUGGUACUUUAAAUUUGAGAAAUGACCAGAAUGGUUCUUAAUGUAUGGGUAAUGUUGUAUUUUGGUCUUUUAUGUAUUUCACUAGACUGAAACGGUCCUUAAUAUAUAAGAAAUGUGUUCAUUUUAAUUCUUAAUGUAUUUCACUCGAUUGAAAUGGUCCUUCAUGUAUAAAAAAGGUGUUCAUUUUAGUCUUUAAUGUAUUACACUUGAUUGAAAUGAUCCUUAAUGUAUAACAAAAGGUGUUCACAUUUUGGUCCUUUGUUUGAAAUGAAAUUUACUGACAAGUUUAAUGAGCUAUUAAUAUAUAAAGCAAAGUUAUAAAUUCAUUUUAUUAAAUAAUAUUAAAUUACUAUAUCUAAUUCGCACAACCACGGUUCAAUUCAAUUUUUUUUGUUUAUAACAAAAUAACAAAAAUUCAUGUAAAGAUCUUAAAGAUGAGAAUUUUUUUUUUUGAAAUAAUAUUUUUACUUUGUUAGAAUGAUAAAUAUUUGUUUUAUUUUUAAUCAUGGUGAGAUGAUUCAUACUUAAAAGUAUAAUUGUCAUUUAUGUCUAGUGAAAAAGAUAUUACAUAUAGUUCCAAAUCACAAGUUAUAUUGGUAAGUUUUCUAUCUAGAUUCAAUUGAUAAGUUUUGUAAUAAACUUUUUCUUAUGAAUAUAGUUAGAUAAAAAAAAUAAUUUUGAAAUUUAAAUUUGUCAAUAGAGUAUGUUCAUAAAAUUUAUUAAUAUUAGAAAAAAGAGAUAAUCUGCUUAAAAAUAAAUUAUUUCCCCCUUCUUAUUUGAGACAAGAGAAUAAUAGUAUUGAGAAUUAAUUGGUAAUUUGUCAAAUUUUGCAUCAUUUAACUUUCAAAGAGAAAACUAUGACAAGUACUUAAGAAUGAUAAAAUCGUAUUUUACUAUUAAAGAAUAAUAAUAUUGAACAUUUAAAUUCUAAAAUUGCCAAAAAGAUAAUUUAUAUAGUUAAAAACAUUUUGAAAAUUGUAUUGAAAAAACUAAUUUAAUUUCAAAUUGUGAGGGUUGAAUAUAAAGCAAGUAAAAUAUAUAGUGAAGAUUGAAUAACAAAUGGGGUGCACAAAAUAUGAAUGAAAUUGAUAACAGUUAAGCAUUUUAAAUUUAUAUAAUAGAUAAUAAGAUUGAAAUGAUAUAAAGAGAAUAGACCCACAUGAUUAGAGGUUAUUGGUGAGGAAAUAAGAUAUGAUCAAGUACAUAGUAUACUUUGUAUUGCCUAUUGUACAACUCUUCAUAGUCAUAAUCGUCCUACCAUGACUUCUCUAUAUAAUAGAAAUGUGCUGAAAAUGAUAUUUUAAAGAUCAUCAAAAACCAAACCAUUCAAUAUAAAGACGAUUUUCAGUACUAUUUUUUUUUAAUAGAACUUAUUAAGGCGGAGAAAAUGUUUUCAAAAUAUUAAAUUUGAAAAAGUUCCUCCCUACUUAAUACACCCUAAACUAAUGGCCCCAUCGUAUUGCAGGCUUACAUCAAAAUGGUUUCUCUAACCAACUAAUGUCCAAAACAUUUUAUAUUUUGCGUAAUUGGCGCUACCAAACAAAUGUCAUUAUGUAAUUUUAUGAUUAAUCAAUCUUCAAUCAUUUCAAAACGAUAUUUUAGUAAUGCUCUAUUUUUUUUAAUUAAAGAAGCAGAACAAAAUUUGAAAUAUAUUUUUAGUUUCUGGCAUUUUGAUUAAAUCUGUAGUGUUCUAAAUUAUUCAAAUUUUGUUCAAAACGAUAUUUUUUGUUAAAUGUAUUCUAAUUUUAAAAUUAUUUAUCGAUAUAGAUUUUCAAAAAACCAUUUGAUGUGAUUUGUUAGUUUUUUUAAUUAGUAAAUUUAUUUUUUGAGAAAAUCUAAAUUAUUAUCAAUAUAUAACUAUCAUUUUUUUUUACAAUUUUAUUUGAUAAAUUUUGAAUUAAAUUUGUGAACAUUAUUACAAAAGAAUUAACACGCUUCUCAUAAAUCAUAAUAAGUUAAAAUUGAUUAAUAAUUAUCAUCACUAUAACAUGUGAUGAAAAUUAGGAAUGUAUUGAUUAAAUUUUUAUUGUAUAUAUGAAAAAAAAUCUAUACAUAUGUAAGUUUGGGGGUUAUUUAGUCUUCACCUUUGCUCUCUCUAUAUCCCUUUAUAUCUACUCUCUUCAAGAGGAGGCGGUUUNNNNNNNNNNNNNNNNNNNNNNNNNNNNNNNNNNNNNNNNNNNNNNNNNNNNNNNNNNNNNNNNNNNNNNNNNNNNNNNNNNNNNNNNNNNNNNNNNNNNACCAUACUUAAUUUUGAGAGGAAAUCAUGAAUUUUUUUAUAGAAGGAACAAGGAUUAAUGGUUGGGUAGAAGAAACAAUGGUUUAUUUAAAGAUGGGGAAGAUGACCGUUGGAAAAGGAGGAAUUUUUCGUCAAAAUUAACCUUCUAACGCGCCUAGAGGAGGUGAGAACACCUCCCAUGACAGGUCAGCACUUAGGUGUGUAGAAAAUAUAGAAAUUUAAAGUUCAGGUGGGUCCAUUUUCUCUAAAUACAUAGACAUAAAGAACUUUGAAUUUUAUUUAAGGUAAUAAAUAGCAUAUUUAAGGUGAUGAAUAAUAAGGCAAUAGAGUCUAUUGUAUAAUAGAGUAAGUUUUUUCUUUUUGCAUGUAUCUGUAUUUUCAUAUUUGUGACUUGUAAACAAUGAUCCAUAUAUAUGUGAAAUAAAUAAAACAUUUAGAUAUAUGAUAUCCUUUUUCAGAAAUAUAUAUAUAUAUAUAUAUAUGGUCUUAAUAUUUAUAUUGUUUGAAUUGUUUCAUUCUUCAUUAUGUAGCUAAAUUUUGACGGAUCUUUUAGUUCCAUAUCCAAUAUGGUCAUCAAAUUAGGCCCCUUGACCUUUUCCAAAGUAAGUGAAACUUCACAAUCAACUUUAAUGGUUGUAACUUGUAUGGACAAACGUUGAAAUUUCAAAACCUAUUCGAUAUUGACUUAUCAUUUGUGAUAGUUCAGGAAUAUAUUUGUUCUUUUUUCGAAUAUUUAAUGACACUAUCAACAUUUUACUAUUGUUGGUUUCCAUAAAAUAAAACACGAUAUAUUAUGAAACAAUACUUAACAACCAUCCAAACAAAGUGUAAGUGGUAUCAUGCAACCUCUCUGUAUCUGAAAUUGAAUGUUGAUGGGACUUUUCCAAUGGGAGGCAGCACUCCAUCAAAUCAUGUAAAUAAAAUAACAAGAUAGGUAUAAUAAAGAAUAAGUUUAGCUCGUCCAUACAACUUAUGAACAAUUGAAUAACACAAGUAAAAUCUAUCCAUCCACCAAAUCUUUGUGAACAAUUGAAGAUAUAUGCAAUAUUUGCUCAUCAUUUAUUUAUUUAUCAUCAUAUUCAUAUUCAUAUUCUUCAUAUUAUAAUAUAUUGCUAAAAGUGGGAACAAAAAAUGUUAAAAGUUGAAAUACCAUUUUACCCCUACACUAAUAAAAUAUUAUAAAAUAGCUGAUCAAUUAAAUAUCAAUAGUAAUUGUAUAAUAUUAUUAUUAUAUUAUACUAAAUUCUAAAAAGUGGAAAGGUGUUAAGUCAAAAAAUUCAAAGAAGAAAAUAUUCAUAGAAAAUUGUUAGACAUUUUUAUCCUUUUAAAAAAUAAAUUAGUUAUAUUUNNNNNNNNNNNNNNNNNNNNNNNNNNNNNNNNNNNNNNNNNNNNNNNNNNNNNNNNNNNNNNNNNNNNNNNNNNNNNNNNNNNNNNNNNNNNNNNNNNNNNNNNNNNNNNNNNNNNNNNNNNNNNNNNNNNNNNNNNNNNNNNNNNNNNNNNNNNNNNNNNNNNNNNNNNNNNNNNNNNNNNNNNNNAUAGAAAAUUGUUAGACAUUUUUAUCCUUUUAAAAAAUAAAUUAGUUACAUUGUUUCAAAAAAAUAUUGUAUUUAUAUAUAUUUUUCUCCUUCAAUUUACUUAACAUUAUAUAUAUAUAUAUAUAUAUAUAUAUAUAUAUAUAUUAGGCAUUUUAAUAAUCUACUUUAAACUAUUUCUUAUUUCUAAUUACUUUAUUUAAAAGAUUAAGUCUAUAAUUUUCAUAUUUUCAUUUUCAUAACUUCCACAUCACAGUAAAGAGUUUCAAAAAAAUAUUGUAUUUAUAUAUAUUUUUCUCCUUCAAUUUACUUAACAUUAUAUAUAUAUAUAUAUAUAUAUAUAUAUAUAUAUAUUAGGCAUUUUAAUAAUCUACUUUAAACUAUUUCUUAUUUCUAAUUACUUUAUUUAAAAGAUCAAGUCCAUAAUUCACACCUUUUCAUUUUCAUAACUUUCACAUCAUAGUAAAGGAUGGUGAAUUAGAAAGACAUUAAUGUUUUCAUGAAGUAACAUACAUUCAUCUUAAUGCAUUAAAUGGAUUACAAAUUGUAACGAUCGGGUUCCAUCGUUAUAGAAAUGCCAACGGGGGAAAAUUUGGGGCUGGAAAAACUUUUUCGUAGUAUUAGAAUUUUCCCAACCUUGUCCAGGUUUGAAUGAAAUCGGAGUAGUUGAAGUGUAGGGAAAUCUGGUAACAAUCGAGUGGAUUAAUUAUGGUUUUGAUUGCAUGAGUGGUUAGGUAACUCAUUAAGGAAUCCGUACGACCUUACAUAAUUGAAUUUGGAUGAGUAGAUCUCCGAGAAUUGAUCUUAGCGUGAAAGGUAUUUUCUGAGCGUCGUUGAUGAGAGGUGUGCUGUGGAAUAGGGAUUUGGAAUUCUUUAAAAUAGCAUUCUGUUUCGAUUUUGAUGCUUUGGCGGGCGUCUCUGCCGCUUUGGCGGGGCCGCUGUGGCAGGAUGGUGGCCACUGUGGCGGGAGAGACGGGACUUAAAAUCGUAAUUAUUCACUGGUUUGAAAAUGCCACUGUGGCGGAGGAAGGUGUCGCUCUGGCGCUACCGUAAUAGCGGGAUGAGGGUCGCUGUGGCGGGCCAGACGCGACUUAAGGUCAUUAAUAAACCUCUAAACGACCUUAUUUGGCACUUUUUGACUUUUCGAGCUAGGAACGAAUCGUAGGCAAUUUCUACUCGUUUUUCACAAUUCUUGAGGCUAAAGGUAAGCUUUUAACUCUCAAAAUUUAUCUUUCGAUCCGUAAAACGUAAUAGGACGGGUCAAUGUUGAUGGGGGAGGGUUUUGAUAUUGAAUUUAUGGUGGAAACAACCCUAAAUUGGAUAAUUGGGAUUAUGAGUUGUAUCUAGGGUUUGUUAGAAUUGUUAGUAAUCUGGGGUAAUUAAUGAUUGUUUAUUGAUUCCCGUAUUAUAUUGAUUGUUUGUAGACCAAGAACAAGCGGAACAAAUCCGAAAAGGGAAUAAUCAAGUUUCUUACGGUUUCAAGCUUGUUUCGAGGUAGGUGGUGGUUGUGAUUCUAUGAUAUUGCAAUGUUGAUCACACUUGAUGUAAAUGAGAUAGAUGAAUGAUGAUUGCCAUGAAAUCAAGAUGUAAAUAUAUGAUCUUGAUGAUGUACUUGUGAUUGUGAAUGUGGUGUGUGAAUGGGAUCGGUUGCCACGUUCCGGCAUAACUAACUUGGAUCGGUUGCCACGUUCUGACAUAAAUAUGGGAUCGGUUACCACGUUCCGACAUAACAUUGGGAUCGAAUACUACGUUUCAGUAUGCUAACUGUUUGGGUUUGGGUUCCGUGAGAGGACCAAUGAUUUGUGAUAAAUGUAUAAUGAUGAACAUGUUGAUAAUAUUGUAGAUGUUGAUAUAUAUGCAUGUUAUUAUAAUGUUUUUUGACUUUCUUAUGUUACACUAGUGGGAUAGUCGCGUGAUCCUACCAGUACACUGUGGUUGUGUACAAAUUCUGGACUUGCUCUUAUUUUUGUUGAGUACAUAGAAUUUUCAAGCAGCUAUUGACAGACCUCGCUUAGGAGAUUAGAGAUCAUCGCAUCGAAUUCAAGGGUGAGCCAAAUCUUCCGGGAUGCCAUGUAAUUCUCUCUCGUCUAUGUCCACCAUUUCCGAACUUAGACAUUUGUUUUAGUUAGUUGAUUAGUUCAUUAGUUGGGGUUAUAUCCCUUCCGCUCAUUAGUUUGGGGUUGUAUCCCUUCUUGUUUAGACUUGUUGAACUUUAGAUGUUUUGGUACAUUGACUUUCAGGUUCUAGGUUGUUUCUUCCACACUUUUGUUAGAGUUUAUGGGUACUCAUUUUUAUUUCCUUAGUGUUUGAUUUAAAUGCCAUAGUUUUUAGAUUAUUUGCUUGAUUUGGGUUAUAGUAGUGGUUCUCCCACCGGAGGGUUAGUGUGGGUGCCAAGCACGACUGUCUGGGUCGUGACAAAUUGGUAUCAGAGCCUAGGUUCAUGGAUAUUGAUGUUCUGAAAUAAGUCUAAUAGAGUCGCAGAAUGGUAUAGGGAUGCCUUUACUUAUCUUCGGGAGGCUAUAAGACUUUAGGAAAUCGAUAUAGUUUUCUCUUGUCUCCUUUCGUGCUAUGACUUUAUUCUUAUUGGUAUUUGGCGAUUCCAAUUGGUAUCUAACCUCCUUCACUCUUCUAUCCGUAGAUGGUUAAUAGUAGGUUCAACGGCACCAGGCCCGCAGCUCCCGUCAAUGCUCCGAUUGAGGAAUCUACAACGAGAGGUCGCGAUCGAGCUAGAGGUAGAGGUCGUGGAAGAGUAGCACCCGCCGUGAACAAGGUACCUAUUAAGAAUGUGCCUGUGAAUGAGAACCCUCUGGUGCAACAUAAAGAGAUAGAGGAGAAUGUGGAUGUUGAGGAUGUUGAAGAGAUUGGACAAGAGGAAGAGGUACUGGUUAGAACUAUAGGUACUCCUCCCUUGGACCCAGUGUUAGCUCAACAGAUCAUGUCGUUCUUAAAGGGAUUGUCUAGUCCUAGAGUGCUUCCAUCUGGCCAAGCAACUCAAGCACCCGUUAAUCCCCCUGAUACUAGCACUACGCCUAAGAUUGGUGGAACUGGAGGUAAUGAUGCUUUCUUCCGUCUUUUGUUGUGUUCUGUUAUGACGGGAUAUGAGCAUGACAUGUUGACUAAGUUUCUGAAGCUUAAGCCUCCGGUAUUUCUUGGUUCUGAGACUGAAGAAGCUUAUGAGUUUAUCUUAGACUGUUAUGAGAGGCUGCAUAAAUUGGGUAUUGCUCACCAACAUAGGGUUGAAUUCGUGUCCUUUCAACUUCAAGGUGAGGCCAAGCAAUGGUGGAGAGCUUAUAUGAAUGUAGAUCUUCUACUUUACCUCCACUCACUUGCACCCAAUUUCAUGCUUUGUUCCUAGAAAAGUAUGUGCCUAGAACUUUGAGGGAUCGCAAGAAGGAUGAGUUUAUGGCCUUAGAGCAAAGUGGUAUGUCUGUGGCUGCUUAUGAGGCCAAGUUACAUGCUUUAUGUAGAUAUGCUACGCAGUUGGUUACUACUGAGGAGGAGAAAAUUGAGUUAUUUAUUAGAGGUUUGAAUUCUGAGUUGCAAGUAUUAUCUGUUCAUAUGACUUCUGCAGGGAAGAGUUUUAAUGAGGUGACGGACUAUGUUAAGAAAGUGGAGGGGGUAAGGCGAGACGGACAAGCCAAGGCGUUGGCAAAAAGGGCCAAGAACUCGGGUAACUUUCAAGGUUCUUACGCUAGAGAGUCCGGAAGGCCAACGCUUGCAACCAAGCCAAUUCAGUCUGCUAUGCUCGCCUCUACAGGUAACUACUCGAGAACUCCAUUUUAUAAUUUUUAGGAUAGCCAAGGAAUCGCGCCUUCAGCGGGAAACAGACCAUCAUUUGAUCGUAUAUGUUAUAACUGUGGAGAACCUGGGCAUAUGAGGAGAGAUUGUCCCCACCCAUGUGUGUUAGAUUCCGCACAGUAGCAUUCUAGAGCAGUGAUACCCACGGGGAAUGGUAAUAAUGGUCGAGGGCGUCCACAAUGUGAGCGAGGAAGUAAUCAGCGAAGCCGUAGAGGUAGAGGAAAUGGUAAUGGUAAUGCGGGCAGAGGUAAUGUGCAACUAGGCAGGGAAGUGGUUCAUAAAGAUGAUAGGGACUCAAUUUUAUGCCUUUCCGGGCAAUAAUGAGGCAGAGACAUCUGACGCGGUGAUCACAUGUACAUUCUUGUCUGUGACCAAAUGGCUAAUGUAUUAUUUGAUCCGGGUUCUAUUUAUUCUUAUGUAUCUGUGCGAUUUACCUACGAGUUUGAUAUGAUUUGUGAUGUACUUGAUGCCCCUAUCCAUGUUUCUACCUCAGUUGGAGAGUCAGUCAUAGUCACUCAUGUCUAUCGUGCUUGUCCUAUUUUGUUUAUGAGUUUUUAGACUUGGGCUGAUUUGGUGAUUUUGGAUAUGGCUGACUUUGAUAUUAUCUUAGGCAUGACUUGGUUGCCCCCCUAUUAUGUUGUGUUAAAUUGUAAUACUACGUCUUGAACUCUAGAAAUUUCGGGAAGGGAAAAAUUAGAGUGGGAAGGGGUGUACAAGCCUAAGCAAGCUAAAAUCAUAUCCUCCAUUCGAGCUAGGAAACUGGUAGGGUAGGGUUGUUUAGCUUAUUUGGCUCAUAUCCGGGAUGUUGAGGUUGAGUCUCCAUCUAUUGAGUCUAUUCCUGUGGUGUCGGAAUUUAGAGAAGUGUUCCCAACUGAUUUGCCUGGUAUGCCUCCAAAUAGAGAUAUAGAUUUUUGCAUUGUUUUGGAGCCUGGUACGCGCCCCAUUUCUAUCCCUCCAUAUUGCAUGGCUCCGGUAGAAUUGAGGGAGCUUAAGGCUCAAAUCCACCAACUUCUUGAUAAGGGAUUUGUUCGUCCUAGUGCUUCCCCAUGGGGUGGUCCUGUCUUGUUUGUUAAGAAGAAGGAGGAAAAAAGAUGGUAGUAUGAGAAUGUGUAUAGAUUACCGGCAAUUGAAUAGAGUCACUAUUUGAAACAAGUAUCCCUUGCCUCGAAUAUAUGAUUUUUUUGACCAAUUGCAAGGUGCAUCAGUCUUCUCAAAAAUUUAUUUAAGGUCUGGUUACCAUCAAUUAAAAAUUAGGCCUGAAGAUGUGCCCAAGACAACGUUUAGGACUCGCUAUAGGCACUAUGAAUUCCUAGUCAUGUCCUUUUGGUUGACUAAUGCGCCUGCAACUUUUAUGAGUUUGAUGAAUCGGGUGUUCAAACCAUUUCUUGAUUCGUUUGUGAUAGUUUUCAGUGAUGAUAUUUUGGUAUAUUUGAAAAGUGAGGAAGAGCAUGCCGACCAUCUUUGUAUUGUUCAGGGUGUUCUUGGGAAACAAAGGUUGUAUGCUAAAUUUUCUAAGUUUGUGAAUUUUGGGUGAAUUCUAUUGCGUUUUUGGGGCAUGUAGUUUCAAAGGAAGGGGUAAUGGUAGAUCCUCAAAAAAUUGAGGCGGCUAAAAAUUGAUUUCGGCCUAGCUCUGUGAUGGAAGUUAGGAGUUUUAUGGGGCUCGCUAGCUACUACCGUCGAUUUGUGAAGAAUUUUGCUUCUAUUUCCACUCACAUGACUAAUUUGACUAAGAAGGAGAUAACAUUUUAGUUGACUGAAAAAUAUGAGGAGAGCUUUCAAAAGCUCAAGACUCUCUUGACUACUGCACCUAUCCUAGCAUUACCGGUGGAAGGUAAGGAUUUUAUAGUUUAUUAUGAUGCUUCUCAUUCUGAAUUGGGCGCUGUGUUAAUGCAGGAUAAGAAUGUUAUAGCCUAUGCAUUGCGCCAAUUGAAGGUGCACGAGAGAAAUUAUCCAGCCCAUGAUUUAGAGUUGGCGGCGGUAGUAUUUUUUCUUAAGAUUUGGUGGCAUUAUCUUUAUAGUGUUAAGUGUGAAGUGUUUACUGAUUGUCGUAGUUUGUAGCAUGUGUUCACUCAAAAGGAUCUGAAUUUGAGACAACGAAGAUGGAUGGAGUUACUCAAGGAUUAUGAUGUGACUAUUCAAUACCAUCCGGGUAAGGUUAAUGUUGUGGCAGGCGCUUUGAGUUGAAAAGCGGUAAGUAUGGGUAGCUUAGCUUACUUGAGUGUAACCAAGCGACCUUUGGCCAAGGAAAUUCAGACCUUAAAGUCUAAGUUCAUGCAGUUGGGCAUCUCUGAAAGAGGCGGGGUGUUAUCUAGCAUUGAAGUUAAGGCCACAUUCAUUGAGGAGAUCAAGGCCAAACAAAUUGAGGAUGAAAGUUGAACAAACUCAAUGAGAAAAUGGCGAAUGGUAAGGCACAAGAGACCACACUUGAUGUGGAUGGUGUAAUUAGUAUGAAAGGGAGGAUUUGUGUUCCUUGAGUUGAUGACUUGAUUCAAAAAUUGUUGGCAGAAUCUCAUGGUUCAUAAUAUUCUAUUGAUCCGGGUGUAACCAAGAUGUAUAGAGAUCUGAAACGAAUUUAUUGGUGGUUGGGCAUGAAGAAAGACAUAGCGGAGUUUAUGGCUAAGUGUCAAAAUUGUCAACAAGUGAAGUAUAAACAUCAAAGGCCUGCAGGUUUACUUCAAAGGAUGUCAAUUCCAAAAUAGAAGUGCGAAAGAAUAACUAUGAAUUUUGUGGUUGGUCUACUCAAGACUUUGGGGAAGUUUGAUUCUAUUUGGGUAGUGGUAGUGGUUGAUAGAUUGACCAAGUCAGCUCAUUUUAUUCCGGUAAGAAUAGAUUAUAAUGUUGAGCAAUUGGCUAAGAUUUAUGUGAAAGAGAUAGUGAGAUUGCAUGGUGUGCCCCAUUCUAUCAUGUCAGAUCGUGGUACCCAAUUCACUUCUAAGUUUUGGAGGAAAUUGCAUGAUGAAUUGGGAACACAAAUCAUUUUUAGUACAACCUUUCAUCCACAGACGAAUGGACAAUCUGAGAGGACCAUUUAAGUGUUGGAAGACAUGUUGAGGGCAUGUGUGAUUAAUUUUGGAGGGCAUUGGGAUAAAUUCAUACCUUUGUGUGAGUUCUCUUAUAAUAAUAGUUAUCACUCCAUCAUUAAUAUGGCACCAUUUGAAGCACUAUAUGGGACGGGAUAUAGAUCACCCAUAUGAUGGUUUGAGGCUAGAGAUGUGAAACCUUUGGGGGUUGAUUUAGUGAAUGAUACUCAAGAUAAGGUAAGGAGUAUUCAAACUAAGCUUUUAGCAGCCCAGAGUAGACAGAAGAAAUACACGGAUCAUAAGGUAAGAGACAUGGAAUUUCAGACCGGUGAGAAUAUUCUUCUUAAGGUAUCACCUAUGAAAGGGGUGAUGAGAUUUGGUAAGAAAGGUAAGCUAAGUCCUAGAUAUAUUGGUCCCUUUGAAGUUCUUGAAUGUGUAGGGCCGGUGGAAUAUAGAUUGGCUUUACCUCCUAAUCUAUCCGGUGUUCAUCUAGUAUUUCAUAUGUGUAUGUUGAAGAGAUAUCAUGGUGACGAAGAUUAUAUCAUUGAGUGAGACUCAAUUGUGUUAGACAAAGACCUCCAAUACGAAGAAGAACCAAUUGUUAUUCUUGAUCAUGAUGUGCGUAAAUUGAGGACCAAAGAGAUUAAGACAGUGAAACUUCAAUGGAAGCAUCGUCCAGUUGAAGAGGCUACUUGGAAAACCAAGAGGGACAUGCAAGACAAGUAUCCCCAAUUGUUCGUCGAAUUAGGUACUACUUCAUUCUUUCCUUAGCCUACUUUUCCUAAGUUUUGUCACUCGGGGACGAGUGAUAGGUAAAUUGGUAUCUAUUGUAACGACCGGCUUCCGUCGUUAUAGAAAUGCCAACGGGAGAAAAUUUGUGGCUGGAACAACUUUUUUCGUAGUAUUACAAUUUUACUAACCUUGUCCAAAUUUGGAUGAAAUCAGAGUAGGUGAGGUGUAGGGAAAUCUGGUAACAAUCAAGUGAAUUAAUUAUGGUUUUGAUUGCAUGAGUGGUUAGGUAACUCAUUAAGGAAUCCGUACGACCUUACGAAAUUGAAUUUGGAUGAGUAGAUCUCCGGGAAUUGAUCUUAGCGUGAAAGAUAUUUUCUGAGCGUCGUUGAUUAGAGGUGUGUUAUGGAAUGGGGUUUUGGAAUUCUUUAAAACAGCAUUUUGUUUCAAUUUUGCCGUUUUGGCGGGCGUCUGUGGCACUUUGGCGAGGCCGCUGCGGUGGGAUGGUCGCCACUAUGACGGGCGAGACGGGACUUAAAAUCGUAAUUACUCACUGGUUUGAAAAUGCCGCUGUGACGGGGCAAGGUGUCGCUUUGGAGCUGCCGCUACAACGGGAUGAGGGCCAAACGCGACUUAAUAUCGUUAAUAAACCCCUAAACGACCUUAUUUGAUACUUUUCGACUUUUAGAGCUAAGUAACGAACCCCUGACGAUUUCUACUCUUUUUUUCACAAUUCUUAAGGCUAAAGGUAAGCUUUUAACUCCCCAAAUCCAUNNNNNNNNNNNNNNNNNNNNNNNNNNNNNNNNNNNNNNNNNNNNNNNNNNNNNNNNNNNNNNNNNNNNNNNNNNNNNNNNNNNNNNNNNNNNNNNNNNNNCGAAAAAAUAUGGCCCAAUCAUGCACUUACGUCUUGGAAAUAAUUCAACAAUUGUUGUAUCUUCAUCAGAAAUGGCAAAAGAAAUCAUGAAAACUCAAGACCUCCAUUUUGUAGAUAGGCCACAAAUUAUGUCCACAAGUAUCAUACUUUAUGAUUGCACGGACAUAGCCUUUAGUUCAUAUGGAGAUUACUGGAGAAAUAUGCGAAAGGUUUGUGUCCUAGAACUUCUUAGUACAAAAAUGGUCAAAUCAUUUGCUUCAAUUCGACAAGAAGAGAUAUCAAAUCUCAUUUCAUCUCUCCGUUCCAGUUCAUACAUGAUCGAAAUAAGUUUAUAAUGUUGGUAAAAGAUAUUUGUUCAUUAAUUGGAGGAUUCGACUUAACUGAUUUAUUCCCUUCCCAAAAGUGGCUCCAUAAUAUCAGUGGAAUGAAAUCCAAAUUGUCAAAGGCACACUCAAAGGUUGAUGAAAUCUUGGAGAAAAUCAUUAAUGAUCAUCGAGAUAAUCGAGCAAAAGGUAAGAAAUAUAAUGGUGAGUCUGGAAAUGAAGAUUUUGUUGAUGCUUUACUUAGAGUAAUGGAGAGCGAAGAAUUUGGACUUCCCAUUACAAAUCAAAACAUUAAAGCAAUCAUACUUGUAAGUAUAGCGCAUCUUUAAAAGUAAUUUUAUUUCGUGUUAUAAAUCUUUUAAACUUCGAUAUUUAUACCUUUAAUUUUACAUGUAGGAAAUGUUUCUAGCAGGAACUGAAACAGCUUCUACAACAAUAAUUUGGGCAUUUUUAGAACUAAUGAAAAAUUCACGUGUCAUGGAGAAAGCACAGCUCGAAGUGAGAGAGCGAUUGGAUGGGAAAAAAACAUUUAACGAUUCUGAUUUGGAAGAGUUGAACUACUUGCAAUUCGUUAUCAAAGAAACAUUAAGGCUACACCCUCCGGCUCCUCUAUUAUUCCCAAGGGAAUGUAGAGAGGAAACAAAGAUUGAUGGACACAAUACCUGUGAAAACCAAAGUUCUGGUUAAUGCAUGGUCGAUUGGUAGAGAUCCCAAAUACUGGCAUAAUUCAGAAAGCUUUAUACCUGAGAGAUUUGAGAAUAGUAGUAUUGACUUUAGAGGAAAUCACUUUGAGUUUAUUCCAUUUGGUGCAGGAAGAAGAAUGUGUCCCGGAAUGUUAUUUGGUUUAGUUAAUGUUGCACGUCCUUUAUCCCAAUUACUUUAUCACUUUGAUUGGAAGGUCCCUCAUGGAGUUAAUCCAAAUGAUUUGGACACGAUUGAAACAGAAGGAUUAACAGCCAGGAGAAAGAAUGAUCUUUAUUUAAUUGCUACUCCAUUUGGUCACUCUAAUUAAAUACAUAGACAUAAAGAACUUUGAAUUUUAUUUAAGGUAAUUAAUAGCAUAUUUAAGGUGAUGAAUAAUAAGGCAAUAGAGUCUAUUGUAUAAUAGAGUAAGUUUUUUUUUUUUUUUUGCAUGUAUCUGUAUUUUCAUAUUUGUGACUUGUAAACAAUGAUCCAUAUAUAUGUGAAAUAAAUAAAACAUUUAGAUAUAUGAUAUCCUUUUUCAGAAAUAUAUAUAUAUAUAUAUAUAUAUAUAUAUGGCCUUAAUAUUUAUAUUUUUUGAAUUAUGUAGCUAAAUUUUGACGGAUCUUUUAGUUCCAUAUCCAAUAUGGUCAUCAAAUUAGGCCCCUUGACCUUUUCCAAAGUAAGUGAAACUUCACAAUCAACUUUAAUGGUUGUAACUUGUAUGGACAAACGUUGAAAUUUCAAAACCUAUUCGAUAUUGACCUAUCAUUUGUGAUAGUUCAGGAAUAUAUUUGUUCUUUUUUCGAAUAUUUAAUGACACUAUCAACAUUUUACUAUUGUUGGUUUCCAUAAAAUAAAACACGAUAUAUUAUGAAACAAUACUUAACAACCAUCCAAACAAAGUGUAAGAAAGUGGUAUCAUGCAACCUCUCGGUAUCUGAAAUUGAAUGUUGAUGGGACUAUUCCAAUGGUAGGCAGCACUCCAUCAAAUCAUGUAAAUAAAAUAACAAAGAUAGGUAUAAUAAAGAAUAAGUUUAGCUCGCCCAUACCACUUAUGAACGAUUGAAUAACACAAGUAAAAUCUAUCCAUCCACCAAAUCUUUGUGAACAAUUGAAGAUAUAUGCAAUAUUUGCUCAUCAUUUAUUUAUUUAUCAUCAUAUUCAUAUUCAUAUUCAUAUUCUUCAUAUCAUAAUAUAUUGCUAAAAGUGGGAACAAAAAAUGUUAAAAGUUGAAAUACCAUUUUACCCCUACACUAAAUAAAAAUAUUAUAAAAUAGCUGAUCAAUUAAAUAUCAAAUAGUAAUUGUAUAAUAUUAUUAUUAUAUUAUACUAAAUUCUAAAAGUGGAAAGGUGUUAAGUCAAAAAUUCAAAGAAGAAAAUAUUCAUAGAAAAUUGUUAGACAUUUUUAUCCUUUUAAAAAUAAUAAUCUACCUUAAACUAUUUCUUAUUUCUAAUUACUUUAUUUAAAAGAUUAAGUCCAUAAUUUUCAUAUUUUCAUUUUCAUAACUUCCACAUCACAGUAAAGGAUGGUGAAUUAGAAAGACAUUAAUGUUUUCAUGAAGUAACAUACAUUCAUCUUAAUGCAUUUAAUGGAUUACAAAUUGUAACGAUCGGGUUCCGUCGUUAUAGAAUUGCCAACGGGAGGAAAUUUGGGGCUGGAAAAACUUUUUCGUAGUAUUAGAAUUUUCCCAACCUUGUCCAGAUUUGAAUGAAAUCGGAGUAGUUGAGGUGUAGGGAAAUCUAGUAACAAUCGAGUGGAUUAAUUAUGGUUUUGAUUACAUGAGUGGUUAGGUAACUCAUUCUGUACGACCUUACAUAAUUGAAUUUGGAUGAGUAGAUCUCCGAGAAUUGAUCUUAGCGUGAAAGGUAUUUUCUGAGCGUCGUUGAUUAGAGGUGUGAUGUGGAAUGGGGAUUUGGAAUUCUUUAAAAUAACAUUCUAUUUCGAUUUUGCUGCUUUUGCGGGCGUCUCUGCCGCUUUGGCGGGGCCGCUGUGGCAGGAUGGUGGCCACUGUGGCGGGCGAGACGGGACUUAAAAUCGUAAUUACUCACUGGUUUGAAAAUGCCACUGUGGCAGCGCAAGGUGUUGCUCUGGCGCUACCGUAACAGCGGGAUGAGGGUCGCUGUGGCGGGCCAAACGCGACUUAAGGUCGUAAUAAACCUCUAAACGACCUAUUUGGCCCUUUUUGACUUUUAGAGCUAAGGAACGAAUCCCAGGCAAUUUCUACUCCUUUUUCACAAUUCUUGAGGCAAAAGGUAAGCUUUUAACUCUCCAAAUUUAUUUUUCGAUCCGUAGAACGUAAUAAAAUGGGUCAAUGUUGAUGGGGGAGGGUUUUGAUAUUGAAUAUAUGGUGGAAACAACCCUAAAUUGGAUAAUUAGGAUCAUGAGUUGAUCUAGGGUUUGUUAGAAUUGUUAGUAAUCUGGGUAAUUAAUAAUUGUUUAUUGAUUCCCGUAUUAUAUUGAUUGUUUGUAGACCAAGAACAAGCGAAACAAAUCUGGAAAGGGAAGAAUCAAGUUUCUUACGGUUUCAAGCUUGUUUCGAGGUAGGUGGUGGUUGUGAUUCUAUGAUUAUGUGAUGUUUGUUUGUUCUUACUUCAUUAUGAUACUUGUGUAUAUAUGAAUGUUGCAAUGUUGAUCACACUUGAUGUAAAUGAGAUAGAUGAAUGAUGAUUGCCAUGAAAUCAGGAUGUAAAUGUAUGAUCUUGAUGAUGUACUUGUGAUUGUGAAUGUGGUGUGUGAAUGAGAUCGGUUGCCACGUUCCGGCAUAACUAACUUGGAUCGAUUGCCACGUUCUAACAUAAAUAUGGGAUCGAUUACCACGUUCCGACAUAACAUUGGGAUCGGAUACCAUGUUUUGGUAUGCUAACUGUUUGGGUUUGGGUUCUGUGAGAGGACCAAUGAUUUGUGAUAAAUGUAUAAUGAUGAGCAUGUUGAUAAUAUUAUAGAUGUUGAUAUAUAUGCAUGUUAUUAUAAUGUUUUUUGACUUGCUUAUGUUACACUAGUGGGAUAGCCGCAUGAUCCUACCAGUACACUGUGGUUGUGUACUGAUUCUGGACUUGCUCUUAUUUUUGUUGAGUACAAGGAAUUUUCAAGCGGCUAUUGACAGACCUCGCUUAGGAGAUUAGAGAUCGUCGCAUCGAAUUCAAGGGUGAGCCAAAUCUAUCGGGAUGCCAUGUAAUUCUCUUUCGUCUAUGUCCACCAUUUCCGAACUUAGACAUUUGUUUUAGUUAGUUGAUUAGUUCAUUAGUUGGGGUUGUGACCCUUCCGAUUUAGACUUGUUAUUUCGUUAGUAGUUUUGGUACAUUGACUUUCAGGUUCUAGGUUGUUUCUUCCGCAUUUGUUUAGUAUAGUUCCUUAGAUUCUUGUUGAAGUUUAUGAGAACUUCAUUUAUGAGUUAUUUAAUUUGUUUUAGUAGUUUAAAUGCCUUAGUUUUGGUUUAGUUGCUUGUUUUGAGGUGUAGUAGUGGUUCUCCCACCGGAGGGUUAGUGUGGGUGCCAAGCACGACUUUCUGGGUCGUGACAAAUUGGUAUUAGAGCCUAGGUUCAUGGAUAUUGAUGUUCCGAAAUGAGUCUAAUAGAGUCACAGAAUGGUACGGGGAUGCCUUUACUUUUCUUCAGGAGGCUAUAAGACUUUAGGAAAUCAAUAUAGUUUUCUCUUGUCUCCUUUCAUGCUAUAACUUGAUUCCAAUUGGUAUUUGACGAUUCCAAUUGGUAUCUAACCUCCUUCACUCUUCUGUCCGCAGAUGGUUAAUAGUAUGUUCAACGGCGCCAGGCCCGCAGCUCCCGUCAAUGCUCCGAUUGAGGAAUCUACAACGAGAGGUCGCGAUCGAGCCAGGGGUAGAGGAAGAGCUAGGGGUAAAGGUCAUGGAAGAGUAGCACCCGCCGUGAACAAGGUACCUAUUAAGAAUGUGCCUGUGAAUGAGAACCCUCCGGCGCAACAUAAAGAGAUAAAGGAGAAUGUGGAUGUUGAGGAUGUUGAAGAGAUUGGACAAGAGGAAGAGGUACCGGUUAGAACUACAGGUACUCCUCCCUUGGACCCAAUGUUAGCUCAACAGAUCAUGUCGUUCUUGAAGGGAUUGUCUAGUCCUAGAGUGCUUCCAUCUGGCCAAGCAACUCAAGCACCCGCUAAUCCCCCUGAUGCUAGCACUGCGCCCAAGAGGGGUGGAACUGGAGGUAAUGAUGCUUUCUUCCAUCCUUUGUUGGGUUCUGUUAUGACGGGAUAUGAGCAUGACAUGUUGACUAAGUUUCUGAAGCUUAAGCCUCCGGUAUUUCUUCGUUCUGAGACUGAAGAUGCUUAUGAGUUUAUCUUAGACUAUUAUGAGAGGCUGCAUAAAUUGGGUAUUGUUCACCAACAUGGGGUUGAAUUCGUGUCCUUUCAACUUCAAGGUGAGGCCAAGCAAUGAUGGAGAGCUUAUAUGAAUGCAAAUCUUCUACUUUACCUCCACUCACUUGCACCCAAUUUCAUGCUUUGUUCCUAGAAAAGUAUGUGCCUAGAACUUUGAGGGAUCGCAAGAAGGAUGAGUUUAUGGCCUUAGAGCAAGGUGUUAUGUCUGUGGCUGCUUAUGAGGCCAAGUUACAUGCUUUAUGUAGAUAUGCUACACAGUUGGUUACUACUAAGGAGGAGAGAAUUGAGUUAUUUAUUAGAGGUUUGAAUUCUGAGUUGCAAGUAUUAUCUGUUCAUAUGACUUCUGCAGGGAAGAGUUUUAAUGAGGUGACAGACUAUGUUAAGAAAGUGGAGGGGGUAAGGCGAGACGGACAAGCCAAGGCGUUGGCAAAAAGGGCCAAGAACUCGAGUAACUUUCAAGGUUCUUACGCUAGGGAGUCCAGAAGGGCAACGCUUGCAGCCAAGUAAAUUCAGUCUGCUAUGCUCGCUUCUACAGGUAACUACUCGGGAACUCCAUCUUAUAAUAUUUAGGAUAGCCCAGGAGUCGCGCCUUCAGCGGGAAGCAGACCAUCAUUUGAUCGUAUAUGUUAUAACUAUGGAGAACCUGGGCAUAUGAGGAGAGAUUUUCCCCACCCACGUGUGUUAGAUUCCGCACAGUAGCAUUCUAGAGCAGUGAUACCUGCGGGGAAUGUAAUAAUGGUCGAGGGCGUCCACAAUAUGAGCGAGGAAAUGGUAAUGGUAAUGUGGGCAGAGGUAAUGUGCAACCAGGCAGGGAGGUGGUUCAUAAAUAUGAUAGGGACUCAGUUUUAUGCCUUUCCGGGCAAGAAUGAGGCAGAGAUAUCUGACGCGGUGAUCAUAUGUACAUUCUUGUCUGUGACCGGAUGGCUAAUGUGUUAUUUGAUCCGGGUUCUAUUUAUUCUUAUGUAUCUGUGCGAUUUACCUCCGAGUUUGAUAUGAUUUGUGAUGUACUUGAUGCCCCUAUCCAUGUUUCUACCUCAGUUGGAGAGUCAGUCAUAGUCACUCAUGUCUAUCGUGCUUGUCCUAUUUUGUUUAUGGGUUUUCAGACUUGGGCUGAUUUGGUGAUUUUGGAUAUGGCUGACUUUGAUAUUAUCUUAGGCAUGACUUGGUUGCCCCCAUAUUAUGUUGUGUUAAAUUGUAAUACUAAGUCUGUAACUCUAGAAAUUCCAGGAGGGAAAAUUAGAGUGGGAAGAGGUGUACAAGCCUAAGCAGGCUAAAAUCAUAUCCUCCAUUCGAGCUAGGAAACUGGUAGGGCAGGGUUUGUUUAGCUUAUUUGGCUCAUAUCCGGGAUGUUAAGGUUGAGUCUCCAUCUAUUGAGUCUAUUCCUGUGGUGUCGGAAUUUUGAGAAGUGUUCCCAACUGAUUUUCCUGGUAUGCCUCCAGAUAGAGAUAUAGAUUUUUGCAUUGAUUUGGAGCUUGGUACGCACCCCAUUUCUAUCCCUCCAUAUUGCAUGGCUCCGGCAGAAUUAAGAGAUCUUAAGGCUCAAAUCCAAUAACUUCUUGAUAAAGGAUUUAUCCGGCCUAGUGCUUCCCCAUGGGGUGCCCCAGUUUUGUUUUUAAGAAAAAAGAUGGUAGUAUGAGAAUGUGUAUAGAUUACCAGCAAUUGAAUAGAGUCACUAUUUGAAACAAGUAUCCCUUGCCUCGAAUAUAUGAUCUUUUUGACCAAUUUCAAGGUGCAUCAGUCUUCUCAAAAAUUUAUUUAAGGUCUGGUUACCAUCAAUUAAAAAUUAGGCUUGAAGAUGUGCCCAAGACAACGUUUAGGACUCGCUAUAGGCACUAUGAAUUCCUAGUCAUUUCCUUUUGGUUGACUAAUGCGCCUGUAACUUUUAUGAGUUUGAUGAAUGGGGUGUUCAAACCAUUUCUUGAUUCGUUUGUGAUAGUUUUCAGUGAUGAUAUUUUGGUAUAUUUGAAAAGUGAGGAAGAACAUGCCGACCAUCUUUGUAUUGUUCAGGGUGUUCUUGCGAAACAAAGGUUGUAUGCUAAAAUUUCUAAGUUUGUGAAUUUUGGUUGAAUUCUGUUGCGUUUUUGGGGCAUAUAGUUUCAAAGGAAGGGGUAAUGGUAGAUCCUCAAAAAAUUGAGGCGGCUAAAAAUUGAUUUCGGCCUAGCUCUGUGAUGGAAGUUAGGAGUUUUGUGGGGCUCGCUAGCUACUACCGUCGAUUUGUGAAGAAUUCUGCUUCUAUUGCCACUUACUUGACUAAUAUGACUAAGAAGGAGAUACCAUUAGAAUGGACUGAAAAAUGUGAGGAGAGCUUUCAAAAGCUCAAGACUCUCUUGACUACCGCACCUAUCCUAGCAUUACCGGUGGAAGGUAAGGAUUUUAUAGUUUAUUAUGAUGCUUCUCAUUCUGGAUUGGGCGCUAUGUUAAUGCAGGAUAAGAAUGUUAUAGCCUAUGCGUCGCGCCAAUUGAAGAUGCAUGAGAGAAAUUAUCCAACCCAUGAUUUAAAGUUGGUGGCGGUAGUAUUUUCUCUUAAGAUCUGGUGGCAUUAUCUUUAUGGUGUUAAGUGUGAAGUGUUUACUGAUUGUCGUAGUUUGCAACAUGUGUUCACUCAAAAGGAUCUGAAUUUGAGACAACGAAGAUGGAUGGAGUUACUCAAAGAUUAUGAUGUGACUAUUCAAUACCAUCCGGGUAAGGCUAAUGUUGUGGCAAACGCUUUGAGUUGAAAAGCGGUAAGUAUGGGUAACUUAGCUUACUUGAGUGUAACCAACCGACCUUUGGCCAAGGAAAUUUAGACCUUAGAGUCUAAGUUCAUGCAGUUGGGCUUCUCUGAAAAAGGUGGGGUGUUAGCUAGCAUUGAAGUUAAGGCCACAUUCAUUGAGGAGAUCAAGGCUAAACAAAUUGAGGAUGAAAAUUUGAACAAACUCAAUGAGAAGAUGGCGAAUGGUAAGGCACAAGAGACCACUCUUGAUGCGGAUGGUGUACUUAGUGUGAAAGGGAGGAUUUGUGUUCCUCGAGUUGAUGACUUGAUUCAAAAAUUAUUGGCAGAAUCUCAUGGUUCACGAUAUUCUAUUGAUCCGGGUGUGACCAAGAUGUACAGAGAUCUGAAACGAAUUUAUUGGUGGUCGGGCAUGAAGAAAGACAUAGCAGAGUUUGUGGCUAAGUGUCAAAAUUGUCAACAAGUGAAGUAUGAACAUCAAAGGCUUGCAGGUUUACUUCAAAGGAUGUCAAUUCCAAAAUGGAAGUGCGAAAGAAUAGCUAUGAAUUUUGUGGUUGGUCUACUCAAGACUUUGAGGAAGUUUGAUUCUAUUUGGGUAGUGGUUGAUAGAUUAACCAAGUCAGCUCAUUUUAUUCCGAUAAGAAUAGAUUAUAAUGCUGAGCAAUUGGCUAAAAUUUAUGUGAAAGAGAUAAUGAGAUUGCAUGGAGUGCCCCAUUCUAUCAUCUCAGAUCGUGGUACCCAAUUCACUUCCAAGUUUUGGAGGAAAUUACAUGAUGAAUUGGGCACACAAAUCACUUUUAGUACAGCCUUUCAUCCACAGACGGAUGGACAAUCUGAGAGGACCAUUCAAGUGUUGGAAGACAUGUUCAGGGCAUGUGUGAUUGAUUUUGGAGGGCAUUGGGAUAAAUUCAUACCUUUGUGUGAGUUCUCCUAUAAUAAUAGUUAUCACCCCAGUAUUGAUAUGACACCAUUUGAAAAGCACUAUAUGGAGGGGAUAUAGAUCACCCAUAUGAUGGUUUGAGGCUAGAGAUGUGAAACCUUUGGGGGUUGAUUUAGUGAAUGAUGCUCAAGAUAAGGUAAGGAGUAUUCAAGCUAAGCUUUUAGCAACCCAGAGUAGACAGAAGAAAUACGCUGAUCAUAAGGUAAGAGACAUGGAAUUUCAGACCGAUGAGAAUAGUCUUCUUAAGGUAUCACCUAUGAAAGGGGUGAUGAGAUAUGGUAAGAAAGGUAAGCUAAGUCCUAGAUAUAUUGGUCCCUUUGAAGUUCUUGAAUGUGUAGGGUCGGUGGAGUAUAGAUUGGCUUUACCUCCUAAUCUAUCCGGUGUUCAUUCGGUAUUUCAUGUGUCUAUGUUGAAGAGAUAUCAUGGUGACGAAGAUUAUAUCAUUAAGUGGGACUCAAUUGUGUUAGACAAAGACCUCCAAUACGAGGAAAAACUGAUUGCUAUUCUUGAUCAUGAUGUACGUAAAUCGAGGACCAAGGAGACUAAGAUCGUGAAAGUUCAAUGGAAGCAUCGUCUAGUUGAAGAAGCUACUUGGAAAACCAAGAGGGACAUGCGAGACAAGUAUCCCUAAUUGUUCGUCGAAUCAGGUACUACUUCGUUCUUUCUUUAGCCUACAUUUCCUAAGUUGUCACUCGGGGACGAGUGAUAGGUAAAUUGGUAUCUAUUGUAACGACCGGCUUCCGUCGUUAUAGAAAUGCCAACGGGGGAAAAUUUGUGGCUGGAACAACUUUUUUUGUAGUAUUAGAAUUUUCCUAACCUUGUCCAGAUUUGGAUGAAAUCAGAGUAGUUGAGGUGUAGGGAAAUCUGGUAACAAUCAAGUGAAUUAAUUAUGGUUUUGAUUGCAUGAGUGGUUAAAUAACUCAUUAAGGAAUCCGUACGACCUUACGAAAUUGAAUUUGGAUGAGUAGAUCUCCGGGAAUUGAUCUUAACGUGAAAGAUAUUUUCUGAGCGUCGUUGAUUAGAGGUGUGUUGUGGAAUGGGGAUUUGGAAUUCUUUAAAAUAGCAUUCUGUUUCAAUUUUGCCACUUUGGCGGGCGUCUCUGCCGCUUUGGCGGCGCCGCUGUGGCGGGAAGGUGGCCACUAUGGCGGGCGAGACGGGACAUAAAAUCAUAAUUACUCACUGGUUUGAAAAUGCCGCUGUGGCGGGGGGGGGUGUUGCGCGCCGCCGCUACAACNNNNNNNNNNNNNNNNNNNNNNNNNNNNNNNNNNNNNNNNUCGUUAAUAAACCCCUAAACGACCUUAUUUGAUAGUUUUCGACUUUUAGAGCUAAGGAACGAACCCCAGACGAUUUCUACUCUUUUUUCACAAUUCUUGAGGCUAAAGGUAAGCUUUUAACUUAAGCUUUUAACUCCCCAAAUCCAUUUUUCGAUCCGUAGAACAUAAUAGAAUGGGUCAAUGUUGAUGGGGGAGGAUUUUGAUCUUGAAUCUAUGGUGGAAAUAACCAUAAAUUGGAUAAUUGAGAUCAUGUGUUGAUCUAGGAUUUAUUAGAAUUGUUAGUAAUCUGGGUAAUUAAUAAUUGUUUAUUGAUUCUCGUAUUAAUUGAUUGUUUGUAGACCAAGAACAAGCGGAACAAAUCCAGAAAGGGAAGAAUCAAGUUUCUUAGGGUUUUAAGCUUGUUUCGAGGUAGGUGAUGGUUUUGAUUCUAUGAUUGUGUGAUGUUUGUUUGUUCUUGCUUCAUUAUGAUACUUGUGUGUGUAUGAAUGUUGCAAUGUUGAUUACACUUGAUGUAAAUGAGAUAGAUGAAUGAUGAUUACAAUGAAAUGAUGAUGUAAAUGUAUGAUCUUGAUGAUGUACUUAUGAUUGUGAUUGUGGUGUGUGAAUGGGAUCGUUUGCCACGUUUCGGCAUAACUAACUUGGAUCGNNNNNNUGGGAUCGGUUGCCACGUUUCGGCAUAAAUAUGGGAUCGGUUGCCACAUUCCGGCAUAACAUCUGGAUCGCAUAAUAUGUUUCGAUAUGCUAACUGUUUGGGUUUGGGUUCCGUGAAAGGACCAAUGAUUUGUGAUAAAUGUAUAAUAAUGAGCAUGUUGAUAAUAUUGUAGAUGUUGAUAUAUAUGCAUGUGAUUAUAAUGUUGUUUGACUUGCUUAUGUUACAGUAGUGGGAUAGCUGCUUGAUCCUACUAGUACGUUGUGGUUGUGUACUAAUUCUGCACUUGCUCUUAAUUUUGUUGAGUAUAGGGCAUCUUCAAGCGGCUAUUGCCAAACCUCGCUUAAGAGAUUAGAGAUCGUCGCAUCGAAUUCAAGGGUGAACCAAAUCUUCUGGGUUGCCAUGGAAGUCUAUUGGGAUGUAUGUAUUGGUAAUAUCUAUGAAGGUCCUAAGAUGGAUUUGAGGAUCCUCAUGGGAGAGAUCAGUGAAUUGCCCAUUAGAAUGGAGGAUCUGUACCAUGCUCUACUUUAGUUCAAAUCUACCCCACGGUGGAGGUUUCCUAAUACUAGAUGCUAAAUUGGCUGUGAGUGGGACAGCCACAUCAUGGACAGGUCUUACAGGUACGACAGGGGGUAGUCCUUGGUUAUUCAAGUUCCCUUGGUUAUUCACGUUCUCCGGGUUAUUUAUGUUGUCAUAAUUAUUCUCAUCAAUGUGUUUCGAAAGACCUAACCCAAAUUCUCCUCGUCCUUGAUUCAUUUUUCUGUGCUGUCAUAGAACUCGUUCAGGUUCGUUGUAAGGUUCGACAAGUUCUCCUUUUCGAGCCACACCUGAAAGUCAAGUACCUGCAAUUAACAAGCUAAGAUCAAGUAAUUAAUAUCUAAAUAAUCUAAUUGUAGAAUAAAGAAUAUUGAAUAUAAAUCAAUUUCUGAAUCCCCGGCACCGGUGCCAAAAAGUUGUUGGUCCCCAAUAUACACGCAAGUGUAUGUGGUCGCGCAAGUAGUUUAGAUUCUUUAAGAAACGAGUUAUCGUUCCCAAGGGACUUAUGAUCAAUUUAUAUUUAACACUUAAUUCUACAACUAAAAUUAAAAGCAAUUGUUUCAAGAGUUGAUGUUUGAUUGUUAACUACGACUACUUUAGCAAUAAAUAAAAGUAACCAAGAUUGAACGACUUAAAUAUGAUGUUUCAAGCAAGUAAAAGACAAUUCCAGGGUUGCAACAUGUAUUGAAUCUCAUGUAUCGUAUUAUUGGCUUAGAACUAAUUUCAGUUGCCAAGUUACUGGUUUAUAGGGUUAAUUGUAUGAGUCGGGCUACACACCUCUAGUCGCCUACUCCAGUGAGCUAUCUAACUACAUCGUUGAGCGGGGAUACAUAUACUAACUGACGAGCAUUUAUAUUUCAUCCUAUUUCGUAAUCAAGCAAGUUGUUCGUCCGGGCGUCACUCCUAAACACAAAUCACCUCAAUCAAACGAGCUCUCUAUAUUCUCUGGUCUAUAUAAUCCCUCCUCUCUCGAUUUUAAGAUUAGACAACGUACUUAUCUUAUGGUGAUCAAGCAUAAAAUACUAAAACAAGAAUAUAGAAGUAGCUUGUAAUGACAACCAAGAAUUAAUUCAUAAAGCCUUUUAAUAAUCAACAAUCCUAUUCGUAGCUACAUCUCCAGAACUGGGACGUUUAGCCACUCAUGCUAUUAGAAAACAAGAAAAUACAAUAGUUCAUGCAAUUUCCAAAAAAUAGAAGAGUUAGAGGAUUAAAACCUAUUACAAACUUGAAUUCUUGCUCUUGCCCACUAAAUCAAAAGUCGAAACCUAAUUAUGGAGCCCUAAGGGUCUAUUUAUAAUGGUAGGAAAAUUAGAGCCAAAGUCUAUUCCAAUUAGGAAUCCUUUUUAACACUUUUAAGCUAGAAAAGUCGGGAUCCCACUGGCAUGUCGCGCCUAGCAUCGCACCCAAACCUCACCUCUAAAGUUUCCACCCUGGCGCGUCGCGCCUCUCAGCACGCCUGAGAGGCCUCUCUGAAUGUUGGCCCUUGGCACCUCGCGUCUAGCAGUGCGCUUGGCCCUGGGGCCUUCAUCCUUAGCCGCUUUUCAUGCUCUUUUUACAUCUUUUUUCUUCAAGUUGACUCCAAUUCCCUUGAGAGUUCCUGAAACAACUAAUCAUGCGUGUAAAGUGCACAAUCAUCACAAGUUACCCCCAAAAAAUUAAGCUAAUGACUAGAGAUCAUUCUUCAAUCUAAUCGACUCAUGGGCAAAUAUUGACAACUUAGGCAUAUAAUAUGCCUAAGCUCAGUUAGUUAAUUUGAACAAUUUUUAAUUUUUGUACAUAUUUGUUUUGUUUUCAAAAAAAUUUAAAAUAAAUAAAUGACAUCUAAUAAUUAUGUGUGGCUAGAUGAUGGUUAUUCCUAAUAGGUGUCUCCUCAAUAUUAUGCGUGGAAUAUGUGUGAUAAAUGUGAUGGUCAUGAUGAACACUUUUAUAAUUGUGCUUAUUUGUCCUGCCCUUUUUCGAGCCCAUAAAUAAUAUUGUGAAUAGUGACCAAGUGGAGAGUGAAUAUGAGGAAGAACUUGAGGUGCAAAUGCAAGAGUUCAUAAUGGAAUAAAACUAACCUAAUAAAUUAUAAUUUGAUGAUUUUUAUAUUGAAGAAGUGGUAUCAGAGUCAACCAAGUCCAUAAAAUAUACAAUUUUAGAUAACUCUAAUUUGUAUCACAAAGAGAAAGUUGACAAACCUAUAAUGUUUAUUAAAUGACCACACAAGAUUGUGAAAUGAGUAUGGAUUCUUACAAACAAGAAAAGGGUCAAGGAAAAAGAUAGAUGAGGCUUAUAUUCUAAAUUUUGUGAAGUUGUCGAGGCAAAACAACAAUCAUCACAUGAAAGUCAAAAAGAGUAGAAUAUAAUAUUUAUGUUUUGUCUUUAUUGAGCUUGUACCUCCACCAUUGGAGCAUAGUUGAAAACUUGAAGCAAAAUUGGGGAUCCAAUUCAUAAGCUCGAGAUGGAGGAAAAAAUGGUUCAUUGUCACACCCCAAAAUUCUAACCCCAAAUUAGACCUUGAAUUUUUUUUGCAGUCUGGUGCCACAGAAGACAUCUACGACAUGUAUCAAUAUCUACAAACUGAAUAUGGAUUCGUGGAACCAGGCUCUAGAAAGUUUAUUCUCAGGUCUAAGUUUCACAGACCGAACUAUGAAUCGUAGAAGCUUCCAUGGUCCGUAAAAGGCCCCGUGGAAUCAAGUCCUGAAACACCCUUCCAGUAAGUUUUCUACGGAUGAGCAUGAUGGCCCAUCAAAGUUUCUACGACCCGUAGACUUUUCUACGGAGAGUAGAUGUCCUUCCAUAGAUGGUCAAUUUUUAAGAGGGGUUAUUUUAGUCUUUUCUCACCUUUUGCUAAGCCUAAAUUUCAACGUUUUUACACCUAAUUAAGGUCACAAGAAUCUCCUAGCACAAAGUUGAGUUAAAAUUUUCCUUACCGAUUGAGUUUUGAUAUAAAAUUCUAUUUAGGUCAACUUAAAACGACCAUAUAUCUUAGCAUAUGAAGAAUUAAAUUGCCAUGACCUAUCAAAUUAAAGGGCUAUGAGUAUUAUUUCCAACACCAUCAAGUUUGCGUCAUUUCGAAUUUUGGAAUAAAAAUUUAUUCCCUUUUAAGUGAAGCCCUGUCAGUCAGUCGUUGUUUCACAAUUGACAUUACAGACAGUGAAACGUUCCACGAACUGUCGAGCCUUCCUUGAAGGCUUGCUGCAGUUUUUUCUAGGAAUUUUGUGCACUUGUUCCAGGGUUAUUUUGGUCCUUUCCCAAGUUUUUAGCCAUAUUCUAAGUCAUUUUUAGGUAUUUUCAAGGAGCAUAUCAUUCAACUAACUAAUUUUCCUCUCAUAAUUAUUAAUAUAAACAUUCAAGUUUCCAAAUUUUUUUCUUAAAACUCACCUAGGGCUAGGGUUCCUCUUCUUCAUCAAGAACCCUAAAAAUUCCAUUUCGAAAAUUCAAGAUACAAAGAGAAACGUCCCAUCCAAGGUUUUUCCAAGUUCUUCCACUGUAAGAACUUCAUAAAAGAGUUUAUUUUCUCAAGAUCAAGCACCAAGAUUUCAAGAUCAAAGAUUUCCUCCAAGAAAGCUAAUGAUCUUCCUCAAGCUCAAGAAAAAUGAAGUCUUCACCAAAAUUUUCAAUUCAAGAGCUUCAUAACCAGGUAUAUAAGACUAUUCACAGUGUUGAACUAAGUUCGUCCUCAAGCCCUAUAUGUAAAUUCAGUCCAUAAGAGUUGAAUUUAGUGUUCUACUCAAAAUUUCAUGAUUUUUUCUCAAUUCAAAUUGUGUUCUUAUCGAGUUUAAUUUCCUAAUUAUGAGAGUAUGAUAUUCUAUAUAUUGAUAUCUUUGAGUUGUUGUUCAUGCUUAUAUUUCACUUAAACCUUAGCUUAUGAGAUUUUGUUGAAAGCCUUUGUGCAAUUAUUCUCCUUGCAUUGAUUGUGAAGUUUAAAGUGAGUCUAAGUAUAUUUCUAUAAGCAUAAUUUUGAGAAGAGUUGUAAGGGAACUUUUAAGGUACCAAAUAUAUUAUUUUACAUUGAGAAAAAAAUUACUAUUUCAAGAAAAUAAUAAAGAGUUUUCAGAAUCAUUUCAAACAGAUAGAGUAAAGCCAGUUAUUCCUUAAAGAGGGUCUUUUGAGUAUUAACUCAACUAGAGAAUACUUUUAUAUGAGCAUAUACAGUAUUGAUCACCGAUUUGAGUAAGAGUUCAAUUAUUGUUUAUGUGUAUCUGUGCCACACAUGGUUAGUACGUGUGUCCUUGUUGUUUUUCGAGGAAUCUUAAUGUCCUGUAAAAUUAAAUUUAUUAUUGAAUUUAUUAAUAAUAAACAAGUCCAUUAACAACCAUAAAUAUUGAGCAAUUUAAUUUCUUGAUGAGUUCUUGAUAAGUGUUCUUCAAGUUUCCUUAUCGAUUAAGUUUUGAUAUAAGAUUCUACUUGGGUCAACUUCAAACGACCAUAUCUCUUAGAAUAUAAAGAUUUACGUGAGUCAUAACCUAUUAAAUUAAAGGUAUUUGAAUUUAAUUUUCAACGCCACCAAUUUCACGUCAAUCCAAUUUCUGAGUAAAAAGUUAUGACUAUUUUAGUAACCUAUAUAGUGUUGUUACGAAAUUAGCCGACGGGAGGAAAACAUUAAAAAUGGUCGUUUUUGUUUUUUUUUUUACCUCCAAGAAAACCCUAAACGAAUUUCUUGACUAAAAAAGGCUCAAAACAAUAAGAUUUUCUUCUUUUAAUCCAUCAUUCUCUUCUCUCUCAAACUCUAGGGCAAAACCCGGCCCUAAGGAAAAACUAAAGUAGAAGACUCCAUUCAAGAUUCUUUCAAUCUUUUUCAAGAUUCUUCUUCAAGGUAAGUCUUUCUCCAAGAAUUCCAUUUUUUCAACUCAAAUUCCUCCAUAAAAUUAUGAAUCACUAAUGAAAAUAAUGAUUUUUGGGCAUAGAGAUUUCAAGAAACUAAUUCAAGAAUCUACAAGAAAGGUUUUCUUGAUCGUUUACCUUCAAGCUAGGGUUUCAAAGCUUCUAAUCAAGUUUUUCUUCAAGAUUCUUCAAGAACCUUGCUCUUCCAGGUAUGUAAGGCUAUCAUAGUGUUGGACUAGUUCGUCCUCAAGCCCUACAUCUACUUUCAGAUCAGUAAAAGAGUAACCUAGGAUACUUUCCCUAGAUUUGAGUAUUCUUGAGAUAAGUUGAUUUUGAGUUAUUGAGUUCAUGCUUCUUUUAAAAGUUCUAUUCCUAAUUAUCAAAUUGCUAUAUUGUUAUUGAGAUCCUUUAUAUCAUAAGCCAUAACUCUUGAAUUCAUAAUUCACAUUCAAGAGAGAGUUAAUAGUAGAGUUCAAGAAAGUCUUUGAGUUCAAUUGUGAAUCCUUUGAGUUCAACUGUCGAUUUGAGCUAAGUUUUGAGGAAGUAAGUAUGAGAAUGAGAAGAGUCAUAUACAUGAGUUCCAUAUUGUUAUGGAGACCCUCAAGUCGAGUCGUUCAUGCACAUAAAUUCCGCAUGAACUCCAUAAGUUGAGUAUCUUUGAGAGGAGUAGUAUCUCGAAGUUCUAAGUCUUGAGUAUUGAGUUCUUAAUCCCUUUUGAGAUGUUAUUCCUAAUCAUGGGACUACUACAUGUUACCCAUGAAGCCCUUGAGUUGAGUUGUCCAUGCCCAUACUUUCGCAUAAACCAUAUGAGUCAAGCAGUCUAGAGAUGAGUAGUAUCAUUGAGUCUUGAGUUCUAAGUACUGAGGUUCUUUAUUUUUAUUAAAGAUCCCUAAGUUGAGUCAUUCACGUUCAUAAUUCCACAUGAGCCCUAUGAUUUGAGUUAUAAAUUUUAACAACUUUUUAAAGCAAACACUUGAGUUCUUAAACUGAGUUUUGAGAAAAGAGUACUUUUCUAAAACAUGAUUAGUAUGACAAUCGAGUAUGUCAUCAACGUAUGAGCAGUAUGGUAUCUAGAUAUAGCAUCAAUGUUUAUGCAGUAUGAAUUCCUGAGUCAUCAAUGAUCAUAUUAUAAUAUAUGGGAACUAAGUAUUCCCAAUAGUAAGUGUUAUCGCAUUUAAAAUAGGAGGAAACUGAGAUUUCCAAAAGAGUUUUGAGUAGUUUGAGAAACAUCUCUUUUAAGAGAUAGAUUUUUGAGUAAUUAUCUCAAACCACAGAAAUAGUUAUGUUUUUAAAACAUAUGAGCUAGUUAUUUUGGGAGUAGUAUUGAGCACCGAUAUGGGGGAGAGUUCAGAUAACUCACAGCCUCCAUAAACCAUGUAGCCAACGUGGGUAGAAAGGGUCAUACUUUUUAGAUGAUUACUUAAUGCUUUUUAGCAUAGACUAGUGGAUCCACUCAGUUGUGAUGUCUUAUACCCUGGUGAAGUAUAGGACAAUUCUAGCAACAUGGGCGAGACAUUGUAUCAUCACAUAACUCAUAGUGAUGGUUGUCGGUUAGAGAAACUCCCAUCGAGAUAUUUUGUAUUCUUAUAUACACAUAGUUUAUUUUGUAUUUUCAUAUACAAACAGAGGUUAUUUUGUAUCCUUGCAUACAAACUGAGUAUAUUGUAAUAUUCUUAAAUACAUUGAGUUGCUUUCUACUAUUUUAAAAGGUUUCCAUUUAUUGCAUCUCUUAUUGUUGCUUUAUAUUGAGUUGAGUAUCCUAUAACACCCUGCAACUAGAAAGAUCUAGAAUUAGAAAGACUCAUUUUUGGAAAGACUGAAAAUCUGGAAAUUUGACAAAAUUAAGUAUGAGUUUUGGGUUAACUUCAAACAACCAUAACUCCUAGCUGAAGAUGACUUAGGUGUGACACAAGAUACCAUAGGAAAGAUCUUUGGAUUAUAUUUCCAACGCCACUGAGUUUACUCAGUUUCAAGUUCGUAUGAGUGAGAUAUGCCCAUUUGAAGUUGGGUUGUCUAGAUAAGAAAAGUCAAAACCGGAUUUUAGAAGGGUAUUAUGGUCUUUUCACUGCCCAAUUAUUUAAUUUCAUUUUUGGUAAUUAAGUUGGGGUCUCAAUUGAUGGGAUUCAGUUUACGCUAUUGAAAAAUAAGUUAGGGUUUUAAGAGAAGAGAAAAGAAGAGGAGAAAAGAGAAGGAGAAGCAUGAAAAUCGUCAAGUCUUGAAGAAUAGCUUGUGGAUUUUGUCAAGGGUUGAUCCCUACGAGGUAUGUGAGAUCACAUAGUGUUGGGUUAGUUCACUCACGCACCAAUCAUGAUUUAUUUCAGAGAAUUUGGAUUCUUGAAGGUUUAGAAAUUGAGUUCUUGAUGGAUUUGUUUGAAGUACUAUUGGGUUCUUGAUUGUUAUAGUUGUUAAGGACUUCUUGAUUUUGAUUCAUGAAAUUAGAUGUCGUUUUUAGUAGUUUCUUGCAUAAUUUGAUUAUGUAGUCGAAUCUAAGUGUUUAGGGAAAGACCCAAUUGAGUUUAAAGGGUUUAGAGUUGAACCUGGGCAGAGGGGUUGGGCGUCGCGCCACUCAGAGCGCCCCACAAAGUUCUCUGAAGUUUUGACCCUGGGGCGCCGCGCCAUCCAGCGCGCCCCAACUUCAGUUCUAAAGUUUUGGGUCUGGCGCCCCGCGCCACUCAGAGCGUCAGGGAUGCCAAGUCUUCUACUUUUUCCCACUUCUUUCCGUACGAGUUCCCUUGAAACGUACCUACGUUUUCUAUUUGAUUUCUACACUCUAAGGUAUGUCUAAACAACAUGAAAUCAUUCAUAACAUGAGAUCAUGAGCCUUGAAUCCAUAAUUUAAUUCAAGGAAAAUUAAGAGUCAAGUAAAGAGAAGUUCUUAGAGUUUUCCAAAAGUCUUUUACAAAUGUUUUAACCUUGUUUUAAGACUUGAGUUGUGAGUUGAGUAAAGAGUAAAGAUUGAAGUUCAUUUCUUCAAAAGAGUAUAUGGGGACUAUGUAUUCCCAAAGAGUAAAAUGUUUUCACAUUUAAACAAGAAAGGAAACAUUGAUUCCAAUAGAGCCUUUGAGCUAGUUUUCAGUAAAGAGUAAAUGCUUUCACAAUUAAGCAAAAGAGGAAACUUUGAUUUCAAACAUAGCCUUUGAGCUAAGUUUUGAGCAAUUAUCUCAAACCACAUAAAGAAGUAUGUUUUUAAACAUAAGAGAUAGUAUUUUAUUUUAGGAGUAGUAUUGAGCUCCAAUAUAGGGGAGAAUUCAGACAACUCCUAGCCUCCAUAAACCAUGUAGCCAUCAUGAGAUGAAAAGGGUCAUAAUUUUUAUAUGAUUCCUUAGUGCUUUUUAGCCUAGACUAGUGGAUUCACUUAGUAGUCAGGUUCUAUGCCCUCGGCAAGGUAUAGGACGUCUCUGGUAGUGUGAUUCAAAAUGUUGUAUCAUCACAAUAGCUCUUAAGUGAUGGUUGCGGUUAGAGAGACUCCCACAACAGUAUUAUUUUGUAUUUUAAUAUACAUUUCAGAGUUAUAUUAUAUCCUUGCAUACAUACAUAGUUACUAUUGCAUUCCUAAAUACACAGAGUUGUUAUCCAUGUUUUAAAGCUUUUCUUUAUAUUGCAUUCAUAUUAUUGCUUUAUAUGGAAUGAGUUCAGUUCAGUUCAGUUCAGUUGAGACCAGGUUUGUUCUUUCAGUUCCUUUCAAGCUUAUGUCGUGUUUAGUAUUCCAUUCUCAUGCUCGUACAUUAAAUGUACUGAUGCCAGUUGGCAAGCAUCUUUUUAUGAUGCAAAUACAGGUAACCAGGAUCAGCAUCCAACGCAUCGUUGAUUUUAGUUGAGCUCUAGAGUUGUUGGUGAACCUCCUUGCUUCCGGAGGAUCCCUUUUAUUGCUUUCAGUAUUUAGUUCAUUAGGAUGUCGUGUGUCUUGUACCGACAUCCAUCUCAGUUAUUAGAGGCUUCAUAGAUAGUCAGUCGGUUAGAUUUGUCACUACUUUAUUAUUGGCUUAUGUUUUGAGACUUGAGUAGCCAUCUUGGCUAGUUCUAAGUUUAUUUCAUAAGUUCCUUAUUUGAGACUAUUUCCUGUGUUUAAGUCUUUUGUUGAGUACGUAAACCAGACUAAGGGUUUGCUUAGGGUCAGCAAUGGUUCUCGAGUGUCAGUCCUGUCCAGGGUGUAGGCUCGGGGUAUGACAUAUCCAGAGUUUGAGUAUCCAGAGUUGAGUGUCCUAUUAUUGAGUUGAGUCUUCUUUCCAUGAGUUGAAUAUCCUAUUAUUGAGUUGAGCCUUAUUUCACUGCUUUGAGUUGAGUACCUUAUUCUUCAGUUGAGUUUAGUUGAGUGAGUUGAGAAGAGUCAAUUAUGUUUCCUUUUUAUCAAGUUCAAGCUUAUGUUAUGCUUUAUAAUUCCCCUUACAUGCUCGUACAUUCCACGUACUGAGCCAUUUGGCUUGCAUCGUUUCAUGAUGUGGUGAGCCUCCUUGCUUCCGGAGAGUUCCACUUUUACUUUCAGUUAUAUCAAUUGUUAGGAUGUCGUGGGUCUUGUCCCGACAUCCAUCUUUGUCAUUUAGAGGCUUCAUAGAUAGACAGUAGAGUUUCAAAAGUCUGUUAAGUUAAAUGUUUUAAAGACUUAAGUUUCCUAUUUAUGGCGAGUUGAAUAAUUUAUUUUUAUUUAGAGUUUUUCGUUGGAGUUAAAGCUUUGUAAUUGAGUUUCAUGAAUUUUUAUUCAGUUUUUAAGCUUUGUAUGCUUGAGUUAGUCUUCCGCUUGUAGUCAACUAGGAUGAGGGUUCGCUUGGGGACCAACAAUGGUUUUCGAGUGCCGGCCACGUCCAGGAUGUAGACUUGGGUCGUGACAGUGAGGUAGUUGUUUGUCAUCUCAGCGGACCUUCUUACUCCUAUAUAUGAUCUUGUUAUAUUUUAGAGACAACAUUAUUUGAGACUUAUGUUUUCUUUCAAUUCUAGUGUAAUACAUUAGAGGCUUGUGCACGUGACAACCAGGUUUUGGGGGUAUAUUUAAGUUGAUUAUAAAUUUCCGUAUUAUUUUAUAUUAUUAAACUUUUAUUCUCAUUUUACUUCCGCAUUCACCAUAUAAAAUUGACUUUUAGGCAGACUUGUUUUGGUGGAAAAAGAUGAGUGUCAUCAUGUCCAUUUUUGGGUCAUGACAUAAUGUCUUCCGUUUAGAAGUUAUUCCAUAUACAAUUCACCUACAUUGAAAUAUUUAGUCAAUUGAUUAACAUAGUGUGAUAAUAGUGUGGUAAUAUAUCACCUAUUCCUUAAAUAGCACCCUCACUUCCAACCCGAAGAUUGCGAGUUCGAGUCACUAAGGGAGCAAAAGGGGUGAGAGCUCCUAGGGAGGGUAAAAAAAAAAAACUAACAAAAAAAGUAGUGUGAUAAUAUAUCACCUAUUCCUUAAAUAGCUCCCUAAGAAUCAUCCUCUAACCCAUUUCUUGCAAAACGUUUUACAGAACUAUCAUUUAAAUUUUUUUAAUUCAACUUUCGGAAGAUUACCUCUUCAUCUCUAAAGUAAUGCAACAACAUUUUCAAUCUUAUGUAGCCAUAAAUAAGAUAUAACACAAAUCUUGUUAACCAAACAAUAUGCUUGUGUUAGUUUGUGCAUAAAACAACUGCUAAAUUUUAUGAUAAAGCAAAAGACUUCUGAAAAUUAUUAUUUUUUAAAACAAAGCUCUUGCUACGAACAAACUAUCAACAAAGUUAAAAUUAUUAUUGUUAUAGACUUUUAAUUGCCAACAAUGAAGCUCUGAUUCAUUCAACGUAGCCAUAUCCUUUUGAUUGGCCAGAUUUAUGUUGCUCUGAUCUAUUUAAGGUGACAUAUGAUUGAAAGUGUUGUUGCAAUUCUUUAUUGUUACAUGGGUAAUCUACGUAAAGCUGAAACGAAAAAUAAGUAAAUACUAAUAAUUCUACUAAAUAUUUUCAUAAAAUAUAUGUGAGCACAGGUUUAUGAGAUGCUAUUGAAGGAACAUUAUGUGAAAUUAAUUACACCUUUAUUCAUUUUGUGUAAUGCAAAGAACAAUAUUUCCGUUCCUUGUAAAAUGUGCUACAAAGAGAAUAACAUUUCCGUUCCAAAAUAAAAAGGAGAGUUUCUGUGGAAUGUGGUAUACUGGCCUUUAAUGCCAUUAACAUUCACAAUACGUUAUACAAAUUUAAUUCUUCACUUUGAAACUCCUCUUUGCAAAUUCUAUAUAAGCAUGGCAUUUUGUAAACAAGAAGAUAACACACCAACACAAACAAAAAGAAGAGAAAAACUUUUUUCUCUUUUCUUCUUAUCUUAUUCUUAAAAUAUUUUUUGGGCAAUUGGUUUUAAGUAACCUCCAAACUUUCAGCCAUGAGUGCACGUAUUUGAGAGUAACCGUGGAACCUUGGAGAGCGACCGGCUACAACGAUUUGCACCGGAGUCGAGCCAAAAUUGCUUUCAAGGUAGUGGCUUGACACGACACAAUGUUUGUGAUAAGUUAUUAAUUACUUUAUAAUUCCAAUCUAAUAUCAAUAUUGUAGUAUUUUUCCCAACAAUUUGAAAGCGAUUUACUAACAUACAAUAUUGAUAAAUAGCUAUUUCUUUGAACAAUUUUUUUCUAAUUUGUCAAAACUUGAGUCUUUGGAUGGAAAUAAUUUUAGACGAUGGUCACAAAAACUUUUAAUUUUCUUUGAACAAUUAGAAGUUGAUUAUGUUUUAUUUAAAGAACCUUCUAUGAAUGGUUCUAACACCACUACUGAUUCUAGCAAUGUUAUGACUGUUGAUGAUGUUGUUAAAAAGAAGUUUGAAAAGGAUAACAAAAUUGUGACAGGACAUUUGCUAAAUCAUAUGACUAAUCCUUUAUUUGAUUUAUUUUUAACCUACAAAUCUGCCAAAGAAAUAUGGGAUAGUUGGGAAAAGAAAUAUGAUGCUGAUGAUGCAGGAAAGAAAAAAUAUGUUGUCAGUCAGUGGACUAAAUUCCAAAUGGUUGAUAAUAAGUCACUAAUGGAACAAGUUCACAAAUAUGAGAACUUGACUGUUGAUGUUCUCAACGAGGGACAUGAAGAUGUGUGAGAUAUUUCAGCUUAAUGUUCUACGUGAAAAAUUCCCACCAUCUUGGAGUCAUUAUAGAAAUCAAUUAAAGCAUAGGAAAAAAAUUUAACUCUGCAAGAACUUAUCAGUCAUAUGAGGACUGAAGAGGCGAACCGUCUCAAAGAUAAGAUGGAAACACUUUCUCUUAAAUUCUUCAUAAGCUAAUCUUGUUGAAUCUUUUGGUACUGUUGUGAAAUGCAGGUUCAAAGGAAAACAUAAGAAAGUAUUGAAAAAGGAACAUGUGACGAAGAAAAAUCAAUUUAACAAGCAGGAGAGCCAAAUUAAAAAAUCUUAGGACCCUUGUUUUGUUUGUGGAAAAUUGGUCAUAGGUAUGCCAAGUGCUGUCGAAGAAAGGGGCAGGACUCAAAGCAGGAAGGACAAAGUGAUGUCCAAGCUCAUCUUGCUGAGGGUAAUGAAGUGAUUGUUGUUGUAAGUGUUGAGACAAAUUUAGUGGCUAACAAAACUAACUGGGUGCUAGACACAGACGCUUCAAGGCAUUUCUGUGCCAAUAAAGAGUUAUUUCAUGACUUUGAGGAGUCAACUAAUGGAGAGUGUGUUUACAUUGGUAACUCCACUACUGCUGGAGUUAUGGGUAAAGGAAAAGUUUUACUUAAAUUAACUUCUGAAAAAACUUUAUCCUUGAACAAUGUUUUGUACGUUCCCUCCCUCCGUGGAAACUUAGUUUCCGGAGCACUUCUUAACAAAGUCGGCCUUAAAAUUGUUUUUGAAACUGAUAAAAUAAUUAUUUCACGUGGAGGAGACUUUGUUGGGAAGGGAUAUCUUAGUGGAGGAUUAUUUGUAUUGAACAUUGUUCAAGAGAUUGUCAAUAAUGGAAGUAUUUUAAAUUCUGCUUAUAUUAUUGAGUAUAUCAAUUCGUGGCAUGGUAGACUAGGUCAUGUUAACAUUGCUUCUAUUAAAAGACUUAGGAAAAUGGAAUUUAUUUCUAUGAUAAAAACUGAUGAUUUUUCUAAAUGUCUUGUGUGUAGAAGUAAAGCAUGCCAAGAAACCUUUCAAAUUUGUUAUUAGUAGAAAGAUCGAAUUACUUGAACUAAUACAUUUAUAUUUAGCAGAUUUCAAGAAUAUUGUUAGCAAAGGUGGGAAAAAGUAUUAUAUUACUUUUGUUGAUGACUUUUCUAGAUACACUAAGGUAUAUCUUCUUAAGUCUAAAGAUGAAGUUGAAAGCAUGUUUUUGAAAUUCAAAGAAGAAGUGGAAAAUUAAUUAGACAGAAUAAUCAAGAGAUUUAGAUUUGAUAGGGGCGGUGAAUAUAGUACUAAAACUCUAGAAGAUUUUUGUGAGAAAAAUGGUAUUAUAUAUAAGGUUAGUGCUCCCUAUACUCCCCAACAAAAUGGUGUAGUCAAACGGAAAAUAGAAUCCGUAAAGAAAUGAUGAAUUAUAUGCUUUUAAGCUCUGGUCUAUCUGACAAUAUGUGGGGAGAAGCAGUUUUUUAUGUGUGUUAUAUUCUUAAUAGAUUCCCUCAUAAUAAGUUAGACAAGACCUCAUAUGAGUUGUGUAAAAGGUUUGCUCCUAACUUGAAAUUUCUGAAAGUGUGGGGGUGUUUGGCUAAGGUUGGUUUACCUGAUUUUAAAUGCGUAAAUGUUGGUUCUAAGAUUAUGCUCAAAAUAGUGCUGCAUAUAGAUUUAUGUCUCUAAGUGAUCAUUCUAUUUGUGAAUUUAGAGAUGCAAAAUUUUUUGAGCAUAUUUUUCCUUUAAAAAUUAAUGUGUCAAGUGAUGUGCAAAACAAUGCUUCUACAUCUAUGUCAGUUAAUUCUCAUGUUGUGUCUUCUUCAAAUGUUAUUUCUAAUGAGCAUGAAAAUGAACUUAGAAGGAGUAAAAGACAUAGAGUUGAGACUAAUUUUGGUCUUGAUUUUAUCACUACUUUCUUAACUAAAAUUUUUGAUAUAAAUGUUUUAAAUGAUGAAUUAGUGUCUAUUUAUUUAAUAGAAGAAGACCCUAAGACUUAUGAUGAAGCAAUGAGAUCAAUAGAUGCAAUAUUUUGGAAAGAGGCUAUUAAAGGUGAAUUAGACUCUAUAGUUUCUAAUCACACUUGGGACUUGUAUGAUUUUCUUAAAGGUUGUAAACCCAUAAGUAGCAAGUGGAUAUUUACGAAGAAAUUGAGACCUGAUGUUACAAUUGAUAACUAUAAGGCUAGACUUGUGAUUAGGGGUUUUAACCAAAAGUAAGGUGUUGAUUACAUUGAUACUUAUUCUCCUACGAGUAAAAUAGCGACCAUUAGGACUCUUAUUGCUUUAGCCGCUAUUCAUGAUUUAGUGGUACAUCAAAUGGAUGUCAAAACAACAUUUCUAAAUGGUGAUUUAGAGGAAGAGAUCUAUAUGACUCAACCUGAGGGUUUUUUGGUUGCAGGACAAGAGGAUAAAGUAUGCAAAUUGAGAAAGUCCUUGUAUGGACUAAAACAAGCACCUAAGUAAUGAUAUGAAAAAAUUAAUAUCACAUUAGUGGAUAAUGACUUUGUUGUAAAUUCAUCUAAUACUUGUGUUUAUUCUAAGAUGAUAGGUUUAGAUUGUGUGAUUAUAUGUUUAUAUGUAGAUGACAUGUUAAUCUUUGGUCCUAAUGUGAAUGUUAUUAAUGAGACCAAGAACUUUUUGUCUUCUAAAUUUGAAAUAAAAGACCUUUACGAAGCAGAUGUGAUUUUGGAAGUUAAAAUCAAAAGAACUGCUAAUGAUUUCUCUUUGUGUCAAUCUCAUUACAUUGAUAAAAUGUUGAAAAAGUUUGAUUGUUUUGAUGUAAUUCCAAUGAGAACUCCUUAUGAUCCUAGCAUACACUUGAGGAAGAAUAAAUAAUCUAGUGUUUCUCAAACUGAAUAUGCUAAAAUAAUUGGGAGUGUAAUGUUUCUCAUGAACUAUACUCGGCCUGAUAUAGCUUAUGAUGUUAGUAGAUUGAGUAGAUAUAUUCAUAAUCCCAGUAGUGAACGCUGGAAUGCUCUUCAUAGCUUGUUAAGGCAUUUGAGAGGUACUAUGAAUUGGUGUUUGCAUUUUAACAAGUUUCCUGUUGUUUUAGAAGGUUUUAGUGAUGCAAACUGGGUAACUGACAAUGACUAAGUUAGCUCCACCAGUGGCUAUGUGUUUACUUUGGGUGCAGGUGCUAUUUCGUGAAAGUCUUCCAAACAGACUUGUAUAGCACGUUCUACCAUGGAAUAAGAAUUCAUUGCUAUCGAGUUGGCAGGUCAAGAAGCUGAGUGGCUGAGAAAUCUUUUGGCGGAUGUGCCAUUGUCGGCUAGACAAGCUUCACCAGUCUCUUUUCAUUGUGACUCACAGGCAGCAAUUGAAAUUGCCAAAAAGAGUGUGUACAAUGGAAAAAGGAGACAUAUUCGCAUCAGACAUGGUCUGGUUAAACAAUUAUUGAAACUGGGUGUCAUUUCCUUGGAAUAUGCAAGGUCCGAAAGAAAUUUGGUGGAUCCUAUGACCAAAGGCUUGACAAGGAAAAUAAUCCUUGAAACGUCGAGGGGGAUAGGGCUAAAACCCAUUGAUUGAGGUAAUGUGGUGGACCUGUUAGGCCUCAAUAUACGCCACAUUAUCUAUCCUUAUGGCGUGAGGCAGUGUUUUAUAAGAUAGAGCUUAUUUUGCUCUUAAUGAUUCUAUAGCCUUAAGGUGGUCUAUUUGAGAUAGACUUGAUGGAAUCACCUACGUGAGUGUAAAGGUGUAGUCGUCUUUCUAGAGCACUCAUAAGACCCAAGGUGUAUGUGCAUGACCAUAAAAGCACUUUGUUUCGCGGAGGUUGCUUAAAAUUUAAGAAUAUAAUAUGUGUUAUGGGGAUCUCAAUUCACAUCCAUUCAGUUCAAGAGUACUUCACCUUGUGGAUAUUAAGGUGUUGCCUCAUUUUACUGUGUUAAUUCAAAUUGAAAGAUAUUGACACUUAAGUACAUGUUCCUUCCUUUUAUCCAAUUUUGUUCUUACUCUUUAUCUUUGCAUUAGUGGGGAAUUGUGAAAUUAAUUACACCUUUUUUCAUUUUGUGUAAUGAAAAGAAUAAUAUUUCCGUUCUUUGUAAAAUACGUUACAAAGAGAAUAACAUUUCCGUUCCAAAACAAAAAGGAGAGUUUCUGUAGAAUGUGGUAUAAUGGCCUUUAAUGCCAUUAAUAUUCACAAGACGUUAUAUAAAUUUGACUCUUCACUUUGAAACUCCUCUUUGCAAAUCCUAUAUAAGCAUGGCUUUUUGUGAACAAGAAGAUAACACACCAACACAAACAAAAAGAAGAGAAAAACUUUUUCCUUUUUUCUUCUUAUCUUCUUAUCUUAUUCUUAGAAUAUAUUUUGGGUAAUUGGUUUUGGAUAACCUCCAAACAUUCAGCCACGAGUGCACGUGUUUGAGAAUAACUGUGGAACCUUGAGGAGCGACCGGCUACAACGAUAUGCACUGGAGUCGGACCGAAAUCACUUUCAAGGCAGUGGCUUGCCACGACACAGUGUUUGUGAUAAGUUAUUAAUUACUUUAUAAUUCCAAUCUAAUAUCAAUAUUGUAGUAUUUUUUUUCCAACACAUUAAACUAACUUCUUCAUAAGAAUUUCAAGGAAAAUUAACAUACGAAUAUCUCUUUGAGCACUAACAUCGGGAAGGAAAUAAAGUUGUGAAUGCCUUGACAAAAUUUGCUAUUAUUAUCCAUAAUCCUAUCAUUUUAACUUAAGAGAAUGAAUAUGAUGAAAAUUUCAUGUUUUUAAUUAGUAGAAGAAUUAAAUACUUGAUUUUUGUUCCUCCUUAAAUGCUCUUUGCUUUCCAGAUAUAUUAAGUCUUAAACUUAUGACUUUAUUGUGUAAGCAUAUUUUUUUUUUAGAUCUUUUGGAUUAUUAACUAAAAUAGGAACACAUUGUUAUUUCUUAUGACGAUUUAAAAAGUAAGGCUUUAUGUCCUCCUUAAAGAUUGGGUUAUGAAGGUGAUUAGGGAGUCAUGCGGAAGCUUACAAUUUGCAAAUCAUAUAGUUGAUAAAUCAGAUAACAAAAACUUAUACUAAAAAUCAAACUAUUAUUAUAUCAAAACUAAUAUAAAGAAAACAUUGAAACUUUAGAGAGAAUAAAUCUCUCCAUAAACAAGACUCUUAAACGACUACAUUGUGGAUGUUAUUGUUUUGUGUUAGAAGAAACAAACCUAUAUUUAUAGAGUCCUAAAACCUUUCCUACUAGAAAGAACUAGUUACUCCAAAACCUUUUUCCUAAGAGGAAAGAAUAAACCAAAUAUGAAAAAAUAUUAUAUUUUCCUUUCAGGAAAAGUAAAAACAUUUAUGGUAAUGUUUUGUCUUUUCUUUAAGGAAAAAUAAAUCUUAAAUUAUGAUAAGAAAAUCAGGGCAAAACCCUAACAUCUUUUACUCUGAAAAACUAUGUUAAGGAUUCUUGCCAAAAUCCUCAUCACCUCAAAAAGGUAAACAAUUUUUGGUAAUAAAUAAAUAAAUUAUGAAUCUAUGAAAAGUAUUUGAUGUUGAAAGUGGGUUGCAUUAGUAUCAUCAUCGAUGUCUUCUUUAUUAAUGUGAAAUCUCUCAUUUCAAACAGACUAAUUAUAUUUAUCAAAAAAAAAAAAAAUCAUUAUAUAGAGGAGUAAGAGAUUAGGUUUUUUUAGAAGUCACAAACUUUCUUAAAAUAUGUUACUUUUCUAGAACGUCAUAAAAAUAUGAAUUUCUUUUUUGUCGAACUCAUUUACUAUUUGUUUGGGUGAAAUAAAGAUACUAGCAAACAUAAUGAGAAUGUAUAAAGAAGAAACAAUUGCAUUUAAAAUAUAUUGUUUGUGGCUCAAUUAAUAUCAACGUAAACUCUAAGCCAACAGUAAUUAAUAUAUGUUCAAUGCAGGGGCGGAUGUACAAUGUUUCCAGGGGUUCAUCCGAACCCCCUCGGAAAAAAAAUUACAUUAUAUACGAUCAAUUUUUUAAUGUACGUGUAUAUAUUUAAAAUUGAACCUCCUGAACAUAUGUCAAAGGAGUAGCUCAACGGUUGAUGGGGUUCAGAAUUUCAAUUAUAUGAGCUUUGUGUCAAUUCCAUGCAACAACAUCUUUUUCUUCUUUCUUUUUUUGUAAUUUUUAGUGAUUUUGCAGGCUUCAGGCUUAAGUUUUAAGUGUUUUUUUUUUAUUAUUAAAUACAGAUAGACCAAACGACGACAUUUCAUAAGUCAUAACUAAUCAAAAAAAUUAUAUUUUAAAUCUCUAAUUGAAAAGUCAAGAAAUUAAAAAAAAAACCCUCUUUUCUAGGGAUUGCAUUAUAAUAUUUUUUUCCUCCUAGUCUUCUCGUUCAACUUCACCUUUGCUGCUCGCUGGUGCAGUCGCGAUAACAAAAACCCCUCUUUGUCAACCCGUUUGUUAUUCAAUCUGUUCAUAUAUGAUCCGACCCGUUUAUUUAUGGAUAUUAUUAGCGUGUUUAAUUAUUAUUUUUAACCCCUUGAUAGAAUUUCUGACUCCGCCACUAGUUCAAUCUAUCACAAUUCAAUUAUUAUUUACAUUAGAUUUCAUUAAUUAGAAUCUAACAUAACUCAUUUAGGGUUAAAAGAUAGCUUCAAGCUGCUUAAAGCCUCAUUUCUUCAAUUAUUCGAUUACUUGUGUCAAAAUCCAUUUGUGACAUUAAUUAUGUUAUCAAAGCUAGUGGAAAUUUCAUUUAUAAUAGAGAUAAUAAUGGGUGGAGCAUCCUCCCUAUUUAAAAAAAAAAAAAUACACCCUAAACUAAUGGUCCCAUCGUAUUGCAUGGUUACAUCAAAAUGUUAUCUCUAACAAAUUUUCAAAACAUUUAUAAUUUGAAUUAUUGGAGCUAAUGUCAUUAUAUAUAUAAUUUUAUGAUUAAUCAAUCUUCAAUCAUUUACCUACUAACUCCUCAAGUUUCUACUCCCUCCGUUCCCUAUUUACUUGUCCAUAUUUUCUUUUUUUGGUUGUCCCUAUUUAGUUGUCCAUUUUGACAAAUCAAGAAAGGACAACAAAUUUUUUCCUAUUAUACCCUUAUUUACACUUCUUGAAAAUUGUAAAAGUGUAUGUUGUUUCCCUCCAAUUAUUUCACUUGAAUUUAAAUAAGUGGUUGUAAUUUUGAAGUGAAAAGUUGUCAUAAGGGUAAAAUUGUAACUUCACUGUGCUAAUCAUUGUUGCCUUAAUCUGUGUGCCAUUUCUAAAGUGGACAACUAAAAAGGGACGGAGGGAGUAUUUAAUUUGAUACUUUCUCCGUUUUAAUUUAUAUGUCAUCAUUUUAGAUUUCACGUGCAUUAAGAAACUAAGUUUACUAUUUUACCUUUAAUUGAUGUUUUUUUAAAUCAAGUUUUCAACAUGAAUUAAUUUAUUUUGAUUAAUUAAUUUGACCAAUGAACAUGAAGUAUUUACUUAGUUUUUCUAUGUUGGUUAAAUGUAUAUUUUCAAGGCUAAUAACUCGCAAGGGUAAAAUAGAAAGAAUAAUGUCAUUAUACAUUGAUUUUGUGAAAUGACAAAUAUUAAGGAUCAUCUAUUUAUAGUUGAAUUUUCUAACAAUUCAUCGCUAAUCCGUAACUAAAUAGGAUUGAAAUUUAAUUUGUUGUUUAGCUACGAAAUUCUGUCCAUCGCCAAUUCCUUAUUUUUACUCGUAGUAAAGAAACCUAUUUCUAAGGAAGUCAUUUAUUUCCUUAUUUUUAAGAGAAAGAAUUGUAGAGAAAAUAUUUUGAAAAUUUUGACUGGAAAUUAAAAAACUAAAAAAAUAUCUUCAACUUAUUUUACACCACGAAUUUUAAAUUUUGCAAAUAGUAAAACAUGAUUAAAGAAUAUGACAAAAAUGGUUCAUUAUCUUGGAUGAUAAGUUUAAAAUAGUCACUUAAGAGGUAAGUGUCACUUUGAUCAGCAGUUUUGGUACUUUAAAUUUGAGAAAUGACCAGAAUGGUUCUUAAUGUAUGGGUAAUGUUGUAUUUUGGUCUUUUAUGUAUUUCACUAGACUGAAACGGUCCUUAAUAUAUAAGAAAUGUGUUCAUUUUAAUUCUUAAUGUAUUUCACUCGAUUGAAAUGGUCCUUCAUGUAUAAAAAAGGUGUUCAUUUUAGUCUUUAAUGUAUUACACUUGAUUGAAAUGAUCCUUAAUGUAUAACAAAAGGUGUUCAUUUUGGUCCUUUGUUUGAAAUGAAAUUUACUGACAAGUUUAAUGAGCUAUUAAUAUAUAAAGCCAAGUUAUAAAUUCAUUUUAUUAAAUAAUAUUAAAUUACUAUAUCUAAUUCGCACAACUACGGUUCCAUUCAAUUUUUUUGUUUAUAACAAAAUAACAAAAAAUCAUGUAAAGAUCUUAAAGAUGAGAAUAACUUUUUUGAAAUAAUAUUUUUACUUUGUUAGCAUGAUAAAUAUUUGUUUUUUUUAAUCAUGGUGAGAUGAUUCAUACUUAAAAGUAUAAUUGUCAUUUAUUUCUCUAGUGAAAAAGAUAUUACAUAUAGUUCCAAAUUAUAAGUUAUAUUGGUAAGUUUUCUAUCUAGAUUCAAUUGAUAAGUUUUUAUGUCUCUAGUGAAAAAGAUAUUACAUAUACUUCCAAAUUAUAAGUUAUAUUGGUAAGUUUUCUAUCUAGAUUCAAUUCAUAAGUUUUGUAAUAAACUUUUUCUUAUGAAUAUAGUUAGAUAAAAAAAAUAAAAUUUGAAAUUUAAAUUUGAAUGUUCAUAAAAUUUAUUAAUAUUAGAAAGGAGAGAUAAUCUGCUUAAAAAUAAAUUAUUUCCCCCUUCUUAUUUGAGACAAGAGAAUAAUAGUAUUGAGAAUUAAUUGGUAAUUUGUCAAAUUUUGCAUCAUUUAGCUUUUAAAGAGAAAACUAUGACAUGUACUUAAGAAUGAUAAAAUCGUAUUUUACUAUUUAAAAAUAAUAUUAUUGAACAUUUUAAAUUCUAAAAUUACCAAAAAGAUGAUUUAUAUAGUUAAAAACAUUUUGAAAAUUGUAUUGAAAAAACUAAAUUUCAAAUUGUGAGGGUUGAAUAUAAAGCAAGUAAAAAAUAUAGUGAAGAUUGAAUAACAAAUGGGGUGCACAAAAUAUGAAUGAAAUUGAUAACAGUUAAGCAUUUUAAAUUUAUAUAAUAGAUAAUAAGAUUGAAAUGAUAUAAAGAGAAUAGACCCAUAUGUUUAGAGGUUAUUGGUGAGGAAAUAAGAUAUGAUCAAGUACAUAGUAUACUUUGUAUUGCCUACUGUACAACUCUUCAUAGUCAUAGUUGUCCUACCAUGACUUCUCUAUAUAAUAGAAAUGUGCUGAAAAUGAUAUUUUAAAGAUCAUCCAAAAACCAAACCAUUCAAUAUAAAGACGAUUUUCAGUACUAUUUUUUUUUUAAUAGAACUUAUUAAGGCGGAGAAAACGUUUUCAAAAUAUUAAAUAUGAAAAAGUUCCUCCCUACUCAAUCCACCCUAAACUAAUGGCCCCAUCGUAUUGCAGGCUUACAUCAAAAUGGUUUCUCUAACCAACUAAUGUCCAAAACAUUUUACAUUUUUGCGUAAUUGGCGCUACCAAACAAAUGUCAUUAUGUAAUUUUAUGACUAAUCAAUCUUCAAUCAUUUCGAAACGAUAUUUUAGUAAUGUUCUAUUUUUUUUAAUUAAAGAAGCAGAACAAAAUUUGAAAUAUAUUUUUAGUUUCUGGCAUUUUGAUUAAAUCAAUAGUGUUCUAAAUUAUUCAAAUUUUGUUCAAAACGAUAUAUUUUGUUAAAUGUAUUCUAAUUUUAAAAUUAUUUAUCGAUAUAGAUUUUCAAAAAACCAUUUGAUAUGAUUUGUUAGUUUUUUUAAUUAGUAAAUUUAUUUUUGAGAAAAUCCAAAUUAUUAUCAAUAUAUAACUAUCAUUUUUUUUUACAGUUUUAUUUGAUAAAUUUUGAAUUAAAUUUGUGAACAUUAUUACAAAAGAAUUAACACGCUUCUCAUAAGACAAAAUAAGUUAAAAUUGCUUAAUAAUUAUCAUCACUAUAACAUGUGAUGAAAAUUAGGAAAGUAUUUAUUAAUUUUUUAUUGUAUAUAUGAAAAAAAAUCUAUACAUAUGUAAGUUUGGGGGUUAUUUAGUCUUCACCUUUGCUACAAACCAUUUCUUGAAGGAUUGACAUCUGAAACCUCUUGUCGAUAUGAGCCUUGAACACAUAUUUGUAAUCAAAAUAAAAUUAAACAUUUCAUGAUCUCAUAAUAUGCAUAUAAUAAUUGUUUCUUAUUUUCAUAAAAAUAGAGUUUACAUCUAUUCUAUCUCUACUUAAAAUGCAUCACAUUAAUUAUGUUAUGUCUCCUAAUUUAUCUCUUAACUUCUACCAAGAUAACAUAAAAUCUUAGAUAACUUUCGUCUAAUUUUUGAUAUCCAAAUUUAGUAUACCUGCAUGAUUUUGAAGAAAAAAAAUUAUAAGUCAUUUAAUAAACUUUAUGCCAAAACACUAAUUGCUCGUAGUGUUACAUAAGUUUUUUUUUUUAAUAUAUACUAUCGUUUUAAUUUUGAAAAACGAAGAGAAUAAGAUUAAACAAAAAACAUGAUUAAGAUAUUACAAAAUCCAAAGUGAUAUUAAACAAUAAUGCUUACCUUUUUUUCCUCAAUAAAAACAUGUUACUAAACAAAUAAUUUUUAUUAUGCUUCCUCUUAAAGCCUGUGAGAAAAAUUACAAAAACAUAGACAUGAAAUUAGCAUUGAUGUAGAUAGCAUAAAGUCAGUUUGGAGAGAUCAAUUCACAUUGAUGCAUAUACUUUGUUAGACGAUUUUUCUUAUGCUUGAUCAAAUAUAUCUACUCCUAGAUAAGUUGAUAUAUCAUUGGUAUUAUACGUCUAUAUAUGAUAUAAAGAAAAUAAUGUAAAAAAAAAAAAGAAUCAGAAAAUUCAUCAUCUAAAAGUGAAGUGCUCUCUCUAUAUCUUCUCUCCAAAUUUGUGAAGAACAUAAUAGAAAAAAGUAAUUAUUUUUCCCUUUGUAUCUACUCUCAGGAGGCGGUUUCAAAAAUAAUAAAGCAAAAAAUAAAAAUAAAAAUAAAAAAAGAAGCAGUUUUUGGGUAGUUAUUUGCAAUUCAAAAAUUGUGAAAGUUCCCUAUUAAAAAGGAGUCCCAAUUCAAAAAACGUAAGCAAACAAACAAUUUUACAGUUUUAAUUAGAUAAAAAAAAAACUUCUACUUGUCUUGUUAAAACAGUAAAUUUUUUUCUUUUCAACUUGUUUUUAAAACAGUAACUUUUUUUCUUUGAUUAAAAAAAAACUGCAGUUUUUAAGAUGAUAAGAAGUGGAUGAAAAUGGGAUAAUGGGGUUUCAUUCGUCCUUUUUUUAAAAAUAUUUUUAUAUUUUUUUUUAUCUUUUUCUAUUUUAUCUUUGACUUUUUUAAAUGUAAAAAAUUAUGGUAACUAUUUUGAAAAAGAAUAAUCGUAGUUGUAGUUUUUCAAAAAAAACAUUUUUAAAUUUUAAAUAUUAUUUUUCAAAACUAAAUAAAUGAGAAAUUUUGUGGUGCUGACACGUGUCACUUUUUCUUCUCCUAUUAUAUAUAGAUAGAUAACUCCUCAAGAUUCUAUUUUUUUUUUAAAAAAAAGGGAAUAAUGUGACAUGGCAUUUGGACAUUAGUUAGUUAGAGAGAGAUGUUUUUUUUUGGUCAAGUAUAGUUUGAGGAAAAUAUGUAAAGUUGGGUGAUAUUGUAGUCCUAAAACAAACAAAAGUGAUAUUAUUAGGUAAUUUCUCAAACGUGGAUAUCUAGGAAAAUUACUCCGUUUUCAAUCAAUGAACAUGAAUUAAUUUAUUUUGAUUAAUUAAUUUGAUCAAUGAACAUGAAUUAUAUAUUUACUUAGUUUUUCUAUGUUGGUCAAAUGUAUAUAUUUUCAAGGCUAAUAACUCACAAGGUAAAAUUGAAAGAAUAGUGUCAUUUAUACAUUGAUUUUGUGAAAUAACAAAUAUUAAGCAUCAUCGAUUUUUGUAAGGACGGCAUUGUAGACAUUGAAAUUUUGUGGGAUUCUACAAGAUGUAUUCAAUAUGAAUUGGGAAUCUAGAAGGUGUGUUCAGUUUCAAUUAGAAUUCUUAGAGGCUACGUACUAAAUUCUCUUAAAAGACAUAUCGAAAAUUCCACACAGAGAUCAAAAUCUCAAAUACCCCAUAAACUCUUGGGUAUUUUUAAAGAUCAAGAUCUCAAAUAUUCCAUAAAAAGUCAUUAAAUAGUCAUAUAGAGGUCAAAUCUAAAUCAUCCUAGUUUGAGAAAUACGCCACUAACGGCCCUCGAAUCAUGAGUAAAUCUUAGGAGAGUAGAAUCAAGGGAUCAACAAAAUUGUACCCGCAAUCUUGAUGAAUAAAAUUAUGUUUCUUCAUUUUUUUUUUGUGAUUGUAAUUUAUUUUCCGUCGCUUUAAAUUUUGUUGCAAACAAAUUGGCACGCCCAGUGGGACCAAAUCUGCCCUUCAUCUCUUCUCUUAUAAAUGAAAUCUGAAAAUCUGAAGCUGCAAAGGUGGAAGAAUGAGUACUUCAAGCCUCGUCUUUGAGUUUCAUCAAGUCUACACUCCGACAUGCCUUGAAGUAGGGGACAUUUGUAGACAUUGAAAUUUUGUGGGACUCUACAAGACGUGUUCAAUUCGAAUUGAAACUCUAGAAGGUGUGUUCAGUUUCACUUAGAAUUCUUGGAGACUAUUCAACCCUAAAUCCUAGUUCAUGCCUAUAUAAAGGGCAACUAAAUUCCCUUAAAAGGCAUCUCGAUAUAUUCCACAAAAUUCAUGGAAUAUUCAUAUAGAGGUCAAAUCUAAAUUAUCCUAAUUUGAGAAAUACGCCACCUGACUCAUUGAUCAACUUAUCCAACAAGAUUUUUUGAUUUUUGUAAGGAUGGCAUUGUAGACAUUGAAAUUUUGUGGGAUUCUACAAGAUGUGUUCAAUUUGAAUUGGGAAUCUAGAAGGUGUGUUCAGUUUCAAUUAUAAUUCUUAGAGGCUAUGUACUAAAUUCUCUUAAAAGACAUAUCGAAAAUUCCACACAGAGAUCAAAAUCUCAAAUAUCCCAUAAACUCUUGGGUAUUUUUAAAGAUCAAGAUCUCAAAUAUUCCAUAUAAAGUCAUUAAAUAUUCAUAUAGAGGUCAAAUCUAAAUCAUCCUAGUUUGAGAAAUACGCCACUAACGGCCCUCGAAUCAUGAAUAAAUCUUAGGAGAGUAGAAUCAAGGGAUCAAAAAAAUUGUACCCGCAAUCUUGAUGAAUAAAAUUAUGUUUCUUCAUAUUUUUUUUGUGAUUGUAAUUUAUUUUCCGUCGCUUUAAAAUUUGUUGCAAACAAAUUGGCACGCCCAGUGGGACCAAAUCUGCCCUUCAUCUCUUCUCUUAUAAAUGAAAUCUGAAAAUCUGAAGCUGCAAAGGUGGAAGAAUGAGUACUUCAAGCCUCGUCUUUGAGUUUCAUCAAGUCUACACUCCGACAUGCCUUGAAGUAGGGGACAUUUGUAGACAUUGAAAUUUUGUGGGACUCUACAAGACGUGUUCAAUUCGAAUUGAAACUCUAGAAGGUGUGUUCAGUUUCACUUAGAAUUCUUGGAGACUAUUCAACCCUAAAUCCUAGUUCAUGCCUAUAUAAAGGGCAACUAAAUUCCCUUAAAAGGCAUCUCGAUAUAUUCCACAAAAUUCAUGGAAUAUUCAUAUAGAGGUCAAACCUAAAUUAUCCUAAUGUGAGAAAUACGCCACUAGCGGCUCUCGAAUCAUGAAUAAAUCAUAGGAUAGUAGAAUCAAGGGAUAAACAAAAUUGUACCCGCAAUUUUUAUCAAUAAAGUAAUGUUUCUUCUUAUUUUAUUGUGAUUGCAAUUUAUUUCUGUCACUUUUAAAAUUUGUUGUAAACAAAUUUCCAAUUCGAAUUGAACACGUCUUGUGGGACGGUAUAUAAAUAGGAACGGAGGGAGGGAGUAUGAAAACAAGAAAGAUAUCAUUUCAUUUUGAUUAUAUAUAUAUAUUAGAUGUACAAAGAUAGAAUAUAACAUUAACAUGUUUUCUUUUCCUUCCAAAAUGGAGUAUCAACAUUUACCCUACUUCAUUUUUAUCUCACUUGUUCUCUUCCUCUCCUCUUUCUUCCUUGUAUCUCAAAAAUGGAAGAAAUCAAAAUCUCCAAACAAAACAUUGCCUCCUGGACCAUGGAAACUACCUUUUAUAGGAAACUUGCAUCAAUUAAUGAGCNNNNNNNNNNNNNNNNNNNNNNNNNNNNNNNNNNNNNNNNNNNNNNNNNNNNNNNNNNNNNNNNNNNNNNNNNNNNNNNNNNNNNNNNNNNNNNNNNNNNGGCAUAAAUAUGGGAUCGGUUGCCGCGUUCUGGCAUAUCAUUAGGAUCGGAUACCAUGUUUCGAUAUGCUAAUUGUUUGGAUUUGGGUUCCGUGAAAGGACCAAUGAUUUGUGAUAAAUGUAUAAUGAUGAGCAUGUUGAAAAUAUUGUAGAUGUUGAUAUAUAUGCAUGUGAUUAUAAUGUUGUUUGACUUGCUUAUGUUACACUAGUGGGAUAACUGCUUGAUCCUACUAGUACGCUAUGGUUGUGUACUGAUUCUGCACUUGCUCUUAUUUUUGUUGAGUACAGGGUAUCUUCAAGCGGCUAUUGAUAAACCUCGCUUAAGAGAUUAGAGAUCGUCGCAUCGAAUUCAAGGGUAAGCCAAAUCUUUCGGGCUGCCAUGGAAUUCUCUUUCGUAUAUGUCCACCAUUUUCGGACUUAGACAUUUGUUUUAGUUAAUUGAUUAGUUCAUUAGUUAGGGUUGUGACCCUUCUGAUUUAGAUUUGUUAUUUCGUUAGUAGUUUUGGUACAUUGACUUUUAGAUUCUAGGUUGUUUCUUCCGCAUUUGUUUAGUAUAGUUAUUUUGAUCUCUUGUUGAAGUUUAAUUAUGAGAACUUCAUUUGUGAGUUAUUUAAUAUGUUUUAGUAGUUUAAAUGCCUUAGUUUUGGUUUAGGUUCUUUUUUUGAGGUGUAGUAGUGGUUCUCCCACUGCAGGGUUAGUGUGGGUGUCAAUCACGACGGUCUGGGUUGUGACACAAAUUUAGAUUAAUUUUACAUGUUGGAAUAUAUACUAGACCUAAAUUUCAAUAACUAAAACCCCUCAUUUCCUGGUUGCAUUAACACUUAGAAAUAACUACAACCCUCCAAAUUCUAAUAACCUAAAUCCCUGAUUUCUUUGCUUCAUUAAUAGAACAUUUUCUAAUAACUAUAACCUAUGAAAAUUUAAUAACCAAAACCCCAUAUUUCUUGGCCGUAUAUUUCACAAUUAUUGCAUACCCAAUGGUAGUUACAUAUACAUUUAUGAUGGUUAUUGCAUACAUAUUUUUAUUUUCUUCUUGAAAUAUUUCCUAAGUGUAACGACUUGUUCCCGUCGUUAUGAAAAAGCCAAUGUGGAAAUAAUUUGGGCUAGAAAACUUUUGAGUAGGAACUUGGAAAUUUCUAGUCUAGGCCAGACUUGGACGAAAUCUGAGUCAAGUGAGGUCUAGGGAAAUCUGGUAAUAAACUGGGGGUUUAAUUAUGAAUUUGAUCACAUGAGUGGAUAGCCAAGACGUUAAGGAGCUUGUAUGGCUUUACGAAAUUGAAUUCGGGCGAGAAGAACUCCCGGAACUGAUCUUGGCGUGAAAGGGUAGUUUUUUAACGUCAAGGGUUGAAGAUGUGUGGAGAAAUGGGAGCUUGGAACUCAAAUUCCAACAUUCUGUCUCCGUGCAAGCUGCCAGAGCGGGAUUGAUCCCGCCAGGGUGGGGCCGCUGUAGCGGGACAGUUGCGACUUAAGUCAGGGAAAAACCCCAAUUUCAUUAUUUUUCUGCAAACUUCGUUCUUAAGAGUUAGGAGGUGACCCAGGACGAGUUCUUGACAGUUUUCCACGACUUUUGGUGCUAAAGGUAAGGAUUUUACUCCCCUAAUCCGUAGAACUUAGAUUCAGGGGUAAUUAUCAUUGGGGGAGAGUUUGACCUGAAAUUAAUAGUGGAAAAAGCCUUAUGUUGGGUAUUGAGAUCUUGGGUUUGGCCUAGGGUCGAUAAUGUCGAUUGUAAUCUAGGUAAUUAAGCCUCGUUUAUUGAUCCUUCCAUUAUUUGUAUGUUUUUAGAACAAGAACAAGCGAAAAGAAUCCGGAAAGGGAAGAUUCAAGAGCCUUAGGGGGAUUCAAGCUUGGUUUCGAGGUAGGUGAUAGUUUGAUUUCCUGUUUGUGUGAUGCAUGUCGAUUGAUUUCUAUAUUGUAUACAUGUGUGUAUGCGAAUAGGGAAAUGUGGAAACGAACCUAAUGUAAUGAUUAUGUGUGAAUAAUACAUGACAUGAACCUGUUACUUAAUUGUAUGAUUUGAGUAUUGUUCAUUAUGGAUGUGAUUGUGAUUGCGAUUGUGCUGAUUGGAUCGGGUGUCACGUUUUGACACAUACAUUAGAUCAACUAUCACGUUCUGACUCAUAUAUUGGACCGGGUGUCACGUUCUGACACAUGCAUUGGAUCGGGUGUCACGUUCCAACACACUAACAGUUUGGGUGUGGGUUCCAUGAAAGGACCAUUGUGUUGUCAUAUCCAAUUGCUAUUGAGAAGGUGGAAUUGUACAUUGCUUGUAACGACCCAAACCGUUGUUAUAUAGGAAAAGCAAAACGUCAGGAAAAUACUGGGGACAUUGUCCCACCAGAGCGGGCCAGAUGCCGCUAGGGAGGUAGCGCCACAUCGGGAUAAGUAGCCGCCAGAGCGGGAUAGGCGAGACAAAAUUUAAAUAACGCGAAGUCCUAUUUUCUCCUUUUUCCAAAAACACUAAAAAGAGGUGAGAAUCACCCUAAAAUCCCUCAAAAAGAUGCUUUAAGCUUGGGAAGGAAGGAGAAAGAAUUUUCUAGCGUAAUGAGGUCGAAAGAUUGCAGAUUUUCGAUCAAGAUCCACCGUCCCGUCGUCCGGGAACCAGAAUUUGAUCUAUAAUUCCUCUGUGAAUGCUUGGCGCCCCAAGUAGGCUAGGUUUAUUUAAUUGAGUAGUUAUAAAUCUAUUAUUCACUGCAUGGUAUAUUGCUAAAUUGACAGUAGAAUUCAUGCAUAGGCUUUCAUGCACCAAAAAUAGAUUGUUGUACAUGUAUCUUAGGUGUUACACCGAACGUAUACCGUAGGAGAAAGCCUUAGUCGAUGAACUGGGGUUAGGUGUUGGUUGAUUUCCUAAUUGACGAUAUUGAUGUUGAGUUAUUGAGAUAUUGUAUGCAUGUGUGUAUGGGAAGGAUCGAAAUGUGGGAACGAACAUAAUGAAUAGAAUAUGUGCAAUUGCAUGCCAUGAACCUAAUGCUUGAUUGUGUGAUUAUAAGUAUGUUCGUUAUGGAUGUGAUUGUGCUGAGGGACCGGGUGUCACAUACGAACACACUAACAUGCAUUGGAUCGGAUGUUACGUACCAACAUACAUACAUACCUUGGAUCAGGUGUCAUGUAUCGACACACUAGCAUGCAUUGGAUCGAAUGUCCCGUACCGACAUACAUACAUACAUUGGAUCGGGUGUCACGUACUGAUACACUAACAUGCAUUGGAUUGGAUGUCACGUACCGACAUAAAUACAUAUUGGAUCGGGUCACAAUCCGGCACACUAACAGUAUGGGUAUGGAUUAUGUGAGAGGACCAUUGACUUGUCAUAUAUGUUUAUUUGUGAGAAUGGGGAAUUGUUCAUUGAUCUAGAAAUAGAUGACUGGAUUAUCUAAUAUCUGUAUAUAUGUGUGGCUUGCGGUGUGGUAGGUAAAUUGGAUAUAUCGAUUUAUGUAAUGGAUAGGGAAUGGUCAGGCCCAUUCGGGAGGUGCUACGGUGAGUAGGGACCAAGGGUCUAGUAUUACUAUGUGUUACCUUUUAAAGAUGGUCAUGAGAAUUGUGUUGUUACAUCUAUUGUUAUUGAGAUGAAAAGGUAGUAUUCGUGAUGUAAAUACAUAGGUAGAUACUACCUUGGGUAAAGGGUUCGUAUUUAGUGAUUAGUAAGCCUUGAAUUUAUGUACUAUGGGUCAAUGGUUGAGUGGUAAUAUGGAAGCAACAAGGGUACGUUGUGAGUGGAUAGUCGAAAUGCUUGUGGUGUUAUUCGGGAACUCUUCUAUGAGUUAUAAUGUUUAAGCUAUGAUCGAGAACCGAGUGAGUAGGGUGUUAGAGAGGAGUAUUAUAAUUAAUUUUGCUAGUAUAUGAUAAAAGUAGCCGGGGAUGGUAAGGUGGAGGAAUAAACGGUCUUAUUGCUUGUAUUCCUGCUAGUCAAUUUCUUAUAUUAUGUGGUGGGUAUCGGGUUGACCGAUGAUGCCUAUUGGUACGUGUGGUUGUACUAAUACUACUCUUGCUAUGCCUUUUUGGCAUAGUCUGGAUGCAGGAUCGGUGAUGUUUCCUAGGUAAAGACGAAGAUAAUCUCCAGUAGCUUCUAUUUUUCCUUCCGCAUAGUGGGAGCUGUGUCCUUGAUAUUUUUGUUAUAUCUUGUAAUCUUAGAAGCUCUUGUGCCUGUUUAGACUAGAUCCUUGGGGGUGUUAAUUACUUUACAAGUCUUAACUUUAAAAUGUAUUUAGAAGUCCUUGGUUAUAAAAUUUUGAAAUUCCAUCUAUCUCAAUUUUUCUUUAAUCUCGCAUGUUUUUGAACCGUUGGGAAUCGAGGGUUCUCCUACUGAGGUGUUAGAGUAGGUGCCCGAAUGGCCCGGUGGGUUGGUCGUGACAUUGCUCCUGUAAUGAUAACUGGAUUGUAUCCUGUAUAUGUUUGUUUAUUGUAUUGUGAUUGUCGUUGUAUAUUGUGCUUAUGGGAGUAGCCGCGUGAUCCUACCAGUACAUUGUGGUUGUGUACUGAUACUACACUUUCUCUUUCUUUGUUGAGUACAUGGCAUCUUCAGGCGGCUACUGACAGACCUCAUUUAGGAGAUCACUGAUCGAGACCGAAUUCAAGGGUGAGCCAGUUCUUCUAGGCUGCCAUGAGUUCUCAUUUGUUUAGUCCAUUUUCUUCAGACUUAGACCAGUACUUUAGACAUCCGCUUGUUUAGUUUUGGGGUUGCACCCCUUGUUCUUAGACUUGUCGUUAGUAGAGUUUUGGUACAUUGACUUUCAGGUUCUAGGCAUUGUUUUCCGCAAUUGUUUUGUUAGACUUUCGAAUUUUAUGGGAACUCCCUAUUUUUCCUUUAGACAUUUAAACCUGCUUCCAUAUCUUUUAAUGUUCUAGUUUUUCGUUAUGUUGCUUGGUUGGGUCGUGGUAAUGGUUCUCCCAUCGGAGAGUUAGUGUGGGUGUCAAUCACGACGGUUUGGGUCGUGACAUUAAGCUUAAAUAACACAUUUGGAUAUUUUUUUCAAAUUUUUUUAUAUGUCUUAUAUUAUAUAUUUGUUAUUUUUAAGUUUUGCUUUUAUGAAACUUAUACCCUUUCAUUUAUUUAUUAUUUUUUCUCUUUUAUAUGCUUUAAAUAUCCACCUUCAUAUCGCAUAUCUAAUUACCUAUUCAACUGCUACUAUAUAUAUAUAUAUAACUCUCAUACUUUUCAUAUUUACAGCCUCUAAAUAUUUAAUUUAAGAUUUUAAGAUAACUUUUGGUGUUCCUUCAAUUUUAUUUAUGUAAAUGAUCUUCUUUUUGUUCUAUUGAUUCAUUCUUUAGUUUGACUCGACAUAGAUAGAUCUUGAAUUUUGAUUGGCUAUGAUAGAAGGAGUCGACAAGAACUCAGAAAAUUAUGUACUAUUUUUGUAUUUCUGUUUACAUCUAUAUUGUAUGAUUAAAGUCUUAAGAAAGAUGAGUACAUCACAUUUUUUGUGUUUUCUAUAUAUUAGACUUUUAAAAUUUAAUUUUCUAUGAAUAUUGAUUAGUCAUUUGUGGCUUUAUUGAAAGUUUGUUAACUACUAACCAAAAUUCAAAAGUUACAAUUGGUUGCUUAAAAGAACUUGAUUUUAAACAUUAAAAUACACUCCUUAUUUAAUACUUUUUGCCAUAUUUUAAAGAUAUAUUAGUAAUUAUUGCAUUCUAUUACUCACUACAGGUUUUCAUAGAAUUUUAAUUAUUCCAACAAAUCUAUGAAAAUUCUCACGAACACACGUGCAGCGCACAUAUCCAGAAACUAGUAUUACUAAAAGUGGGAAGAACUCAAACCAAAAGUUGAAUUACCAUUUUACCUUUUUUUUAAAAACAUUUAUCCUGUUUUUAAAAUAAUAAUUAUUUAUCAACUAUAUAUUCUACAUUAAUGCUCACAAUUAUGAUUAAGCCUAUAGACUCUUCUUUGAUGGCACGAUGCUAGCUGCUUCAAGCCUUCAAUUAUAACUGAUGAAGACUAAGGAUACUCCCAACAAUUAAGUAUGGAUUUGAUGAGUCUUUUUUAUUUUUGGCUAAAACAUCUUUAAUAAUUUGGUUUUCUUCAACUUCUUAGCUUUAAUAAUUUGAUUCUCUUCAACUUCUCUUACCUAAGGCCCCUUAUUUAAAGUCACAUAGAAGAGCACUGAAUUUACAAAUCUCAUUUAAACAUUUUUCUUCAAUAUGCCAUAUUCUCACCGAUGAAGAACCUGUCACACCCCGAGACUACACCCUGUGCGGAACUGGCACUCAAGAACCAUUGUUGUUCCCAAGUGAACCCUUGGUCUGGCUUAACUUAUAGUGGAAGACUUAACUUAACAGAGAUAAACCCAUAUAACUCAAGAAUGCUAAUAAGAAAACAUUCAACUAGCCAAUAAGACAAACUCAAGUCUUUAAACAACAUAUGAAAUGAAUAAGACUAAAGAACUAUGACUACUUGUCUAUGAAGCCUCUAAACAAUUAGGGGAUGUCGGGACAAGACCCCCGAUCAUCCUAACAAUUGAGAUACUAGAAAGCAAAGUAAAAGGAGUCCUCUGGAAACCAAAGAGGCUCACUAACUGACUCUGAGUGCUCAACUGGAUCAACGAGGCACUGGAUACUGAUCCUGGUUACCUGUGUCUACAUCAUAAAACGAUGCAUGCCAAAUGUCAUCAGUACAUUGAAUGUACGAGUAUGUGAGGGGAAAACUAAACAUAACAUAAGCUUGAAAGGAAUCUGAAAGGAACACUUACCUUGGCUUUACUCAACUCAUGCAAGGUAAAAACAACAAUAAAGAUGCAAUUUAUAAAAAGCAAUUAAAACAUUAAAUGACAACUCAAUGUAUUAAAGAAGUACAAUAGCAACUCAGUUUACACAUAUAAUAAAGUAAUAUAAUAUUGUGGGAAUUUCUCUAACCGAAAACCACCACUAUGAGCCUAAGUGAUGAUACAACGUCUUGCCCACGCUGCCAAAACUAUCCUAUACUUUGCCGUCAUAUAGAACGCCUUAACUAAGUGGAUCCACUAGUCUAUGCUAAAAAGCACUAAGGAGUCAUCUAAAAAGUAUGAUCCUUUCUACCCAUGAUGGCUACAUGGUUUAUGGAGACUUGAGUUAUUAUGAACUCGCGUCCCCAUAUCGGUGUUCAAUACUACUCCCAAAAUAUACUCAGCUCAUAUGUUUUAAAAAAACAAAACACUUUCUUUGGUUUGAGAUAAUUACUCAAAACUUAGCUUAAAAUCUCUCUUAGAAAUCGGUGUUUCCUUUCUUGCUCAAAUGUAAAAACAUUUUUAACUCUUGGGAAUACUUAGUUUCCGUAUAAUCUUUGAAUAAAUGAACUUUACUCUUACUCUUUACUCAACUCAAAGCUUAAGUCUUAACACAAAGUUAAAACGUUUGUAAAAGACUUUUGGAAAACUUUAUGAAUUUCUCUUAACUUGACUCUUAACUUCUCUUGACUUGACUCUUAACUUUCCUUGAAUUGAAUUAUGGAUUCAAGGAUUGUUAUUUUUGAUAGGAAAAAUCUCAUGAUGUUCAGGAGUGUUUUUAGAUAGUUAAACAUGAGAAAAGAUCAAGAAAUCACUGUCUGGAAGCAAGUCCUCUAUGUGGAGAUGCAUUUAAUUAUUUGGUGGCAAAAUAAAUUUUGAGGCGAAACGGUCCGUGACCUCUCAGCAACGCGAAGACAACUUUGUCAAUCCUGAGGACCAGGUUCGUACGCGGACCUGGUACCCAGAUUUUCCCGACAUGUUCCUUCUUCAUUUUCUCACCCCAAUUCACCUAAAUUAGAUUAUUUUUCUCAAUUCCUCUUUAGAUUCAGAUACCUAGCAUAUGUACACAAGAAUAUAAACAAACACAACUCUAAAAUCGACCUUAAACUCUCAAAAACUCCUCAAUCUCAUCCCAAAUUCAAGAACGAAAGCAAUUCAAGAAUACAACUCAAGAACAUCAAAGUCUCAAUCCUUUAGGAUGAAAAUCAUACUGAAAUAAACAUGUUUGGCACGUGGGUGAACGAACCCAAUGUUAUGUGAACUCACAUACCUCGUAGGAAUCACCCCUAGACGAAAUCUACGACCUUAGCUUUAAGAAUUGACAAUUCCUUGUCUUCUCUUCUCUCAAAACCCUAACUCAAAUCACAAAAGCGUAAACUAACAAACUUCAGUUUAGACCCCAAUUAAUUACCAAAAACGAAAUUAAGUCAUUUGGGUAUGGAAAAGACCAAAAAUACCUUUCCAAAAUCCGGAUUGAACUUUGUUGAUCCAAACAGCCCAACUUCCAAUAGGCAUAUCUCACUCAUACGAACUCGGAUUCAUGCCAACUCGGCAGAGUUGAAAAUAUAAUCCAAAGAUCUUUCCUUCAGUAUCUUGUAGCACACCUAACUCAUCCUGAUCUAGGAGUUAUGGUCAUUUGAAGUUGACCCAAAACUCAAACUUAACAUAACUUAACCAAUUUUCCAGAUUUUUCAUUCUUUCCAAAAAUGAUUUUUUCUAAUUCUAGCUCUUUCUAGUUUUUCAAUUAUCGAGAUGUUACAAUAUAUCCCCCUUGGGACAUUCGUCCUCGAAUGAGAUUACUCUUAGUAAGUUAAAGGUGUAUCAUCUAACAUUCAACUCAACACCUAACAAGAGAAUCUAACACAUCAAGUAUAUAAAUUAAAGAGUACUAAGAAGAGAAUUAGUACCUUGAUCUAGAAUUUCUCCGGGCUCAAAGAGAUGUUGAUAUCUCUUUUUCAUAUCUUCCUCAGCUUCCCAAAUAGCUUCUUCAACAAACUGAUUCCUCCAAAAGACUUUGACUGAUGCUACUACCCUAGUCCUCAACUUGCGAACCUAGCUAUCUAGAAUCUGAACCGGAAUCUUGUCUUAGGAUAAGCUAUCCUUAAUACCAAUAUCUCCCAUUGGUAUGACAAGUGAAGGAUCUCCCAUGCACUUCUUCAAUAUGGAAAUAUGAAAUACCUGAUGAACCGUUGCUAACUCUUGGGAUAGCUCUAACUUAUAAGCUACAUUACCAACCUUUUGGAUAUUCUGUAAGGACCAAUAUACCAAGGACUAAGCUUCCCCUUCUUACCAAACCUCUUAAAACCCUUGAUGGGUGAAACUUUCAAGUAUACCCAAUCAUCUACCUCAAACUCUAACUCCAUUCUCCUAACAUCAGUGUAGGAUUUCUGACGACUCUGUGUUGUUUUCAAUCUUUCUUGAUGUAACACCUCGCUAAUUGAAAGAAUAUAAAGAGCUAGAAUUGGAAAUAGUCAUUUUUGGAAAGAAUGAAAAUUUUGGAAAAUUGGUUAAGUUAAGAAUGAGUUUUGGGUCAACUUUAAACGACCAUAACUCCUAUGUCAGAAUGACUUAGGUGUUCUUCCAGAUACCGUAGGAAAUAUCUUGGAAUUAUCUUUCCAACGCCACUGAGUUUGUAUGAUUCCGAGUUUGUAUGAGUGAGAUAUUCCCAUUUGAAGUUGGGUUGUUCAUAUAAGGAAAGUCUAAUCCGGAUUUUGGAAGGGUAGUUUAGUCUUUUCCUUACCCAAUUAAUUUGAUUUGAUUUUUGGUAAUUAGUUGGGGGUCUGAACUGAACUUUGUCAGUUUACUCCUUUAAAAAAGAGUUAGGCUUUUGAGAGAAGGGAAAAAAAGAGGAGAAGAAGCAAGGAUUCGUCGAUUUCUUUGAGAUUUUCGUGUUGAUUUCACCAAGGGUUAAUCCCUACGAAGUAUGUGAGAUCACAUAGCAUUGUUUUAGUUUACCCACACGCCAAUCGUGAUUCAAUUCAGCGAAGUUCUAUUGUUUUGGAAGCAAAUCUUAUGAGUUCUUGAUGAUAAUUCAUUUGAAAUCUUGUGGAUUCUUGUUGUUGAAGUUCCUUGAGUUUGAUUCAUGAUUUUAGGUGUGUUUUCGAGUAGAAUCUUACAUAUAUUGAUGGUAUAGUUGAUUCUAAAUGUUUGGGAAAAUAACCAAGUUGAAAUAGGGGGUUCAGAGUUGAAAAAUGAAGAAGAAAAGUUGCAGUCACCUGGGCAAAGGCCUGGGGCACCGCCCCAGCCAGAGCUCUCCAAAAGGGACUCUGAAAUUUGACCUCUGCGGCACCGCACCAGUCAAAGCGCCCCAAGUCAGUCCCUGAAAUUCAAGGGAUAGCGCCCCACGCCUCUCACAGCGCCAGGGAUGCCACUACUUCCACCUUUUCCCCUUCUUUCCGUACUAGUUCCUUAGCAACAUACCUAUGUUUUCUAGUCGAUUUCUAUACUCUAAGGUACGUCUAAACAUCAUAAAAUCACCCUUAAACAUUAAAUCACGAACCUUGAAUCCAUAAUUCAAUUAAAGGAAAGUUAAGAGGUUAAAAAUUAAGUCAAGAGAAGUUCAUAGAGUGUUCCAAAAGUCUUUCACAAACAUUUUAACUUGUUUUAAGACUUAAUCUUUGAGUUGAGUAAAGAGUAAGAGUAAAAUUUAUUUUCUUCAAAGAUUACACAGGAACUAAGUAUUCCCAAGAGUUAAAAUGUUUUCACAUUUAAACAAGAGAGAAAACACCGAUUUCCAAGAGAACUUUUAAGCUAAGUUUUGAGAAAUUAUCUCUAAACCAAUAAAGAGUUUGUUUUUAAAACAUAUGAGCUAAGUAUAUUUUGGGAGUAGUAUUGAGCACCGAUACGGGGAAGCUAGUUCAUAAUAACUCAAGUCUUCAUAAACCAUGUAGCCAUCAUGGGUAGAAAAGAUCAUACUUUUUAGAUGACUCCUUAGUGCUUUUUUAGCAUAGACUAGUGGAUCCACUUAGUUAAGGCAUUUUAUAUGACGGCAAAGUAUAGGACAAUUCUAGCAGCGUGGGUAAGACGAUGUAUCACCACUUAGGCUCAUAAAGGUGGUUGUCGGUUAGAGAAACUCCCACAGUAUUAUAUUACUUUAUUAUAUGAGUAAACUGAGUCGCUAUUGUACUUCUUUAAUACAUUGAGUUGUCAUUUACUGUUUUAAAUACUUUGUAUGAACUGCACCUUUCUAUUUGUUUUUACUUUGCAUUUGAGUUGAGUUAUUCAUGAGUUGAGUAAAGCCAAGGUAAGUGUUCCUUUCAGAGUCCUUAAGCUUGUGUUAAGUUUAGUUUUCCUCUCGCAUACUCGUACAUUCAAUGUACUGAUGCCAUUCGGCCUACUUCAUUCUAUGAUGCAGACACAACUAACUAGGAUCAGCACCCAGUGCCUCGUUGAUCGAGUUGAGCACUCAGAGUCAGUUGGUGAGCCUCUUUGAUUUCUGGAGUGCUCCUUUUUCAUUGCUUUAGUGGUUUAAUUGUUAGGAUGAUCGGGGAUUUUGUCCCGACAUCCCUUUUUAUUUUAGAGGCUUCAUAGAUGAGUAGUUAUAGUUCUUUAGACUUUCCAUUUUAAGUUGUAUACGUUAAGACGUGUGUUGCCAUUUUGGCUAAGUUACUAUCUCAUGAAUUAUAUUUUGAGACUGUUUCUUAUGUUUAAGUCUUCCGCUGAGUAAGUAAGCCAGGCCAAGGGUUUGCUUAGGGCUGAUGUUUGCGUAAUCAAGACACAACUUUCAAUGCAAGUGUUUACGAUCGUACAAUAGUAUAAUAAUCCAACUAAGGGUUGGGAUCGUUCCCACAAGGAGUGGUUUUAAGAAUUAGUAGAAAAAUAAAAUUAAGUUCUAAUUAGUCAUAGUUAAAAUAUUAUCGAUUAAAAAUAUGCUAAAUCUAAGAAGUGACGCAAGUGUCAAUUAACAAUGGGGUUUUUGUGACGGGACACCCACUUGCAGCAUGAAGAACAGCCUCCGCCUUAGCCCACUCACUCUCUCUCGAGCUGAGUGUGUAGGAGAAGGACUAGCGUUCACUCUCUCGAGCUGAACCUCAUGUCGACCCACUCCCACCGAUCAUCAAUUUAGUAGUCUUAGUUUUACGACCUCUCUCUCGAGCAAGCCGAAAACACAAAGGUGAAAUCGUAUUUGCAACUACAAUUUCAUUAAGUUCCACCACAAUUACUAAAUGAAAUCACAUCUAAACAACAAAUAAAUCAUCAACAAGCAAGACCUAACAGCAAAUCUAACCCAUAAUCACAAAAUCACACCCCUAGAAUUAGGGAUUUAGCUACACAUGUAAAAGAGGUAAAAAUGUAUACCAAAUUCAGUUUCCAUCAAUGGGUAUGCAAGAUUAAGUCUUAAAACAAGUCAAAAGUGAAGAAUACUCAAGACCCAAGUCCAAAAUCUUGGAGUUAAAACCCUUUGAAUCUUCAAGUUCUUCAAAACCCUCUCCAUUCUUAGGACUCAAAAGUCUAUGUUAAAAAUUCUAUAAUAAAAUAUCUGAUACUAAGCUACAACUCUCAACGAGUAUUUAUAUUUUUCAAAAAUCUAUGCUGCAGCAGAUCAUUCGGCGAUCCGCCCUUUGGGAGGUUUCAUCGCUGUCUUACUCUAUCCUUCAGCAUCGUUGUGUUUGGAUCAUUGGUCGACAUAGUACAGCUUUGCGAAAAUGAUCGGUUAUACUCUAUCCUUCAGCAUCGUCGUGGUUGGAUCAUUGGUCGACAUUGAACGAACCCAAUGUUAUGUGAACUCACAUACCUCGUAGGGAUCACCCCUAGACGAAAUCCACGACCUUAGCUUUAAGAAUUGAUGAUUCCUUGCCUUUUCUUUUCUCAAAACCCUAACUCAAAUCUCAAAAGCGUAAACUAACCAACUUCAGUUUAGACCCCAAUUAAUUACCAAAAACGAAAUUAAGUCAUUUGGGUAUUGAAAAGACCAAAAUACCUUUCCAAAAUCCGGAUUGAACUUUGUUGAUCCAAACAGCCCAACUUCCAAUGGGCAUAUCUCACUCAUACGAACUAGGAAUCACGCAAACUUGGCAGAGUUGAAAAUAUAAUCUAAAGAUCUUUCCUUCAGUAUCUUGUAGCACACCUAACUCACACUACAAUAAAUAUGAUAUAUAGCUACGAAAUUAUUAGCUACGAUAUCAAAUUCGUCACUAAUUGUUCACUUUUAGUGACAAAAUUUACUUUUCGUGCUGAAAUAUAUGAGACACAUACUUUUAGUGACGAAACAAAAAAUCUGUAGCAAAGUUUCGUUUACUAAAGUUUCCCACCAAAAAAUUAAUUGGCACCAUUUGUUAAGUUGUGUUAGUCACGAAUUUAAAGUUAUCGGUGACAUAUUAUUUCGUCACUAAUAAUGUAUCUAAUUCAUGACAAAUUAUUUUUUUGUCUUAAAAUUUAUUGAUUUUUUUAGCCAAAAACAUUUCAUCUAAAAAAAUAUGUUGUUACAAUAUCGACAAAUUAGAAUUCAUAGUUAAAUAUUAUAAGUUUUAGUCUAUAAGAAUUUAGCUUUAAUUAUGAUAUUUAUUUUCGUCACUAAUAGUAUAAAUAAUUGGUGACAAAGAUUUUAUUGUCUCUAAACAAUCUGUGAUUCAGUGACAACAAAAAAAAUUAGUCACAAAAUAUGUAUGGUAUUAAAUAGCGACGACUUAAAAUUUUUAGUGAAUAAUUCAACUAUUUUCUACGAAAAAAAUUCAUAGCUAAAUACAAUUUUUUUCUACAAUAGUUCAUAAUUACAAGUGACAGCUUACAAAAAGAAUAAUACAGGUGCUUCAUAAGAAAUAGACAUAGUCCUUUAGUUAUUGGCGAGGGAAAAUAUUAACACCAACGAAUUUGGUCCAUUUUGUUAAAAUGAUAAAGUUCAAGGAAAAAUAUUAAAACCAACGAAUUCGGUCCAUUUUGUAAAAAUGAAAAAGUUCAAUUCAUGAAUUUUCUUAAAUUACACAAUUAUGCAUCAUUUCAAAAAUACAAUCCAGGUUAUAAGUAUCGUGAGUUGGGUACAAUUCUUCCACUAGAUCACUAAUAUUUGUUGGUUUAAUACUUUUGUUUUUUGUUUGAUACACUUUCAUCGAUAAAGACNNNNNNNNNNNNNNNNNNNNNNNNNNNNNNNNNNNNNNNNNNNNNNNNNNNNNNNNNNNNNNNNNNNNNNNNNNNNNNNNNNNNNNNNNNNNNNNNNNNNNNNNNNNNNNNNNNNNNNNNNNNNNNNNNNNNNNNNNNNNNNNNNNNNNNNNNNNNNNNNNNNNNNNNNNNNNNNNNNNNNNNNNNNNNNNNNNNNNNNNNNNNNNNNNNNNNNNNNNNNNNNNNNNNNNNNNNNNNNNNNNNNNNNNNNNNNNNNNNNNNNNNNNNNNNNNNNNNNNNNNNNNNNNNNNNNNNNNNNNNNNNNNNNNNNNNNNNNNNNNNNNNNNNNNNNNNNNNNNNNNNNNNNNNNNNNNNNNNNNNNNNNNNNNNNNNNNNNNNNNNNNNNNNNNNNNNNNNNNNNNNNNNNNNNNNNNNNNNNNNNNNNNNNNNNNNNNNNNNNNNNNNNNNNNNNNNNNNNNNNNNNNNNNNNNNNNNNNNNNNNNNNNNNNNNNNNNNNNNNNNNNNNNNNNNNNNNNNNNNNNNNNNNNNNNNNNNNNNNNNNNNNNNNNNNNNNNNNNNNNNNNNNNNNNNNNNNNNNNNNNNNNNNNNNNNNNNNNNNNNACAGUUUAAUUAAAAUAUAAUCUACAUUUGAAUGAAUUGUGGGUGGUAAAUUUCAUGCACUUGUGUAUGUGUAUAAAAAAAUCAUAUAAUAUAUUAUAUCUACAAAAGCUAAAUUUGAAAGAAGUGAAUGAAGUAGAAAAUAAAUUAAAAAUGAGAGACAAGAGAGAGUUGAUUNNNNNNNNNNNNNNNNNNNNNNNNNNNNNNNNNNNNNNNNNNNNNNNNNNNNNNNNNNNNNNNNNNNNNNNNNNNNNNNNNNNNNNNNNNNNNNNNNNNNNNNNNNNNNNNNNNNNNNNNNNNNNNNNNNNNNNNNNNNNNNNNNNNNNNNNNNNNNNNNNNNNNNNNNNNNNNNNNNNNNNNNNNNNNNNNNNNNNNNNNNNNNNNNNNNNNNNNNNNNNNNNNNNNNNNNNNNNNNNNNNNNNNNNNNNNNNNNNNNNNNNNNNNNNNNNNNNNNNNNNNNNNNNNNNNNNNNNNNNNNNNNNNNNNNNNNNNNNNNNNNNNNNNNNNNNNNNNNNNNNNNNNNNNNNNNNNNNNNNNNNNNNNNNNNNNNNNNNNNNNNNNNNNNNNNNNNNNNNNNNNNNNNNNNNNNNNNNNNNNNNNNNNNNNNNNNNNNNNNNNNNNNNNNNNNNNNNNNNNNNNNNNNNNNNNNNNNNNNNNNNNNNNNNNNNNNNNNNNNNNNNNNNNNNNNNNNNNNNNNNNNNNNNNNNNNNNNNNNNNNNNNNNNNNNNNNNNNNNNNNNNNNNNNNNNNNNNNNNNNNNNNNNNNNNNNNNNNNNNNNNNNNNNNNNNNNNNNNNNNNNNNNNNNNNNNNNNNNNNNNNNNNNNNNNNNNNNNNNNNNNNNNNNNNNNNNNNNNNNNNNNNNNNNNNNNNNNNNNNNNNNNCCCAACAAGCAAUGCAAAUACAACAUGCCAACUUAUAAAUUAAAGAGUACUAAGAAGAGAAUUAGUACCUUGAUUUGGAAUUUCUCCGGUUUGUAGAGAUGUGGAUAUAUCUUCUUCAUAUCUUCUUUAGCUUCCCAAUUAGCUUCCUCAACAAACUGGUUCCUCCAAAGAACUUUUACUGAUGAUGCUUCCUUAGUCCUCAACUUGCGAACCUAGCGAUCUAGAAUCUAACCCGGAAUCUUGUCUUAGGAUAAGCUAUCCUUAAUACUAAUAUCUCCCAUUGGUAUGACAAGUGAAGGAUCUCCCAUGCACUUCUUCAAUAUGGAAAUAUGAAAAACCUGAUGAACCGUUGCUAACUCUUAGGAUAGCUCUAACUCAUAAGCUACAUUACCAACCUUUUGGAUAUUCUGUAAAGGCCAAUAUACCAAGGACUAAGCUUCCCCUUCUUACCAAACCUUUUAAAACCCUUGAUGGGUGAAACUUUCAAGUAUACCCAAUCAUCUACCUCAAACUCUAACUCCAUUCUCCUAACAUCAGUGUAGGAUUUCUGACGACUCUGUGUUAUUUUCAAUCUUUCUUGAUAUAACGCCUCGCUAAUUGAAAGAAUAGAAAGAGCUAGAAUUGGAAAUAGUCAUUUUUGGAAAGAAUGAAAACUUUGGAAAAUUGGUUAAGUUAAGAAUGAGUCUUGGGUCAACUUUAAACGACCAUAACUCUUAUGUCAGAAUGACUUAGGUGUUCUUCUAGAUACCAAAGGAAAUAUCUUGGAUUUAUCUUUCCAAUGCCACUGAGUUUGCAUGAUUCCGAGUUUGUAUGAAUGAGAUAUUCCCAUUUGAAGUUGGUUGUUCAUAUAAGGAAAGUCUAAUCCGGAUUUUGGAAGGGUAGUUUAGUCAUUUCCUUACCCAAUUAAUUUAAUUUGAUUUUGGUAAUUAGUUGGGGGUCUAAAUUGAACUUGGUCAGUUUACUCUUUAAAAAAAGAGUUACGGUUUUGAGAGAAGGGAAAAGAAGAGUAGAAGAAGAAAGGAUUCGUCGAUUUCUUUGAUAUUUUCGUGUAGAUUUCACCAAGGGUUAAUCCCUACGAACUAUAUGAGAUCACAUAGCAUUUGUUUAGUUUACCCACGCACCAAUCAUGAUCUAAUUCAGCGAAGUUGUAUUGUUUCGAAAGCAAAUCUUAUGAGUUCUUGAUGAUAAUUAGUUUGAAAUCUUGUGGGUUCUUGUUGUUGAAGUUCCUUGAGUUUGAUUCAUGAUUUUAGGUGUGUUUUCGAGUAGAAUCUUACAUAUAUUGAUGGUAUAGUUGAUUCUAAAUGUUUGGGAAAAUAACCAAGUUGAAAUGGGGGUUCAGAGUUGAAAAAUGAAGAAGAAAAGUCGGAGUCACCUAGGCAAGGGCCUGGGGCACCGCCCCAGCCAGAGCUCUCCAAAAGGGGCUCUGAAAUUUGACCUCUGCGACACCGCACCAGUCAGAGCGCCCCAAGUCAGUCCCUGAAAUUCAAGGGCUGGCGCCCCACGCCUCUCACAGCACCAGGGAUGCCACUUCUUCCACCUUUUCCCCUUCAUUCCGUACUAGUUCCUUAGCAACAUACCUAUGUUUUCUAGUCGAUUUCUAUACUCUAAGGUACGUCUAAAAAUCAUGAAAUUAUCCUUAACCAUUAAAUCACGAACCUUGAAUCCAUAAUUCAAUUCAAGGAAAGUUAAGAGGUUAAAAACUAAGUCAAGAGAAGUUCAUAGAGUGUUCCAAAAGUCUUUCUCAAACAUUUUAACUUUGUUUUAACACUUAAUCUUUGAGUUGAGUAAAGAGUAAGAGUAAAAUUUAUUUUCUUCAAAGAUUAUACGGGAACUAAGUAUUCCCAAGAGUUAAAAUGUUUUCACAUUUAAACAACAGAGAAAACACCGAUUUCCAAGAGAACUUUUAAGCUAAGUUUUGAGAAAUUAUCUCAAACUAAAGAAAGAGUUUUGUUUUUAAAACAUAUAAGCUAAGUGUAUUUUGGGAGUAGUAUUGAGCAGCGAUACGGGGAAGCUAGUUCAUAAUAACUCAAGUCUUCAUAAACCAUGUGGCCAUCAUGGGUAGAAAAGAUCUUACUUUUUAGAUGAAUCCUUAGUGCUUUUCAGCAUAGACUAGUGGAUCCACUUAGUUAAGGCGUUUUAUAUGACGGCAAAGUAUAGGACAAUUCUAGCAACGUGGGCAAGACGAUGUAUCACCACUUAGGCUCAUAAAGGUGCUUGUCGGUUAGAGAAACUCCCACAGUAUUAUAUUACUUUAUUAUAUGAGUAAACUGAGUUGCUAUUGUACUUUUUUAAUACAUUGAGUUGUCAUUUACUGUUUUAAAUACUUUGUAUGAACUGCACCUUUAUAGUUGUUUUUACUUUCCAUUUGAGUUUGAGUUAUUCAAUGAGUUGAGUAAAGCCAAGGUAAGUGUUCCUUUCAGAUUCCUUAAGCUUGUGUUAUGUUUAGUUUUCCUUUCGCAUACUCGUACAUUCAAUGUACUGAUGCCAUUCGGCCUACUUCAUUCUAUGAUGCAGACACAGGUAACCAGGAUCAGCACCCAGUGCCUCGUUGAUCGAGUUGAGCACUCAGAGCCAGUUGGUGAGCCUCUUUGAUUUCUGGAGUGCUCCUUUUUCAUUACUUUAGUGUUUUAAUUGUUAGGAUGAUCGGGGGUUUUGUCCCGACAUCCCUCUUUAUUUUAGAGGCUUCAUAGAUGAGUAGUUAUAGUUCUUUAGACUUUCCAAUUUAAGUUGUAUACGUUAAGACGUGUGCUGCCAUUUUGGCUAAGUUAUUAUCUCAUGAAUUAUAUUUUGAGACUGUUUAUUAUGUUUAAGUCUUCCGCUGAGUAAGUAAGCCAGGCCAAGGGUUUGCUUAGGGCUGAUGUUUGCGUAAUCAAGACACAACUUUCAAUGCAAGUGUUUACGAUCGUACAAUAGUAUAAUAAUCCAACUAAGGGUUGGGAUCGUUCCCACAAGGAGUGGUUUUAAGUAUUAGUAGAAAAAUAAAAUUAAGUUCUAAUUAGUCAUAGUAAAAAUAUUAUCGAUUAAAAACAUGCUAAAUCUAAGGAGUGACGCAAGUGUCAAUUAACAAUGGGGUUUUUGUGACGAGUAAAUAAAAACAACAAAAAUGCAAAUAGUACCAAUCAAGGAGUUGGGGUUCUUGGGAUGUGAUAGGAAUACGGGAUAAACUAAACUAUUUGGUACAUGUUUUUGAUAAUAAAUCUGUUGAAUAUUUGUGACUAGGCUAGACCAUAGUGGGGGUAAAUUCUCUCUCGAGCAACUUACCUCGAAUCAAAUGGGUUCCCCUCGGACACCCAAUUGCAGCAUGAAGAACAGCCUCCGCCUUAGCCCACUCACUCUCUCUCGAGCUGAGUGUGUAGGAGAAGGACUAGCGUUCACUCUCUCGAGCUGAACCUCAUGUCGACCCACUCCCACCGAUCAUCAAUUUAGUAGUCUUAGUUUUACGACCUCUCUCUCGAGCAAGCCGAAAACACAAAGGUCAAAUCAUAUUUGCAACUACAAUUUCAUUAAGUUCCACCACAAUUACUAAAUGAAAUCACAUCUAAACAACAAAUAAAUCAUCAACAAGCAAGACCUAACAGCAAAUCUAACCCAUAAUCACAAAAUCACACCCCUAGAAUUAGGGAUUUAGCUACACAUGUAAAAGAGGUAAAAAUGUAUACCAAAUUCAGUUUCCAUCAAUGGGUAUGCAAGAUUAAGUCUUAAAACAAGUCAAAAGUGAAGAAUACUCAAGACCCAAGUCCAAAAUCUUAGAGUUAAAACCCUUUGAAUCUUCAAGUUCUUCAAAACCCUCUCCAAUCUUAGGACUCAAAAGUCUAUGUUAAAAAUUCUAUAAUAAAAUAUCUGAUACUAAGCUACAACUCUCAACGAGUAUUUAUAUUUUUCAAAAAUCUAUGCUGCAGCAGAUCAUUCGGCGAUCCGCCCUUUGGGAGGUUUCAUCGCUGUCUUACUCUAUCCUUCUGCAUCGUCGUGUUUGGAUCAUUGGUAGACAUUGAACGAACCCAAUGUUAUGUAAACUCACAUACCUCGUAGGGAUCACCCCUAGACGAAAUCCACGACCUUAGCUUUAAGAAUUGACGAUUCCUUGCCUUUUCUUUUCUCAAAACCCUAACUCAAAUCUCAAAAGCGUAAACUAACCAACUUCAGUUUAGACCCCAAUUAAUUACCAAAAACGAAAUUAAGUCAUUUAGGUAUGGAAAAGACCAAAAUACCUUUCCAAAAUCCGGAUUGAACUUUGUUGAUCCAAACAGCCCAACUUCCAAUGGGAAUAUAUCACUCAUACGAACUAGGAAUCACGCAAACUUGACAGAGUUGAAAAUAUAAUCUAAAGAUCUUUCCUUCAAUAUCUUGUAGCACACCUAUCUCAUCCUGAUCUAGGAGUUAUGGUCAUUUGAAGUUGACCCAAAACUCAAACUUAACAUAACUUAACCAAUUUUCCAGAUUUUUCAUUCUUUCCAAAAAUGAUUCUUUCCAAAAAUGAUUCUUUCUAAUUCUAGCUCUUUCUAGUUUUUCAAUUAUCGAGAUGUUACAAUAUAUCCCCCUUGGGAACAUUCCUCCUCGAAUGAGAUUACUCUUAGUAGGUUUAGGGUGUAUCAUCUAACAUUCAACUCAACACCUAACAAGCGAAUCUAACACAUCAAGUAUAUAAAUUAAAGAGUACUAGAAGAGAAUUAGUACCUUGAUCUAGAAUUUCUCCGGGCUCAAAGAGAUGUUGAUAUCUCUUUUUCAUAUCUUCCUCAGCUUUCCAAAUAGCUUCUUCAACAAACUGAUUCCUCCAAAGGACUUUGACUGAUGCUACUUCCUUAGUCCUCAACUUGCGAACCUAGCGAUCUAGAAUCUAAACCGGAAUCUUGUCUUAGGAUAAGCUAUCCUUAAUACCAAUAUCUCCCAUUGGUAUGACAAGUGAAGGAUCUCCCAUGCACUUCUUCAAUAUGGAAAUAUGAAAUACCUGAUGAACCGUUGCUAACUCUUGGGAUAGCUCUAACUCAUAAGCUACAUUACCAACCUUUUGGAUAUUCUGUAAAGGCCAAUAUACCAAGGACUAAGCUUCCCCUUCUUACCAAACCUCUUAAAACCCUUGAUGGGUGAAACUUUCAAGUAUACCCAAUCAUCUACCUCAAACUCUAACUCCAUUCUCCUAACAUCAGUGUAGUAUUUCUGACGACUCUGUGUUGUUUUCAAUCUUUCUUGAUAUAACACCUCGCUAAUUGAAAGAAUAGAAAGAGCUAGAAUUGGAAAUAGUCAUUUUUGGAAAGAAUGAAAACUUUGGAAAAUUGGUUAAGUUAAGAAUGAGUUUUGGGUCAACUUUAAACGACCAUAACUCCUAUGUCAGAAUGACUUAGGUGUUCUUCCAGAUACCAAAGGAAAUAUCUUGGAUUUAUCUUUCCAACGCCACUGAGUUUGCAUGAUUCCGAGUUUGUAUGAUUGAGAUAUUCCCAUUUGAAGUUGGGUUGCUCAUAUAAGGAAAGUCUAAUCCGGAUUUUGGAAGGGUAGUUUAGUCUUUUCCUUACCCAAUUAAUUUAAUUUGAUUUUUGGUAAUUAGUUGGGGGUCUAAAUUGAACUUGGUCAGUUUAAUUUUUAAAAAAAGAGUUACGGUUUUGAGAGAAGGGAAAAGAAGAGUAGAAGAAGCAAGGAUUCGUCGAUUUCUUUGAUAUUUUCGUGUAGAUUUCAACAAGGGUUAAUCCCUACGAAGUAUGUGAGAUCACAUAGCAUUUGUUUAGUUUACCCACGCACCAAUCAUGAUCUAAUUCAGCGAAGUUGUAUUGUUUCGAAAGCAAAUCUUAUAAGUUCUUGAAGAUAAUUUGUUUGAAAUCUUGUGGGUUCUUGUUGUUGAAGUUCCUUGAGUUUGAUUCAUGAUUUUAGGUGUGUUUUCGAGUAGAAUCUUACAUAUAUUGAUGGUAUAGUUGAUUCUAAGUGUUUGGGGGAAANNNNNNNAUAGGGGGUUCAGAGUUGAAAAAUGAAGAAGAAAAGUCAGAGUCACCUGGGCAAGGGCCUGGGGCACCGCCCCAGCCAGAGCUCUCCAAAAGGGGCUCUAAAAUUUAAACUCUGCGGCACCACACCAGUCAGAGCGCCCCAAGUCAGUCCCAGAAAUUCAAGGGUUGGCGCCCCACGCCUCUCACAGCGCCAGGGAUGCCACUUCUUCCACCUUUUCCCUUUCUUUCCGUACUAGUUCCUUAGCAACAUACCUGUCUUUUCUAGUCGAUUUCUAUAAUCUAAGGUACGUCUAAACAUCAUUAAAUCAUCCUUAAAAAUUAAAUCACGAACGUUGAAUCCAUAAUUCAAUUCAAGGAAAGUUAAGAGGUUAAAAAUUAAAGUCAAGAGAAGUUCAUAGAGUGUUCCAAAAGUCUUUCACAAACAUUUUAACUUUGUUUUAAGUACUUAAUCUUUGAGUUGAGUAAAGAGUAAGAGUAAAAUUUAUUUUCUUCAAAGAUUAUACGGGAACUAAGUAUUCCCAAGAGUUAAAAUGUUUUCACAUUUAAGAAAGAGAGAAAACACCGAUUUCCAAGAGAACUUUUAAGCUAAGUUUUGAGAAAUUAUCUCAAACCAAAGAAAGAGUGUUGUUUUAAAACAUAUGAGCUAAGUAUAUUUUGGGAGUAGUAUUGAGCACCGAUACGGGGAAGCUAGUUCAUAAUAACUCAAGUCUUCAUAAACCAUGUGGCCAUCAUGGUAGAAAUAUCAUACUUUUAGAUGAAUCCUUAGUGCUUUUUUGCAUAGCAUAGUGAAUCCACUUAGUUAAGGCGUUUUAUAUGACGGCAAAGUAUAGGACAAUUCUAGCAGCGUCGGCAAGACGAUGUAUCACCACUUAGGCUCAUAAAGGUGCUUGUUGGUUAAAGAAACUCACACAGUAUUAUAUUACUUUAUUAUAUGAGUAAACUGAGCUGUUAUUGUACUUCUUUAAUACAUUGAGUUGUCAUUUACUGUUUUAAAUACUUUGUAUGAACUGCACCUUUAUAGUUGUUUUUACUUUCCAUUUGAGUUGAGUUAUUCAUGAGUUGAGUAAAGCCAAGGUAAGUGUUCCUUUCAGAUUCCUUAAGCUUGUGUUAUGUUUAGUUUUCCUCUCGCAUACUCGUACAUUCAAUGUACUGAUGCCAUUCGGCCUACUUCAUUCUAUGAUGCAGAUACAUGUAACCAGGAUCAGCACCCAGUGCCUCGUUGAUCGAGUUGAGCACUCAGAGUCAGUUGGUAAGCCUCUUUGAUUUCUGGAGUGCUCCUUUUUCAUUGCUUUAGUGUUUUAAUUGUUAGGAUGAUCGGGGGUCUUGUCCCGACAUCCCUUUUUAUUUUAGUGGCUUCAUAGAUGAGUAGUUAUAGUUCUUUAGACUUUCCAUUUUAAGUUGUAUACGUUAAGACGUGUGUUGCCAUUUUGGCAAGUUAUUAUCUCAGGAAUUAUAUUUUGAGACUGUUUCUUAUGUUUAAGUCUUCCGCUGAGUAAGUAAGCCAGGCCAAGGGUUUGCUUAGGGCUGAUGUUUGCGUAAUCAAGACACAACUUCCAAUGCAAGUGUUUAAGAUCGUACAAUAGUAUAAUAAUCCAACUAAGGGUUGGGAUCGUUCCCACAGGGAGUGGUUUUUAGAAUUAGUAGAAAAAUAAAAUUAAGUUCUAAUUAGUCAUAGUUAAAAUAUUAUCGAUUAAAAACAUGCUAAAUCUAAGGAGUGACGCAGGUGUCAAUUAACAAUGGGGUCUUUGUUACUAGUAAGUAAAAACAACAAAAAUGCAAAGAGUACUAAUCAAGGAGUUGGGGUUCUUGGGAUGUGAUAGGAAUACGGGAUAAACUAAACUAUUGGGUACAUGUUUUUGAUAAUAAAUCUGUUGAAUAUUUGUGACUAGGCUAGACCAUAGUGAGGGUAAAUUCUCUCUCGAGCAACUUACCUCGAAUCAAAUGGGUUCCUCUCGGACACCCACUUGCAGCAUGAAGAACAGCCUCCGCCUUAGCCCACUCACUCUCUCUCGAGCUGAGUGUGUAGGAGAAGGACUAGCGUUCACUCUCUCGAGCUGAACCUCAUAUCGACCCACUCCCACCGAUCAUCAAUUUAGUAGUCUUAGUUUUACGACCUCUCUCUCGAGCAAGCCGAAAAAACAAAGGUCAAAUCAUAUUUGCACUUACAAUUUCAUUAAGUUCCAACAUGUAAAAGAGGUAAAAAUGUAUACCAAAUUCAGUUUCCAUCAAUGGGUAUGCAAGAUUAAGUCUUAAAACAAGUCAAAAGUGAAGAAUACUCAAGACCCAAGUCCAAAAUCUUGGAGUUAAAACCCUUUGAAUCUUCAAGUUCUUCAGAACCCUCUCCAAUCUUAUGACUCAAAAGUCUAUGUUAAAAAUUCUAUAAUAAAAUAUCUGAUACUAAGCUACAACUCUCAACGAGUAUUUAUAUUUUUCAAAAAUCUAUGUUGCAGCAGAUCAUUUGGGGAUCCGCCCUUUGGGAGGUUUCAUCGCUGUCUUACUCUAUCCUUCAGCAUCGUCGUGUUUGGAUCAUUGGUCGACGUAGUACAGCUUUGCGAAACUGCUCGGUUAUACUCUAUCCUUCAGCAUCGUCGUGUUUGGAUCAUUGGUUGACAUUGAACGAUCCCAAUGUUAUGUGAACUCACAUACCUCGUAGGGAUCACCCCUAGACGAAAUCCACGACCUUAGCUUUAAGAAUUGACGAUUCCUUGCCUUUUCUUUUCUCAAAACCCUAACGCAAAUCUCAAAAGCGUAAACGAACCAACUUCAGUUUAGACCCCAAUUAAUUUCCAAUAACGAAAUUAAGUCAUUUGGGUAUGGAAAAGACCAAAAUACCUUUCCAAAAUCCGGAUUGAACUUUGUUGAUCCAAACAACCCAACUUCCAAUGGGCAUAUCUCACUCAUACGAACUAGGAAUCACGCAAACUCGACAGAGUUGAAAAUAUAAUUUAAAGAUCUUUCCUUCAGUAUCUUGUAGCACACCUAACUCAUCCUGAUCUAAGAGUUAUGGUCAUUUGAAGUUGACCCAAAACUCAAACUUAACAUAACUUAACCAAUUUUCCAGAUUUUUCAUUCUUUCCAAAAAUGAUUCUUUCUAAUUCUAGCUCUUUCUAGUUUUUCAAUUAUCGAGAUGUUACAAUAUAUCCCCCUUGGGAACAUUCCUCCUCGAAUGAGAUUACUCUUAGUAGGUUUAGGGUGUAUCAUCUAACAUUCAACUCAACACCUAACAAGCGAAUCUAACACAUCAAGUAUAUAAAUUAAAGAGUACUAAGAAGAGAAUUAAUACCUUGAUCUAGAAUUUCUCCGGGCUCAAAGAGAUGUUUCUAUCUCUUUUUCAUAUCUUCCUCAGCUUUCCAAAUAGCUUCUUCAACAAUCUGAUUCCUCCAAAGGACUUUGACUGAUGCUACUUCCUUAGUCCUCAACUUGUGAACCUAGCGAUCUAGAAUUUAAACCGGAAUCUUGUCUUAGGAUAAGCUAUCCUUAAUACCAAUAUCUCCCAUUGGUAUGACAAGUGAAGGAUCUCACAUGCACUUCUUCAAUAUGGAAAUAUGAAAUACCUGAUGAACCGUUGCUAACUCUUGGGAUAGCUCUAACUCAUAAGCUAUAUUACCAACCUUUUGGAUAUUCUGUAAAGGCCAAUAUACCAAGGAAUAAGCUUCCCCUUCUUACCAAACCUCUUAAAACCCUUGAUGGGUGAAACUUUCAUGUAUACCCAAUCAUCUACCUCAAACUCUAACUCCAUUCUCCUAACAUCAGUGUAGGAUUUCUGACGACUCUGUGUUGUUUUCAAUAUUUCUUGAUAUAACACCUCGCUAAUUGAAAGAAUAGAAAGAGCUAGAAUUGGAAAUAGAAUUGAAAGAUAGUAUAUCAAACACAAUUUUUGAACAGAACAACCCACAUACAAACAAAACACGAACCUCAAUAGCACACAAAGGUGGGCCUCACCCCACCACAAAUAAAAACAUUUUUCCUCAAAUGCCAAUAACAAAAUAUCCUGAAUGUAAAAUAAAGUAAGACAUAGAUGGAGGUAAAUAAGGAUCAUGUCUACACAGUCGCUCCAUCUAUCAGGGCAUCAGUGCCCGGUACCUUUCCCUGAGCCUGGGCAUCAGUACCUGGAGUCACCUUAGGAGUAGUAGUAGUUGCACUAGGGUUCGCUACAGGAAAAUCUGCCAAGGAGGCUUGUAUAGCAACAUCUAUCAUAGCCUUCUCAGCCUCAUCGAAGCCCUCAGAUGAAGUCUCCUCAGCAACGCCAUGCAUCUCCUCAUCUGUCUCUUCCUCAGACUCGUGCUCAGCUGGCUCUACUGGGUCAUCGGGGAUUUCCACCGUCCCAAAGACCAUAGACAUAUCAGUGGACUUCAGCUGGUCCACAUCUUUCCUCAGCUCAGCAACAGCGGCUUGUAAAGCAGUCACUUCCUUAGUAGAUCCUUGGUCACACUCACACACCGCUAUCCUAGCCUCAAGGGUGUUAAUAGUAGUGCUGAGGGGUGUCACCGCGUCUACCAGAGCAGUCUGAAUCAUGCCUGGAACUAAGGCUUCAAGUCUAGACGCACGGCGAUCAGCAGAGUGGGCAAGCUGCCCCAUCCAAAGUAGUGACUCCUGGGUGAGUGGAGGUGGAGACAGCAGCAGAAAUUCUAGGAAGCAGUGCAGCAACAGAAGAACCUGGAGUAUCAGAAAAUGUAGCAAUAGGGAUACCUGAAGGCUUAGAGGCCGAAGUAGGCAAAGAUACCUCUGCAGAUGAUCACUUUGUGUCCACCGGGGUUGCCUUCUUCUUUUCCUCAUGAUCCUUAAAGUACUCAGCUUCGAUCCUCUGGAUAUCAGUGGAGGAUGUGGGAAUCACUUCCACAUAUUUCUUUACAUCUCUUGGUACUCAAGCCCGUUCGCAUAGCUCGGUGAUCAAUACCAGGAAGGGAAGAGAGGUCUGGCGCUGCUUCGCACACAUGAGAAUCUCUGAAGAAAUGAUCAUCCCAGAUCUAGUCUCAUCCCAUCAAUGAUGCAACCCAGACAAGCUGCUUUGGCAUGGUGGAGUAUGGACACAUUCUGAGAUGGCAUAAUGGUACUGCUGAUAAAGCCAAACCAGAAUCGUGCAGCAAUGUUCAGAUCCUUCUUCUCAAUAGGUGCUCCAAAAUCAAGUCACUUUGGAGCACCGUCUGCUAUAAGCGGGGCCAACCACUUCUUCAUGUUAUCCAGAGUCUUUUUUCUAAUCAUGUGUUGACAGUUGUCUUCAAUGUCAUUUGAACACUCCAGAACUGCAUUGAUUGCAUCAGCAUCACACUUCACUCUUUUACCUCUAACGACCAUGAAGUCAACUGGUUUAAAAGCAGCUGCCUACUUCUUCCUCUGUGGUAUCAAGGUUCCAUAAGAGGCAUAGAACUCCCUGGCCCAAUUUGGAAUAUACAGGACACGUGGUUUGGUGAAGAUCUGGAACUUGUGAGAUUUCAAGCAAUCCAUUAUCUCUGGGUGCCUGUCCAUAACCCCAUCUGUGGACAGACACUUUUCUUCAAGGAUUGUCCUCAACCCAUCUGUGGACAGACAAUUAUGUAUGUUGGUGCCUUGCCUUUUCCUUUUCCCUUCCCACUAGUUGUGAAAGGUUUUGUAGCUUUUCCUUUGGAUACAACUGCACCUUCAUUGAUUUUAAACCCUUUUGCCUUAUUGCAGAGUGGUAUAUUUCUACCUACAACUUUGGGUCUAGCCAUGUCUGCAAUAUAUCGGUAAAAACUUAGAAACAAUUCAUUCAUAAGCGCAGAUAAUCAGUAGCAAAUAGGUUCGCCGAACAGGUCGGCAAAUUGUCGACUACUUUCAGCGAGCAAGGGGAGUCCACCGAAAAUUACAGUGCAACAAGUAUUUUAGGAGUGUAGACAAAUGGCUAUCGAAAAUACUUUCGGCGAGUCGCCGAGUUUUUUUGGCGACCUCAGGCUUCUUGCCGAAAGUUACAGAAACCAACAACAUAAGUAGCAUGAAAUUAAAGGCAAGAUGGGGACAUUAGGCAAACCACUGAGUGGUUCGGCGAGCUCAACAAAUGGCCUAACGUGCCGAUUUUCAACCCAACUUCUCGAAUUCAGCCCUGCAAAUCCCCGAAAAUACAAUUGACACUUGCAAUAGUGAAAUUAAACUAAGACCCAUAACUCCCAUCAUCCCGGGAUACUCAGACGUCUUUCAAUUCUGCCAAACUAGAUAACACGCACGUACAACCACAUGAUUUGACUCAUUUCAACGCACAAACAUACAUAAUUUUGAAAAUCAAGAUACAACAGGUAAGAUUCUAGAUUUAAGAUAUGCAUUCGAAUAUUCUAAUCCUACAAAAUAGGUCCAGCACACGACAACAGGAUAUGAGUAUUGCAAAUGAGUAAAAGAUUCUUAAAAAUAAACUAAGGGUUGGGAAACUAACCUUAGUUAUCGAUUAAUACUAAUUGAAAUGCUAGGCAGCAAAGUAAUCCAACUCUGAGCACAAACCGUCGACUAAAAUACUCAGCAAGAUGCGGAACUAUAAAUGCAUUUUGUAAGGUUAGAAAGUGAGGAAAAAUGAAAUUUCAAACCUUUUGACCCGAUAUACCAUCCGAUUUGUGCUCAUUCGGCGAUAUUAGUCAUGUUCGCUUACAUACUUGGCGACACGCCCAUUGGUUAUUUACCUCACCGAGUUUUACAAGACCUUCACUAAAUGUGACGAUCCAAAUGACAGUCUGUAUCGAGAUCGCCAACCUGGUUGGCGGUUCACCAAAUUUCUCAUUGGCUCUCCGAGUUUACAAUCCCAAAUUACUAUGAUUUUAAGCUAAACGGCGGAUUCAAUCGGGCAUGCCGACCCCUCUAGCGAUGUGCCGACUAGGUCAUUCUUUCGCCCAUCUGCACUUUUCAAAUGCUUUCCCACUUAAACCUACACAAUCAACACACCAUCAUUUAUAAACUCAAAAUAAGAACAAGGAUUUUGGGUUGCCUCCCAAACAAUGCCUUAGUUAAUGUCGUGGCACGACGCAAGUCAGCACUCAAACUCCAUUUUUGGGGUUAGCCGUAAUAUCACUAGGCAACCCCCUAUUUUGUUGCGAGUGGAGAUCGGGCAACACAUAACCUAUGAGGUUCUCGAGCAGCUGGACAACUAUGGAAUGAGACCAAAUCAUCCGCUUGAUUCCUUCAAUGUCUUCCUUCAUUCCUUCCAGCUCUCUAUCUUGCUCAGUCACCUUGUGGAGAAUGAUUAAUAGCAUUCCCUCAAGGUGUUUAACCUCAUUGUCCUUGAGACUUCUUUGCUCAUGAGGCGGGAUGUAUUUAUCCUUCCUCUUAUACUAGACUUCGAUCUUCACCAUCUUUUUGGACAACUCAUCUAUCUGAGUUAUUAGGGAGGCCAACAUGAAGUCAUUUUCUACUUCUUGGUUCAUUUCAGCUAUUUGAUUAAGCAGUUGAGUUUCUAUCACAUAUGGUUGUUUUGCAAUGCCUCCCGGAAUGAGUUGGUCGACCAACCUCUUGUUUCCAGGACCAAGACUUCUAUAGUAACAAUCAAGGAGAGCUAUGUCGGGAAUGUCAUGAUUUGGGCAUUGAUUGACCAGUUCAUUAAACCUUGCCCAUGACUUGUUGAUCCGUUCACCUUCCAAUUGCUUGAAGGUAAGGAUACGAUCCCGGAACCUCAUUACCUCUAAUGGAGGGAACUCCAUUAUCUCCUGAGUAUUGUUCACCAUACUCAUUUCCUCUGUUUCAACACAAAAAGGAAAAAAAAAACUAAAAAUAAAGUAAAUGAACUACAACUAAGAAGAACAAAAAUUCUACUAAUCUAAGAAUUCUUAAAUAACACCACUCCCCGGCAGUUGCGCCAUUUUGAUAUUUGCGUAAUCAAAACGCAACUUCAAAUGCAAGCGUCUACGAUCGUACAAUAGUAUAAUAACCCAACCAAGGGUUGGGAUCGUUCCCACAGGGAGUCAAGACAGGAGCUAUAGUCCACCUAGUUUUUAAUUCUGCAAAGCUUUUCUCACAAUCAUCUGACCACUGAAACUUAACCUUUUUCUGAGUCAACCUAGUCAAUGGUGAGGCUAUGGAUGAAAAUCCUUCCACGAACCUUCUGUAAUAACCUGCUAAACCCAAGAAACUUCUGAUAUUUGUACCAAAGGUAGGUCUGGGCCAUUCUUUCACUGCUUCUAUCUUCUGGGAAUCUACUCGAAUUCCUUCACUAGACACAAUAUGCCCAAGGAAGGAAACUCAUUGUAACCAAAACUCACACUUCCUAAAUUUUGCAAAUAACUGGCGAUCUUUGAGAGUUUGCAGAACAACUCUCAAAUGACUCGCAUGUUCUUCAUCAUUCCUAGAGUAAAUGAGGAUGUCAUCAAUAAAGACGAUAACGAACAAGUCCAAGUACUGCUUGAACACUCUGUUCAUCAAAUCCAUGAAAGCUGCAGGAGCAUUGGUUAGUCCAAAUGACAUAACUACAAAUUCGUAAUGACCAUACCGAGUUNNNNNNNNNNNNNNNNNNNNNNNNNNNNNNNNNNNNNNNNNNNNNNNNNNNNNNNNNNNNNNNNNNNNNNNNNNNNNNNNNNNNNNNNNNNNNNNNNNNNNNNNNNNNNNNNNNNNNNNNNNNNNNNNNNNNNNNNNNNNNNNNNNNNNNNNNNNNNNNNNNNNNNNNNNNNNACCCUAUGGCGAAAUACUAGGUCUGAUGAAGCCCUUAUCUAGAAGGUCUUUCAACUGCUUUUUUAAUUCCUUAAGAUCAGUUGGACCCAUUCUAUAAGGAGGAAUAGAGAUAGGCUGGCUAUCUGGAAGAAGAUAAAUUCCAAAGUCGAUUUCCCUUUCGGGAGGAACUCCGGGAAGAUCAUCUGGAAACACUUCUGGAAACUCAUUGACUACAGGGACUGACUCAAGAGUUGGGGAUUCGGAGCUAGAAUCCUUAACCCGAACUAGAUGAUAGAGAUAACCCUUAAAGAUCAAUUUUCUAGCCUUAACGUAAGAAAUGAAUCGACCUAUAAGCGCUAAGCUACUACCCUUUCAUUCUAGGAUUGGUUCAUCUGGAAACUAAAUCGAACAAUCCUAGUUGUACAAUCGACUGAGGCAUAACAGGAAUGUAACCAAUCCAUGACUAGAAUGACAUCGAAGUCUACCAUUUCUAACUCUACAAAAUCUGCUGAGGUGACUUUNNNNNNNNNNNNNNNNNNNNNNNNNNNNNNNNNNNNNNNNNNNNNNNNNNNNNNNNNNNNNNNNNNNNNNNNNNNNNNNNNNNNNNNNNNNNNNNNNNNNNNNNNNNNNNNNNNNNNNNNNNNNNNNNNNNNNNNNNNNNNNNNNNNNNNNNNNNNNNNNNNNNNNNNNNNNNNNNNNNNNNNNNNNNNNNNNNNNNNNNNNNNNNNNNNNNNNNNNNNNNNNNNNNNNNNNNNNNNNNNNNNNNNNNNNNNNNNNNNNNNNNNNNNNNNNNNNNNNNNNNNNNNNNNNNNNNNNNNNNNNNNNNNNNNNNNNNNNNNNNNNNNNNNNNNNNNNNNNNNNNNNNNNNNNNNNNNNNNNNNNNNNNNNNNNNNNNNNNNNNNNNNNNNNNNNNNNNNNNNNNNNNNNNNNNNNNNNNNNNNNNNNNNNNNNNNNNNNNNNNNNNNNNNNNNNNNNNNNNNNNNNNNNNNNNNNNNNNNNNNNNNNNNNNNNNNNNNNNNNNNNNNNNNNNNNNNNNNNNNNNNNNNNNNNNNNNNNNNNNNNNNNNNNNNNNNNNNNNNNNNNNNNNNNNNNNNNNNNNNNNNNNNNNNNNNNNNNNNNNNNNNNNNNNNNNNNNNNNNNNNNNNNNNNNNNNNNNNNNNNNNNNNNNNNNNNNNNNNNNNNNNNNNNNNNNNNNNNNNNNNNNNNNNNNNNNNNNNNNNNNNNNNNNNNNNNNNNNNNNNNNNNNNNNNNNNNNNNNNNNNNNNNNNNNNNNNNNNNNNNNNNNNNNNNNNNNNNNNNNNNNNNNNNNNNNNNNNNNNNNNNNNNNNNNNNNNNNNNNNNNNNNNNNNNNNNNNNNNNNNNNNNNNNNNNNNNNNNNNNNNNNNNNNNNNNNNNNNNNNNNNNNNNNNNNNNNNNNNNNNNNNNNNNNNNNNNNNNNNNNNNNNNNNNNNNNNNNNNNNNNNNNNNNNNNNNNNNNNNNNNNNNNNNNNNNNNNNNNNNNNNNNNNNNNNNNNNNNNNNNNNNNNNNNNNNNNNNNNNNNNNNNNNNNNNNNNNNNNNNNNNNNNNNNNNNNNNNNNNNNNNNNNNNNNNNNNNNNNNNNNNNNNNNNNNNNNNNNNNNNNNNNNNNNNNNNNNNNNNNNNNNNNNNNNNNNNNNNNNNNNNNNNNNNNNNNNNNNNNNNNNNNNNNNNNNNNNNNNNNNNNNNNNNNNNNNNNNNNNNUGGGUAUCUGGAAGGAGAUCUAUUCCAAAGUCUAUUUCCCUUUCGGGAGGAACUCCAGGAAGAUCUUCUGGGAACACUUCUGGAAACUCAUUGACUACAGGGACUGACUCAAGAGUUGGGGAUUCGGAACUAGAAUCCUUAACCCGAACUAGAUGAUAGAGAUAACCCUUAGAGAUCAUCUUUCUGGCCUUAAGGUAAGAAAUGAAUCGACCCAUAGGCGCUAAGCUACUACCCUUCCAUUCCAAGAUUGGUUCGCUUGGAAACUGAAAACGAACAAUCCUAGUUCUACAAUCAACUGAGGCAUAACAGGAAUGUAGCCAAUCCAUGCCUAGAAUGACAUCGAAGUCUACCAUUUCUAACUCUACAAGAUCUGCUGAGGUGACUUUCUGAGAGACUGUGACAGGGCAAUUUCUGUAUACCCGUCUAGCUAUAACUGGGUCACCGACUGGAGUAGAGACUGAGAAGGGUUCUGAAAGAGUUUCUGGGCUAACACUGAACUGGACUGCUAUAUAAGGAGUUACAAAAGACAAAGUAGCCCCUGGCUCUAACAAUGCAUAAACAUCAAGAUCAAAGACUCGUAACGUACCAGUGACUACAUCAGGAGAAUCUUCCUGAUCUUGACGAGCCUGAAGAGCAUAGAGCCUGUUUUGGCGCUGUCCGCCACCAGUACCAGAAGAGUUACCCUGCUGAGUCGGGCGACCUGUUGGUGCUGCUGAAGUUGUAGACUGAGCUCUACCAUUAUUUCCUCCUUGACCUUGUCUUGAAGGACAAUCCUUCAAUUUAUGACCAGACUGACCACACCCAAAGCAUCCUUCCUUACAUACAAGGCACUCACCUGGAUGGUUCUUACUAUAUUUUGGGCAAGUUGGGUAGGUUUUGGUACCUGAAACACUACCUUGUGACUUAGAGCCUGAUGCCCUAUCUUUCUGAUCAUUACGGAACCUGGUGGAUGGAACACUAGCUGAUGAAGGGGCUGGAGUCAAAGACUUCUGCUGAAAAUGCGAGCGAUAUCCACCACCCGAUUUCUGUUAGGAAUACUCGUAGUUACCUGUUCUUGCUUUCUUAGUCUACUUAGCCUGUUCCCUAAGCUUAUCACCCUCAACCAGCUAAGCAUGAGUCAUAAGCCUAGAGAUGUUCAUGUCUCCCCAACAACAUAGCAUUCCUGCACUCGGUCUUCACUAAGUCUGACACUCCAUAGAGAAACUUAUUCAUCUGAGCCCUGGAAUCAGCAACCAUGUGAGGAGCAUACCUAGAGAGUUGGUUAAACAUGAGCCCAUACUCUUGGACAGUCAUGUUACCCUGCCUCAAAGUUUAUAAAUUCCUGGGCCCUUGCUUCUCUUAACUCUAUGGGGAAAAACCUAUCCAGAAAGGUUUCGCUGAAACAAUCACAAGUAAUAGGAGCGGCAUCUAUACCCCUAUUCUCCUUCCACUGUGUAUACCAGUUAUUAGUAACAUCUUUCAGUUGGUAAGAUGCUAACUCAACCCGAUCAUUCCUAGUGACCUGCAUCACUUCAAAGAUCUUCUUGAUCUCAUCCAAGAAAUUCUGGGGAUCUUCACUAGCCUGCGAUCCUAACAACUCAGACGGAUUCAUCCUAACAAAGAUCACGGACCCUUGCUGCUGCUAAUCCACCAUUUGCAUUCACAUGAGCUUGAACCUACUGAUUGUUCUGGCUAGCGACACUCUGAGCCAACAUCUGAAUGGCAUUCCAAUUAAGCAAACUCGGUGGCGUUGGAAAGAUAAUUCAAUAUCCAUCAUAUCAUAGGUCAUGGGACACACAAUUCAUUUUGUGCUAAAAGUUAUGACCANNNNNNNNNNNNNNNNNNNNNNNNNNNNNNNNNNNNNNNNNNNNNNNNNNNNNNNNNNNNNNNNNNNNNNNNNNNNNNNNNNNNNNNNNNNNNNNNNNNNNNNNNNNNNNNNNNNNNNNNNNNNNNNNNNNNNNNNNNNNNNNNNNNNNNNNNNNNNNNNNNNNNNNNNNNNNNNNNNNNNNNNNNNNNNNNNNNNNNNNNNNNNNNNNNNNNNNNNNNNNNNNNNNNNNNNNNNNNNNNNNNNNNNNNNNNNNNNUUUUCUGAGCUUGGCUGGGGAGGGGUUGCAGUAGUGAACCGCGGACCACCAUUGAUCAUGAGCAUACUAAAGAUAAUAAACUGAUGCGGAAGCUAAAUCAUCAAUAAAUCUGAAAAAUGGGGAAUACUCAUAUACUACAGCUGAAUAUAUCAAAUCUGAGAGUUUAAUACANNNNNNNNNNNNNNNNNNNNNNNNNNNNNNNNNNNNNNNNNNNNNNNNNNNNNNNNNNNNNNNNNNNNNNNNNNNNNNNNNNNNNNNNNNNNNNNNNNNNNNNNNNNNNNNNNNNNNNNNNNNNNNNNNNNNNNNNNNNNNNNNNNNNNNNNNNNNNNNNNNNNNNNNNNNNNNNNNNNNNNNNNNNNNNNNNNNNNNNNNNNNNNNNNNNNNNNNNNNNNNNNNNNNNNNNNNNNAUGAGGAACUAUUACCUCAAGCUGGAAUGGAAUCGAAAGGAAAGAGGUGAGGAUACUUGGCAUUCAUGGCCGCUUCUGCUUCCCAAGUAGCUCCCUCUACGGACUGACUCCUCCACAAAACUUUGACUGAAGCGACUUCUUUGUUUCUCAACCUUCUGACCUGACGAUCAAGAAUCGCAACUGGUACAUCCUCAUAAGAAAGGCUAUCUUUCAUGACCACACUAUCUAAUGGCACUAUGGAUGCUGGAUCACCCACACACUUCUUCAAAAGAGAAAUGUGAAAGACUGAAUGCACCGUUGCUAAGUGUGCUAGCAACUCUAACUCAUAAGCCACUUUACCAAUCCUUUUCAAAAUUCGGUAAGGGCCUACAUAUCUGCGACUGAGCUUCCCUUUCUUGCCAAAUCUCAUCACCCCCUUCAUAGGUGACACUUUCAGGAAAACCCAAUCAUCAACUUGGAACUCUAAUUCCCUCUUCUCACAUCUGCAUAAGAUUUCUGGCGACUCUGGGCAGUCUUAANNNNNNNNNNNNNNNNNNNNNNNNNNNNNNNNNNNNNNNNNNNNNNNNNNNNNNNNNNNNNNNNNNNNNNNNNNNNNNNNNNNNNNNNNNNNNNNNNNNNNNNNNNNNNNNNNNNNNNNNNNNNAAUUCUAGAAACCCUAGGUCUGUUCAUAAUCAUGGAAUCAAGAAUCUGACUGAAUUCUAGGGACCUAAUGGGCGAAAGGAACCCACUAGUGAAAUCCCACAUACCUGGUGACGAAUUCCACGGAGAAAUCUUUCGAUUUCGGGGCUGGAACUGAUGGAACCUUGUUGCGUUCUUGAACUAGGGUUCUUGACCUCUUUUCUCCUCUUAGCGUUCUAAUUCUUCUAAGUUUGAUUAAUGAUUUGACUUAGGUAAGUUCUAGUUAUGUUUCUAGGCUUAAACUGAUUAAAACCUUAUGAUUUAGGGUUUAAACGACGUAUCUUAGGGGUUAAACGAAAUAGAAAAAGACCAAAAAACCCUUGAAUUAACUGCUGUCGGAGUGAUCGACGGAUUGGUCCUGCGGUCCGUCAAUCAAUCAACGGUCUAUCGAUUGGGUCCGUAGGUCGAGUCUGCCCGACACGGCUUCACUAAAAUGAGCAUAAUUUUUUAUUCGGAGGUCGGAAUUAAGCAAACUCGGUGGCGUUGGAAAGAUAAUUCAAUAUCCAUCAUAUCAUAGGUCAUGGGACACACAAUUCAUUUUGUGCUAAAAGUUAUGACCAUCUGAAGUUGACCCAUCAAUUAUUUUUAGCUAAUUGGCUGUUGACCCUAGUUUCAUACCAUUCCACUAAUAAACUUCCCACAGAUCGUGGUACAUCUUAGUGGCGCCUGGAUGGAUAGAAUAUCUGGAAUUGUGGGCUUCUGUGAGAAUAUGCUGUCUCAAUUCACCCACAUCAGGAACACACAAUCUACCUUGAUAGCGAAGUACACCAUCUCCCCCUUGGGAGAAAACCUCCACUCUCUGAUUGUUGACUGCACCCUUAAGCUCAAGCAAGAUUGGUUCACUGUCUUGCUUUUCCUUAACCUCUACUACCAAAGAAGAUUCUGCCCCCAUUCUGAACCGUUACACCACCAUCUGAUAUGCUCAUAAGACGAACUCCUAGGCGAGCAAGUUUGUGAACAUCCUUUGCUAGCUCUCUUCUUUCUUCCUCAACAUGUGCUACACUACCCAUGGAUAAUCUGGUAAGAGCAUCUACUACUACAUUCGCCUUACCCGGAUGGUAAUGCACGCUCAUAUCAUAAUCUUUGAGAAACUCAAGCCACCUUCUCUGGCGAAGAUUCAAUUCUUUCUGGGUGAAUACAUACUGGAGGCUUUUAUGGUCUGUGAACACAUCUACAUGAACACCAUACAACUAGUGUCUCCAAAUCUUAAGUGCAAACACCACUGCUGCAAGCUCGAGGUCAUGAGUCGGAUAAUUCUUCUCAUGCACCUUAAGCUGUCUAGAAGCAUAAGCUAUAACCUUACCUCGCUGCAUCAAUACACAACCUAGGCCGACCCUAGAGGCAUCACAAUAGAUCACAUAACCAUCUAAACCCUCUGGUAGAGUCAAGACAGGAGCUGUAGUCAACCUAGUUUUUAAUUCUGCAAAGCUUUUCUCACAAUCAUCUGACCACUGAAACUUAACCUUUUUCUGAGUCAACCUAGUCAAUGGUGAGGCUAUGGAUGAAAAUCCUUCCACGAACCUUCUGUAACAACCUGCUAAACCCAAGAAACUUCUGAUAUUUGUACCAAAGGUAGGUCUGGGCCAUUCUUUCACUGCUUCUAUCUUCUGGGAAUCUACUCGAAUUCCUUCACUAGACACAAUAUGCCUAAGGAAGGCAACUGAUUGUAACCAAAACUCACACUUCCUAAAUUUUGCAAAUAACUGGCGAUCUUUGAGAGUUUGCAGAACAACUCUCAAAUGACUCACAUAUUCUUCAUUAUUCCUAGAGUAAAUGAGGAUGUCAUCAAUAAAGACGAUAACGAACAAGUCCAAGUACUGCUUGAACACUCUGUUCAUCAAAUCCAUGAAAGAUGCAGGAGCAUUGGUUAGUCCAAAUGACAUAACUACAAAUUCAUAAUGACCAUACCGAGUUCUGAAGGUUGUCUUCGGAAUGUCACUAUCUCUGACUCUAACCUGAUGAUAACCUGAUCUGAGGUCUAUCUUUGAGAAAUGACUAGCACCCUGAAGUUGGUCGAACAAGUCAUCAAUCCUGGGGAUAGGGUACUUAUUCUUGAUUGUGACCUUGUUCAACUGCCUAUAGUCAAUGCACAUUCUGAGAGAACCAUCUUUCUUCUUCACAAACAACGCUGGUGCACCCCAUGGCGAAAUACUAGGUCUGAUGAAGCCCUUAUCUAGAAGGUCUUUCAACUGCUUUUUUAAUUCCUUAAGCUCAGUUGGACCCAUUCUAUAAGGAGAAAUAGAGAUAGGCUGGCUAUCUGGAAGGAUAUAAAUUCCAAAGUCGAUUUCCCUUUCGGGAGGAACUCCGGGAAGAUCAUCUGGAAACACUUCUGGAAACUCAUUGACUACAGGGACUGACUCAAGAGUUGGGGAUUCGGAACUAGAAUCCUUAACCCGAACUAGAUGAUAGAGAUAACCCUUAAAGAUCAUUUUUCUAGCCUUAACGUAAAAAAUGAAUCGACCUAUAGGCGCUAAACUACUACCCUUCCAUUCUAAGAUUGGUUCAUCUGGAAACUGAAAACGAACAAUCCUAGUUCUACAAUCAACUGAGGCAUAACAAGAAUGUAACCAAUCCAUGCCUAGAAUGACAUCGAAGUCUACCAUUUCUAACUCUACAAGAUCUGCUGAGAUGACUUUCUGAGAGANNNNNNNNNNNNNNNNNNNNNNNNNNNNNNNNNNNNNNNNNNNNNNNNNNNNNNNNNNNNNNNNNNNNNNNNNNNNNNNNNNNNNNNNNNNNNNNNNNNNNNNNNNNNNNNNNNNNNNNNNNNNNNNNNNNNNNNNNNNNNNNNNNNNNNNNNNNNNNNNNNNNNNNNNNNNNNNNNNNNNNNNNNNNNNNNNNNNNNNNNNNNNNNNNNNNNNNNNNNNNNNNNNNNNNNNNNNNNNNNNNNNNNNNNNNNNNNNNNNNNNNNNNNNNNNNNNNNNNNNNNNNNNNNNNNNNNNNNNNNNNNNNNNNNNNNNNNNNNNNNNNNNNNNNNNNNNNNNNNNNNNNNNNNNNNNNNNNNNNNNNNNNNNNNNNNNNNNNNNNNNNNNNNNNNNNNNNNNNNNNNNNNNNNNNNNNNNNNNNNNNNNNNNNNNNNNNNNNNNNNNNNNNNNNNNNNNNNNNNNNNNNNNNNNNNNNNNNNNNNNNNNNNNNNNNNNNNNNNNNNNNNNNNNNNNNNNNNNNNNNNNNNNNNNNNNNNNNNNNNNNNNNNNNNNNNNNNNNNNNNNNNNNNNNNNNNNNNNNNNNNNNNNNNNNNNNNNNNNNNNNNNNNNNNNNNNNNNNNNNNNNNNNNNNNNNNNNNNNNNNNNNNNNNNNNNNNNNNNNNNNNNNNNNNNNNNNNNNACUGACCACACCCAAAGCAUCCUUCCUUACCUGCAAGGCACUCGCCCGGAUGGUUCUUACUACAUUUCGGGCAAGUUGGGUAGGUUUUGGUGCCUAAAACAGUACCUUGUGACUUUGAGCCUGAUGCCCUACCUUUCUGAUCAUUACGGAACCUGGGGGAUGGAACACUAGCUGAUGAAGGGGCUGGAGUCGAAGACUUCUGCUGAAAAUGCGAGCGAUUUCCACCACCCGAUUUCUGUUGGGAAUACUCGUAGUUACCUGUUCUUGCUUUCUUAGUCUCCUUAGCCUGUUCCCUAAGCUUAUCACCCUCAACCUGCUUAGCAUGAGUCAUGAGCCUAGAGAUGUUCAUGUCUCCCAACAACAUAGCAUUCCUGCACUCGGUUUUCACUAAGUCUGACACUCCAUAGAGAUACUUAUUCAUCUGAGCCCUGGAAUCAGCAACUAUGUGAGGAGCAUACCUGGAGAGAUGGUUAAACUUGAGCCCAUACUCUUGGACAGUAAUGUUACCCUGCCUCAAGUUCAUAAAUUCCUGGGCCCUUGCUUCUCUUAACUUUAUAGGGAAAACCCUAUCCAGAAAGGGUUCGCUGAAACAAUCCCAAGUAAUAGGAGCGGCAUCCAUCUGUACCCAUGUUCUCCUUCCACUGUGUAUACCAGAUAUGAGCAACAUCUUUCAGUUAGUAAGAUGCUAAGUCAACUCGAUCAUUCCCAGUGACCUGCAUUACUUCAAAGAUCUUCUUGAUCUCAUCCAAGAAAUUCUGGGGAUCUUCACUAGUCUGCGAUCCUAAGAAGUCAGACGGAUUCAUUCUAACAAAGUCACGGACCCUUGCUGCUGCUGAUCCACCAUUUGCAUUCACAUGAGCUUGAACCCGCUGAUUGUUCUGGUUAGAGACACUUUGAUCCAACAUCUGAAUGGCAUUCCUGAAUUCAGUAUUUGAGACUUCCUGAUCUGGAACUAGAGGAGCUGCGUUUGCGUUCCUAGCAUUCGCAUUCCUGGCAUAAGCUCUACGAGGAGUCAUGAUCACUGAAACAUAGAACGUCGAGUUAGAAUGGAAUUUAGAUUAUACCUUACGCACGAUAAGACUAACAAGAAAAUGAAGAUUUCCUAAAACACUUUGUAGCCUCCCUCUCAUUAGAUGUGGUGCGUACUACACACCCGUGAAAAGGACUCUACCUAGUGCGGCUUUUCAGACAUCCUAGGACACUGAAACCUAGUGCUAUGAUACCAAGUUUGUCACGCCACGAGCUACCCCCGAGACGCGGACACGGGACCUAGGACCACAAGUGAUCCCAAGCUAACCCUGCUAGCAUGAUCAUGAGCAUACUAAAGAUAAUAAACUGAUGCGGAAGCUAAAUCAUAAAUAAGUCUGAAAAGAUGGGGAAUACCCAUAUACUAUAACUGAAUAUAUNNNNNNNNNNNNNNNNNNNNNNNNNNNNNNNNNNNNNNNNNNNNNNNNNNNNNNNNNNNNNNNNNNNNNNNNNNNNNNNNNNNNNNNNNNNNNNNNNNNNNNNNNNNNNNNNNNNNNNNNNNNNNNNNNNNNNNNNNNNNNNNNNNNNNNNNNNNNNNNNNNNNNNNNNNNNNNUGAUGGAACCUUGCUGCGUUCUUGAACUAGGGUUCUUGACCUCUUUUUUCCUCUUAGCGUUCUAAUUCUUCUAAGUUUGAUUAAUGAUUUGACUUAGGUAAGUUCUAGUUAUGUUUCUAGGUUUAAACUGAUUAAAAUCUCAUAAUUUAGGGUAUAAACGACGUAUCUUAGGGGUUAAACGAAAUAGCAAAAGACCAAAAGACCCCUAAAUUAACUGUUUCGGAGUGAUCGACGGAUUGGACCUACGGUUCGUCAAUCAAUCGACUGUCCGUCCAUUGGGUCCGUACGUCGGUGGCGUUGGAAAGAUAAUUCAAUUAUCUAUCNNNNNNNNNNNNNNNNNNNNNNNNNNNNNNNNNNNNNNNNNNNNNNNNNNNNNNNNNNNNNNNNCUGACCUACGGUCCGUGGAUGGCAACCGUGGGUUGCACCUGCAACUUCUCAAAUUCUGCAUUUUAGUCUGUUUCGAAUACGGGGUGUUACAAGUAAAGAGUUGAGUUCAUUUCUCAAAAAGUUAUUAGGGAACUAAGUAUUCCCAAGAAAUUAAAAAUGUUUUCACAUUUGAGCAAGAAAGGGAACACCGAUUCCAAGAGAACUUUUAAGCUAAGUUUUGAGUAAUUAUCUCAAACCAAAGAGAGAAGUUUGUUUUAAAAUCAUAUGAGCUAAGUAUAUUUUGGGAGUAGUAUUGAGCACAGAUAUGGGGAUGCGGGUUCAUAUUAAAUUAAGUCUCUAUAAACCAUGUAGCCAUCAUGGGUAGUAAAUGAUCAUACUUUUUAGAUGACUCAUUAAGAUGCUUUUAGCAUAGACUAGUGGAUCCACUUAGUUAAAUAUUCUAUAUGAUGGUAAAGUAUUAUCAGUUCUGGCAGCGUGGGCAAGACGUUGUAUCACCACUUAGGCUCAUGUGGUGGUUGUCGAUUAGAGAAUCUCCCACAAAAACUAUAAUUACUUUAUUACAUGAGUAAAGUUGAGUUUGUUAUUGCAUUUUCUUUAAUGAACUAAGUUGUUUUCUACUGUUUUACAAGUUUUCUAUAUAUUGCAUAUGUUUAUUGCUUUAUAUUGAGUUAAGUUAUUCAGGAGUUGAGUAAAGCCAAGGUAAGUGUUCCUUUUAGAUCCUUUUCAAGCUUAAGUUGUGUUUAGCAUUCCAACUCGCAUACUCGUACAUUCAAUGUACUGAUGCCAGUUGGCCUGCAUCUUAUUAUGAUGUAGAUGCAGGUAACCAGGAUCAGCAUCCAGCGCCUCAUUGAUCAAUUUCAGCACUCAGAGUCAGCUAUGAGCCUCCUUGCAUUUCAGAGGACUCUUUUUAUCAUUUGCUUUCAGUAUUUCAUUGUUAGGAUGAUCGAGUGUCUUGUCCCGACAUACCUCUUUGUUUUAGAGGCUUCAUAGACAGUCAGACAUGUAGUAGUUCAAUUGUCUUUACAUUUUCAUUUCAAAUGUUAAGACUUGAGUAGCCAUAUUGGCCAAGUUGGAUGUUUCACUUUUUAAGCAUUCUCAGUAUUUUAUUAUUCAAGUGAGUAUAGUGCUAUUGAUCAUUAUAAAUAUGCAUAGAGUCUUCCGCUGAGUAAGUAAGCUAGGCCAAUGGUUCUCUUGGGGCCAGCAAUGGUUCUCGAGUGUCAGCCACGUCCGGGGUGUAGGCUCGGAGAGUGACACAUAGCACCCACUAGUACCGGCUAGGCAUUUCCCAUGAUGCUUCUUUCCACAAUUGUGAUAAGUAGGUUUAGAAAAUGGAGGUCCACUUCCUUUCUCUUGGUUAUCCCUAGGAGUGCUUGAAGAGAGCUCUCUUCUUGAACCUAGGUUGACCUUGCUCAUCGGACUUAUACCGCUUCAACUCCCUAGUCUUCCUCUUAAGUUUGGUCUCCUCAAUAGAUUGAGCAUACACCAUGAGCCUAGAAAUGUUCAUAUCAUCAUGGAGUAUUGUCGUACAACACUCUUCCUCAACUAAGUCAGAGACACCGGUCACAAAUCGACUCAUCUCAUCCCUUGGGUUAGACACCAAAGAUGGAGCAUACUUAGACAAUAGGGUAAAUUUCAAGGAAUACUCCUCCACACUCAUGCUACCUUGCCUAAGGUUGAUAAACUCCUCUACCUUACAUUCCCUCUUCUUACGGGGAAAGUACCUACCAAGGAAUUCUUUCUUAAAUUCUUCCCACUCUAUAGGACCUGCUCCUAUAGGCCUAUUGCUUUUCCAUUGAGUAAACCAAAUUCAAUAUACAAUAUCACAUUACUUUCAUUCAUUCUAGAAGAGGAUGCAUAAGAGCCUACUAAUUCAAGAUAUACAUAAUAUAGAAGAAAACCCUUCACAUUCUAUCAUCAUCAUUUAUGAGUGUUAAUUGAGAAUAUGCUUCCAAUCAUAACACUAUAACAUUUUUAACAUGAUCAUAACACUUUCAUUGAGAUCACACAUAUAUACUUCACAUCAUAAUCAUACAUAGAUCUUCAUGAACUUGCCUUUCAAGGCUAUGAACCAACAUCAACCCAUAAAUCUAAGAUACUACAAUAGAUAUGUAAAUUGACAUGAUACAAUAACUAAUUCAACAUAAACAUAAACAAAUCAACAUACUUCCAUGAUCAAUCAAUUUCCAAUCACAAAUCACAACUUAGGAUUUUGGGGGAAAACAUGGGUUCAUAGAAGAAAUCAUCUUAAUUAACCAUUAAAACAUCAAUUAAACCAUGAUUCAUCACUUAAAUGCCUUUUGAAAACGUUUGGAAUUGAACCCAUUCAUAGAUUGAAAACUAGGGUUUUUGGGGAAAACUUGGAGACUUGAAAUCAACUUUGAAAUUGGCUGCUUGAAAGAAACUAAGUCAAGGAUGAAGACUACCAUACCUUAUAUGGAAGAACUUCACGAAAAUCCCUUGAAAAAGAUGAAUACUUGACCUGGAGAGCUUGAAUCCUUCACCUCCAAUGGAGGUUUCUAGAGAGAGAACUUUUGGAGGGGAGGGGAGGGGAGGGAAGGUUUGUAUUUUGGGUUUUGAAAUAAUGAGUUGUAAAUGUGUUUUAAUACUUAAAAACCCUUAAAAUAUCUAAAUAAACCAAUAAUAACCAUCCAUUAACUCAACUUACAAAUUUAAAAAGUUACCAAACUAACCCCUCACUUGGCCGACUUUGGACAGCAAGCAGGUGCCACCCACAAAACCCCCACCCACAGACCGUGGGUGGGGUCACAUACCGUUAUGUCACCUUCGUGGUUCGUGGAUGAAACAUGGUUUUGGGGGCCUUGACCUACGGAGGCCAUCCACGGGGCGUGGAUGGACCUACGGGGCAUAAGUUCCCAUCCGUAGGUCAUCCCAAAUUUCCAGUUUUUUGGUUUUCUUGAGGUCUUGGGGUUUAGGCUUAGGAUCCUCCUCAAGGACCCCUUGGGUGGUCCUUGGGGAGUCGUACCUUGACGUUUAACCUCUAAACUCCUCAACCUAAGCCUGGGACAACAUCCUACCACAAGAAACCCCAUUACAACUCAAACAGACAAUCGUUAGGCUCUAGUUUUACCUAUUCAUUUUACGAGUCGUUACACAAACACAAACUAAAUAUGUCAAUCUACUAUAAAAACACGUUUCGAACCUAUUGAAAUCAUCAAAUCACUGAUUUGGUUUCAUCUUAAUUGGAAGUUAACAAUCAACCAUAACUUUCUUAAAACUCAAAAAUACAACUAAAGGGUCAAAUCACUCAUGAACACCUUGGGAUCCGUAUAAAUCAUCUAUCGCUGUCAAAAAUCACCUUUCGGAUCUAAUGAAAUUGUCUUAAUUUGAAUUUGAGUUCACUAACCUAGAUUGUUGUCUUUGAUCAAAUAUCUCAACUUCCAAAAUAAAAAAUUCUUCAUCUUGACACAUUCGAUCAUCUUGAAAAUCAUGUCACCCAUUUUUGCAAGUUAAAAAUAGCAUAAGAAGCUACAGAAAAAAUCAAAUUUGGAAUAAAAGAACUCAAAAGAACAAAACAAUAACAUACAGAUCAUUACAAUUACUAUCUCAAGGGACAAAAAUUAAAAACCAACACAAAAUAAUAGCAAAAGUAGAAUGAGUAAAUAUCUCAAAAUGUCAUCCAAUUUUGAGGAAUUAUCUUAUAAAGUCAUUUAAUUUUGUUUCGUAUCAAUAUAAUCACUCAACUUUAAGGUUUUGUUUUUAAUAAAAUCACUCAAUCAAAUUUAUUAUAAAAAUAAUAAUUUAACAUGAUAAAACUUUUCUCUUUGAGUUUGAGUUUGAGUUUUCCUCUUUUCUCUCUUCCAUAAAAUAAAAACUUUACUCAAAUAUCUUUCUUUUUUCCGUUUUUGGUAAAUAGAGAGAUACUUUAUACAUAAUAAAGUACUAAAUAGUUACUAUACUUGCUUACAUACUAUUUAUGAUUUCGAACUUAUUACAAGUCAAAGAGGAGAUUAUGUUUAUACUUUAUACUAUGAAAGAAAAAUUCAAAGUUGAAUGAUUUUUUUUAUUAAAAAAAAAAUUAAAUAACUUUACAAGAUAAUUCCUCAAAGUCAGAUGACCUUUCGAGAUAUUUACUCCAGUAGAAUUGAACUUUGCUUACAAUAUCUAGGCUAAUGGUCCAUACCUUGCAACCCAUCGUAUUGCAGGCUUACAUCAAAAGUAGUGUCCACCAAGAAAAAAACAAAAAUACUAUAUAUGUCUUACAUCUUUAUAUAUCAAAUCAUACAUGAACGAUGUAUUUUGUUGCUUGGCAAAUGAAUUAACUUUAAGACCAUUGCCAAACCACCUUUAUUUUAUUAUCUAUUCUUUAUAUUUGGAGAGUAAAAUAGAGAAUGGGCUCUCAAACCACCUUGUAUUUCACUCUUUAUUCUCCAUUUAUAGAGAGUUGAAUAGUAGUUCUCCAAAUUUGGAGAACUACUAUUCACACUCUCGGUUUCAUUCUUUCAUUAUUUUGUUAUUAUUUCUAUUAUUUUGUAAUUAAUAUAUUAUUUUUCAUAUAAGGUCAUCAAUUAAAUCUCUAAUAGUUGUAAUUCUUUUGAAAUGUAAUAUAAUAUUUUUAAAAAUAUUAAUAUAUACUCUUUUGAUCUCGAAUUAAUAGUAUUUCAUUUUUUUAUUUUCAUCACUUUGAUUUAUUUUAUUAUUAAUUUUCACUAUAAAGAAUGCACAACAUUAAAUGGUCUACAAUUGUUCAAACUAUUUGUGAUCCACAUUCUCAAAAGAAGAAAUAUUUCGGGAUGAAGCAAGAAUCGUGCCAAAAAGAUGUUGAACGUGCAUUCGGAGUUUUGUAAUCACGUUUUGCAAUUAUUGCAGGACAAUCACAUUUUUUGGAGAACGAAAGUGCUACAGGAUAUAAUGACUACGGGUGUGUUUGGUAUGAAGGAAAACAUUUUCCGGAAAAUGUUUUCCUUCAUACCAAACACACCCGUAGUCAUUAUAUCCUGUAGCACUUUCGUUCUCCAAAAAAUGUGAUUGUCCUGCAAUAAUUGCAAAACGUGAUUACAAAACUCCGAAUGCACGUUCAACAUCUUUUUGGCACGAUUCUUGCUUCAUCCCGAAAUAUUUCUUCUUUUGAGAAUGUGGAUCACAAAUAGUUUGAACAAUUGUAGACCAUUUAAUGUUGUGCAUUCUUUAUAGUGAAAAUUAAUAAUAAAAUNNNNNNNNNNNNNNNNNNNNNNNNNNNNNNNNNNNNNNNNNNNNNNNNNNNNNNNNNNNNNNNNNNNNNNNNNNNNNNNNNNNNNNNNNNNNNNNNNNNNNNNNNNNNNNNNNNNNNNNNNNNNNNNNNNNNNNNNNNNNNNNNNNNNNNNNNNNNNNNNNNNNNNNNNNNNNNNNNNNNNNNNNNNNNNNNNNNNNNNNNNNNNNNNNNNNNNNNNNNNNNNNNNNNNNNNNNNNNNNNNNNNNNNNNNNNNNNNNNNNNNNNNNNNNNNNNNNNNNNNNNNNNNNNNNNNNNNNNNNNNNNNNNNNNNNNNNNNNNNNNNNNNNNNNNNNNNNNNNNNNNNNNNNNNNNNNNNNNNNNNNNNNNNNNNNNNNNNNNNNNNNNNNNNNNNNNNNNNNNNNNNNNNNNNNNNNNNNNNNNNNNNNNNNNNNNNNNNNNNNNNNNNNNNNNNNNNNNNNNNNNNNNNNNNNNNNNNNNNNNNNNNNNNNNNNNNNNNNNNNNNNNNNNNNNNNNNNNNNNNNNNNNNNNNNUCACCCACCCCCUACCAGCCCCCCACCCCCAAAAAAAAUAUUUAAGUUUGUUUUUAAAAAAUUAUUUUCUACUUUAGUAAAAAUAAGAGAUAUUUCUCAAAAAUAUUUUUCAUUCAUAAAUCAAACACUAAAAAUCUUUUCCGGAAAAUAUUUUCUAAUCACCAACCAAACAUGAGAAAAUAAGUCAAAAAUCAACUUGUUUUCCAGGAAAACAUUUUCUAGGAAAACAUUUUCCUUCAUACCAAACACACCCUACAAGUAUUAUAUUUCACAACAUGAUAAUUGAGGAUGAAUGUGAUCUUAAUGCACCAAUUUAAGAUAUUGUAGAGGCUCCAACUGCAACGACAUAAAUGGUAUUAGAUGAAAAUCUCUGAUUUGAAUAAUUUUUAUCUAGACAUAAAAAAAAUUAAGGAAAAAAUGCUCAUUUUGACCUCUGUAAUGCGUUAAUAGAGCAUUUAUGGGAGCAACAUAAUAAUCUUGAAAACUGAGUAUUUAUGUAAUGUUAAUGUAUUUGUAUUUCACUAAUGAUUUUACUUUUAUUUGAAUUGUCCAUUAAUUUGUAUAUUAUAUAAUAUUUGUUAGCAAUUUAUAUUAUUUAGAAAUUUAAAAUAAAAUAUAAUUUUAUAUUAAAUAAAAAACUAGAAAAAGUAAAAUGUUUAUAUCACAUGAAAAUAAUAUAAAUUGAUUAUUUGGGAAAAAGAAAGAAAGGAUUUAUAUUACGAAUAAGAAAAUAAGAAUGAAAUAGAAAAUAAUAUAAUAUUGAGGAGAGAGAAGAAGAUUCUUCUUUAGAAAAUAAAUAGAGAACUGGAUUAAAGUUGAUUGUCUGAAAAAAUAGUGAACUCUAUAUUUGGAGAGUAAAAUAGAGAAUAGGGUUGGAGAUGCCUGGGUCUCUUUUUCCAAGCAAUUAAAUCUAAUUGAGACCCAUCGAUAUAUUAUCCUUCACUACAUUUCUUUCCUAUCGCUGUUUAGUUCACAACAACAAUAAUAACAUAUAUUUUUUUCUUAGGUUUAUUCUUUUUAUAGAAAGAAAAUAUAUUUAUCAUUUCUUUGUUGUUUUGGACAUUGAAGGAAAAUAUUUUAAUUAUAAACUCAAAGGAUCUUGAAUCUUAAUUCACGUUCUAUCUAUUAUGUAUAUUUCUGUAUAUUGAAAAUUACUAGUAACAUCCUUAUUUAUAAAGGUAAAAAUCAAAUUAAACUAGGAUUAGUAAUCACUCUAACUAACAAAUCCUAAUUAAACAUAAAUAAGUAAAUACCAUAAAUAACAAAUCCUAAACAACUUAGGAUUCCUACUCCAACUUUGAAUUAUUAUUUCCAACAUUCUCCUGUAAUUCAAAAUGUAUACUCUUGUUUUUUCUCUUCUUGUCAUUGUUGUUGGAUUGGAGAACUUCUCUUCAAUCUUCAAUUGUUGGAGUUCUUCUCUUCAAUCUUCAAUUGUUGGAGUACUUCUCUUUGAUUCUCUUUUUUUUUAUUGGUUGUGUCGGAGCACUUCUCUCUAACUUCCAAGUGUUGGAGCACUUUCUCUCCAACUCACGAUAUUUUUUCUCUUGGUUGUGUUGGAGCACUUCUCUCGAACUUCCAAGUGUUGAAGCACUUUCUCUCCAACUUACAAUAUUUUUCUCUUGGUUGUGUUGGAUCACUUUUCUCCAACUUCAAAGGUUGAUGCCCUUUCUACCAAUGCAUUUUUUUUUGUUUUGUUUUGUUUUUGGUGUUGUAGCACUCUCUCUCAAACUCUCGUUGAUGCCCUUCCCAUCAACUCCUUUUCUUUUUGUGUUUUUUAUUUUAUUUUUGGUGUUGGCGUACUCUCUCUCCAAUUCUCGUUUAUGCCCUUUCCAUCAACUCCUUUUCUUAUUGUUUUUUUUUUUGUUUUUUGUUUUUUGUUUUUUUUACUUUUUCUAACAUUUAAUUUAGAGGAGAGUUUCUUCCUCUUGUGUUUGAUUGCACUUCUUUAAAUCUGCAAUAUUUUUGUAAGUUUUUCCUCCUAGCAUAUUCUUUUCAAGCAUAUAUUAUUCGUCCAGUUUUUUUCAACAUGAUCAUUGGCCUGACGGGAAGCAUAUAUGGGUCAUAGUCGCCCGCCAACAUUGGAAAUUCUUUGAUCUUCUACCAGGAAUGUAAAAGCUCUGGUACCAAUUUGAAGGAAAAUAUUUUAUUUAUAAACUCAAAGGUUCUUGAAUCUUAAUUCAAGUUCUAUCUAUUAUGUAUAUUUCUGUAUAUUGAAAAUAACUAGUAGCAUCCCUAUAUAUAAAGGUAAAAAUCAAAUUAAACUAGGACUAGGAAUCACUCUAACUAACAAAUCCUAAUUAAACAUAAAUAAGUAUAUAUCAUAAAUAACAAAUCCUAAACAACUUAGGAUUCCUACUCCAACUUUGAAUUAUUAUUUCCAACUUGCAUGACUAAGAAUAUUUUCGUAUUUUAACGCUUCCACUCUCAUUUUGUUUUCUUCUCUCUUUCUAUGAAGUAGAAGAUUUUUGAGCUGGUUGUUUGUGAAUAAGUUGAGGUUGAGAACUAUGUUUAUUUCUACCUUAUUCAUGUAAAUGAGAUGUUUAUAGGAUAGCUAGCUAGUUGGUCAUCUCCAGCUAAUUUGUCACUAAAAAGCUUUUAACUAAUUGAAUUUUGUAACAAUUUGUCACUAAUCCGUAGUUAAAUAGAAUGAAAUUUGAUUUGUUGUUUAGCUAUGAAAUUUUAUCCAUCGUUAAUUUUUUGUUUUCUAGUGGUAAAGAAACCUAUUUCUGAGGAAGACAUUUCUUUCCUUAUUUUUAAGAAAAGAAAUUUGCAAAGAAAUUUUUUCUCAAAAAUUUGAUGGAAAAUUAAACAUUAAAAAAUAUCUUUUAAAAAUUGUUUUCCUCCCUAUAAUGGUCCAUCUCUUGGGAUGGCAAUGGGUGGGGCGGAUACAGGGAGACAUGGGUUUAAGGCUAUGCAGGGUGAGGUGAGUUUAAGGCUAUGCAGGGCGGGGCGGGUGGGAUGCGGGGUGGGUUGAAGUGAGUUUUUUUAAAAGUAAUGCGGUGCGGGUUGGGUUGCAGGUAUAUACAAUUUUAUGUGGGUUUAAACUUAAUUUUAACUUUUUAAUGUUAAAAGAGUGAUAGAGCAUUAAUUAUUAAGAUAAUUUCAUUAAAGCUACUAAAAUACUCAUGAUAAUAAAUGAAAAUGAUUCAAUAAAAAAUAAUACAAUUUCUUACAUGUUUCUCAAUUGACCUCUAAAAAAUAAAAUUUAUAAGUCACUGUCCUAUUAAAUUAAUACAACUUAAUGAAAAAAUGUUUAUUUCUAUGAAUUUUAUUUUUAGUAUCAAACUUAAAUAGAAAAAGAAAAUAUUAAAAAAAUUAUGCGGGGCGAGUUCAUGCGGAGCGGGUUGAAAAUGAAAAAAGUUGUUACGUGGGGCGGGGCAGACUAAAAAUUUUGCGGGUUGAGCUCAACCCGCUCCCGCCCCACACCACCCCAUUGCCAUCCCUAUCCAUCUCUAUCUACCGGCCACCUAAACUAAUGGUCCUUUGCAGGCUUACAUCAAAAGUUGUCUUUGAUAUAUAGGACCUUGAUAUUAUGUCCACUUGAUUCUUUGGGAAUUUGGAGUAGUAUGUGUGUUUACUCAUUACUUAAUGAAAAAAUAAAAUUACAAAGAUAUUUUCGACUUAUUUUAUACCAUGAAUUUUAAAAUUUCUUUUUUCCUAAAUUUUGCGUUAAGUGAAACACGAUUUAACACGAUUCGAGAAUAUGGCAAAAAUGAUUCAUUAUCUUUGAUAGUAAGUUCACUUUAAGCAGUUUUGGUGCUUUAAAUCAUCACAUCAUAUCAUAUAUCUUAAAAGCAUAAACUCCUAACUUGAAUGCUAAAUACUAUAAUAUGGAACUUAGGUUGUGACUUUUUCGAUGAGUUGUGACUUUUCUGAUAAGUUGUGACUUUUUUCAAAGUGUUGUGAUUUUUCAAUGAGUUGUGACUUUUCCAAAGAGUUGUGACUUUUCCAAGGAGUUGUCACUUUUCGAAAGGGUUGUGAUUCUCGGAAAGGUCAUGACUUUUCAGAUAAGACACAAAAAACACUUGUUCAUACUACCUUUUUUUUACUAUAAAUAGAGGGGUUUCCUCCCAUUUUUCAACCACAAUUUUUUUUAUUCUUCUACUCUUCUUCUUGCAUUUUAAAAUAUUUCAUACGAUUUAUUGUCGUUGAGUGAGUUCGAAGUUUAGCGAAAUAUGAGGUACCACUAUUCUGAUAAAGUACAUUGUUCAAUCCUAAGAGGGUAUAUUUCUUAACCUCGAGUACUUGAGGAAAAUAAUUCUAAUGAUAUAAUAAUUAUUUUUUGGCUUAGUAUAUUGUAACAACCCGACCCGUCGUUAAUUAGGAAAAUCAAAAAUUUGGGAAAUUCUGGGCCACUGUCACGCCAGGGUGGCAACACCACAAUGGGAAAAUAGUCGACAGGGCAGGAUAGGCGAGGCAGAAUGUAAAUAACGCAAAUUCUUAUUUCCUCCUUCUUUCUAAAAUACCUAAAUUAGUCGUAAAACACCCUAGAAACCCUCAAAAAGCUGCUCUAAGCUUGGGGAGGAAGGAGAAGGAGAAUUCUAGCGUAAGAAGGUCAAUGGGUGGCGGAUUUUCGAUCAAGAUCACUGUCACGAAGUCCGAAAACAAGAAUCGAAGCCAAAAACUUUGUGCAGCUGCUUGGCGCCCAGGUAGGCUAGGUUUUAUGAAUUGAGUAGUCAUAAAUUUGUGCUCACUACAUAAUAUAUGUAAACCAAUGGUAGGAAUUAUGUGUAAGCUUUCGUGCACUGAACAAAAUAUGAUUAAACCUUAGGAAGAAGGCUUAGAUGAUGAACUAGGGCUAAGUAGGGUUGAAUUAAUGCUUACGUGAUAUACGUCGAUGAGUAGUUCAUUGGGAUGGUGGUGAUUUUAUGAUUGUGUGUUGUGGGCUUGUUCUUGAUUCAUUAUAAUACGUACAUGAAUGUGAACGAAGCUUAUUGAUCACACCUAAUGUAAAUAAGCAUGAAAGAAGAAUUAUAUGUUAUGAAUCACUCUUGUUGUGUGGUUAUGAUGAUAUACAUUGUGAUUGUGGAUCGAGUGUUGCGUUUCGACACACAAACUUGGAUCGGUUUCCACGUUCCGACAUAAUUAUGGGAUCGAUUGCCAUGUUCCGGCAUAAUUAUGGGAUCGGUUGCCACGUUUCGCAUAAUUAUGGGAUCGGUUGCCACAUUCCGGCAUAAUUAUAGGAUCGGUUGCCACGUUCUGGCAUAAUCUUUAGAUCGGGUACCACAUUCCGGUAUGCUAACAGUUUGGGUUUGGGUUCCUGAGAUGACCAAUGAUUUGACAUAAUUGUAUGCCUUGAGGAUUGUGAAAUUGUACCUUGUUCGUAAUGAUAAUUGAUGUUGUAUUUCCCGGAGAUGUUUUAUGGUUAUGAGAAAUUAUGUUUGAUGGUUCUUCUAUGUUGAGUAAACUUGAUAUGUAUCUUGAUGAAAAGUGAACCGGAAAGGGCACACCUAACCGAGAGGUGAUAUGGAGGUGGGGAGUCAACGUUUCAAGAAUGGUUAUUGUCAGAGUAAGGGUGUCGUAUGCUAUAACGGCGAGGAGUGGGGGUAGUGUACGUGUUGUAAGUGCUUAGGUGGAUUUCACGUUGGAGAAAGGGAUUUGUGAUUAGGGGUUAGAAAGAGUGACGUAAUGGACUAUGUGGCUAUGACUGGGUAAUAUGAAGAGAAAGUAAGGGUUUGACGUGAGCGGGUAGUUGGAAUGCUUAUAGUUGUAUUUGGGGACUUUUCUAUGUGUUAGAAUGGUUAGGCUAUGAUGAAGAACCUAGUACGUAGGUUGACCGAAAAGGUGGAGAAGCGAGGGGUUUAAUUGCAUGAUCUUACUAGUUAUUUUCUUAUGUUACGUGGUGGGCGUCGGGUUAACCGAUGAUGCCUACUAGUACGUGGUGUGGUUUAUACUGAUACUACUCUUGUUAUGUCUUUUGACAUAGUCUGGAUGCAGGUUGGUGAUGUUUCCUUAGGUGAAGAUGAAGAAUUCUCCAACAGCUUCUACUUUUCCUUUUGCAUGGUGGGAGCUGUGUCUUUUAUUUGUUAUGUCAAGUUUGCACUCUUAGUAGCUCUUGUACCUGUUUAGAUUAGAUCAUUGGGGGUGUUAAUUACUUUACAAGUGUUAAAGGUUCUUAAUUAUAAAUUUCCGUUAGUAUAUUUUAUUUCCGUUCAUUUAAUUUUCCGUAUGUUUUAAAUUAUUGGGAUAUGAGGGUUCUCCUACUUAGGUGGUAGUACGUAGGUGCCCACACGGUCUGGUGGUUUGGGUCAUGACAAAUUGGUAUUAGAGCUCAGGUUACCGGUCUCACAGUACAAGAGCAAAAUGUGGACUACACUCAUGCAGAUUGGUGUGUUGACGUCCACAUCUAAUCUUCAGGAAGCUAGAAAGCAUUCUAGGAAGUAGUUCCACACAUUCUCUCCUUUCGUGCGAAGUGUCACUUGUGGUAUGAGUUUGGUCCAAUUGGUAUCUCAACAAAGUAGAUCGAACGUCGUGGUCACGAUUGAAGGAACACAAGCAAGGUAAAUUGGAACUGAGAAGAUUUCAAUUGGUAUCAGGCCCUAGGGGCGGUGUAAAUACAUGGAUGAUGAGUAAUGGUCAUCCAUGGAACAAAGUAACUAAUUAAGAAUUUGGACUUGUCUGUGAGUUGUAACUUGAAGUCUGUGAUUGUGUGCUUCUUAUUUUCUGAAUUAACUAUGCAUUUGGUAUGCAUUUUUGUGUUUUGCUGUUGUACGUUGUGUGUUUGGAUGUUUCUUUCGGUCGCUGUUCUCGCGAGGAAGAUACAGGGGUGUGGGGUAGGGUUGGUAUUGCAUUGUACGCAUCGCUGUAUUGUUGAAAGAAGAAUGUAUUGUUGGAUCGUUGGACUGGGCAGGGUCGGUUUAAGGGAAUUGUUGUUGUUGUUAUUGGAUGGGCUGAUUGUAUUGUAUUAUUUUGCUGGAAAAAAGAAUUGGGGUGGGCUAAGUAUUGGGUCUAGUUUUAGUUGAGAAGUGGGCUGGAAAUGGCACUAAAAAGCCCAAAAUUGGUUUGCAAAUUGAGUUAAGGUGAGGAGAGAAACUUGGCUAGAUUUGCAAUUCCAAAAUGACAAUGGAUUGCAAUCAUAACCAAUUGAAGUUCAAAACUUGGCUGAGUUGAAUAUAAUUGGUGAAAUCGGCUAAAAUUCAAAUAAGACGAAUUAAUGCAAUUAAUUAACGAGCCUCUUAAUCUUAACGAAAGAAAAUAAUUAGCUUAAAUAUAAAUUAAUUAAUUCAAAAAUAUAAUUGUAACUUAAACUAAACUAAUUUGAUAGAAUUUUUAAAACAAAAUCUUUUUGAGACGAUUUUCGAAUAUUCUUUAAAAUAUACUAAUUAUAUAUAUAAUUAUAUAAAACACAUAUAUUAUUUAAAAAUUAAAAAAAAUGAUACAACUAUUUAAAAUAACUUGCAAACUAUAUUAUUUUUUAUUUUUUUGAAAUUUUAUAAAACUAAUUAUUUUAAAUCGUUUGAAAUUGAAGAAGCUCGAUGAUUAAUCAAUAAUGUGGAGGUCUAAAAUUGGGUGUCAACAACUAUCUUAAGAGACAAAAAUUAAACCCCAACACAAAAUAAUAGCAAAAGUAGAAUGAGUAAAUAUCUCAAAAUGUCAUCCAACUUGAGGAAUUAUCUUAUAAAGUCAUUCAACUUUGUUUUGUAUCAAUAAAAUCACUCAACUUAAGAUAUUUUUUUUAUAUAUAAAAUUACUCAAUCAAAUUUAUUAUAAAAAAUAAUUUAACUUGAUAAUUUUUUUCUCUUUAAGUUUAAGUUUGAGUUUUCCUUCUCUCUUCCAUAAAAUAAAAACUUUACUCAAAUAUCUUUCUCUUUUUCGUUUUUGGUAAAUAGAGAGAUACUUUAUACAUACUAAAGUACUAAAUAGUUAAUAUAUUCGCUUACAUAAUAUUAAUGAUUUCGAACUUAUUACAAGUCAAAGAGGAGAUUAUGUUUAUACUUUAUACUAUGAAAGAAAAACUCAAAGUUGAGUGAUUUUUUUUUAUAUAAAACAAAAUUGAAUAAUUUUACAAGAUAAUUCCUCAAUAUAACAUUUCGAGAUAUUUACUCAGGUAGAAUUGACCUUUGUUUAUAAUAUCUAAGCUAAUGGUCCAUACCUUGCAACCCGUCGUAUUGCAGGCUUACAUCAAAAGUAGUGUGUCAUAUAUAUAUAUAUCAAAUCAUACUUGAACGAUGUAUUUUGUUGCUUGACAAAUGAAUUAACUUGACUAUUCUAAUUCACCUUUAUUUUACUCUCUAUACUUUAUAUUUGGAGAGUAAAAUAGAGAAUGAGCUCUCCAACCACCCUGUACUUCACUCUUUAUUCUCCAUUUAUAGAGAGUUGAACAGUAGUUCUCCAAAUUUGGAGAGCUACUAUUCACAUUCUCUGUUUCACACUUUAAUUAUUUUAUUAAUAUUUCUAUUAUUUUGUAAUUAAUAUAUUAUUUUUCAUAUAAUGUCAUUAAUUAAAUCUCUAAUAUUUGUAAUUCUUUUGAAAUGUAAUAUAAUAUUUUAAAAAAUAUAUUAUUUAAUAUAUACUACUUUCAUCUUGAAUUAAUAAUAUUUCAAUUCUUUUAAUUUUCAUCACUUUGAUUUAGUUUAUUAUUAACUUGCACUAUAAAGAAUGCACAAAAUUAAAUGGUCUACAAUUGUUCAAACUAUUCGUGAUCCACGUUCCCAAAAGCAAAAAUAUUUGCGAUAAAACAAGAAUCGUGCCGAAAAAAUGUUGAACGUGCAUUCAGAGUUUUGUAAUCACGUUUUGCAAUUAUUGAAGGACAAUCACGUUUUUGGAGAAAGAAAGUGUUACAUGAUAUAAUGACUACAUGUAUUAUACUACACAACAUGAUAAUCGAGGAUGAAUGUAAUCUUAAUGUAUCAAUUCAAGAUGUCAUAGAGGCUCCAACUACAAUGACAUAAAUGGUAUUGGAUGAAAAUCUCCGAUUUGAAUAAUUUUUAGCUAGACAUAAAAAAUUAAGGACAAAAAUGUUCAUUUUGAACUCCAUUAUGCAUUAAUAGAGCAGUUAUGAGAGCAACAUUAUAAUCUUGAAAGUUGAGUAUUUAUGUAAUGUUUAUGUAAUUGUAUUUCAUUAAUGAUUUCAGUUUUAUUUGAAUUGUCCAUUAAUUUGUAUAUUAUAUAAUAUGUGUUUGCAAUUUAUAUUAUUUAGAAAUUUAAAAUAAAAAAUAAUGUUAUAUUAAAUAAAAAACUUGAAAAAGUAAAAUUUAUAUCACACGAAAAUACCAUUGUGGACAUCAUAAAUCAAUUCAUGUCAUUAUCGGUCCAAAGCAUCUAACGUACGUUACUUAAAUUGAAGGGAAAAAGGAUAAAUAUACCCUCGAACUAUCGUAAAUGGUAUGUAAAUACCCUUCGUUAUACUUUUAGGACACUGAUGCCUUACCGUCUAAUUUUUAGAGUGUAUAUACCCUUUGAACUAACGAAAAGACACGUGUCACGAUCUUAACGGCUUAUCCAAAAUUAAUUUAAUUUUUACCCACAAUUAAAAAAUUGACCCAAAUAAUUAAAAACCCACCAAAUAAUUUUAAGACCCACCCGUAAAUAAAGCUAAUUUUCCCUUUCUUCUCAAGUUCCGGCAACCAAAGACUGCACCACAACUCCAUCUUCUCCGAGGAAGUUCCACAAACAAAGCCACCUCUAACUGCUACAAACCCAGCAUCCGGCGAUCCGGUGAAAUCAGCGAAGUUGCAACCCUUCGGCCACCACGCACCCAUCUCUCCCUCACCGUUGUUUCAAUAGCUCUGGCAAGCAGCCGAGCAUACCUCUAGCUCUCUUGACAAAUCUUCAAUAAUGGCGACCAAGAGGACACUCCGUAAACAAGAAAAAAUCAAUCUCAUUUCCAUCAACUGAGAAACCCCCAAAGUUCUACUCAUACAUUCAAAGAGUUUUUGUCUGUGUCAUUUAUUUUGUCUAAAAAAGAUUAGGGGAUCUUACUUUGUUGAUGAGAAUUGUAUUAAAUUAGGGUAGAAAUUAAUAUGAAAUUUAACUUUAAAAAAAAACUAUAACAAUCUCGGUUAGGAAGGAGAAGAUCGAGAAAUUUAACUUAAAAAAGAAGAAGCUAUAACCUUCUCUGUUAGGAAGGAAAAGAUCGACAAGAUAGUCUAUUGGGGUUUGGGGUUAUAAUUUGGUGCGGGUCUUAAAUUAUUUGGGCGGAUUUUUAUUUAAUCGGGUCAAUUUUUUAAUUAUGGAUAAAAAUUAAAUAAAUUUUAGAUAGAUCAUUUAGAUCAUGACAUGUGUCCUUCCGUUAGUCCAAAGGGUAUAUAUACUCCAAAAAUUAAACGGUAAGGGCAUCAGCGUCCUAAAAGUAUAACGAAGGGUAUUUACAUACCAUUUAUGAUAAUUCAAGGAUAUAUUUGUCCUUUUUCCCUAAAUUGAAUACUGCAACCUUUCUGUAUCUGAAAUGGGACUAUUCCAACGAGAGACAAUGCAUGUGGUUUGUUGACACUUGAGAUACACUUGUAUGCUACUAUACCUUAUGCACCAAUUAAUUGCAAUAAUUGAAUUGCGAGCUUUAGGUAUAUGUCAUCUAACUUUGAGAAAAUGCUCAUUUGUGUCAUUUAAAUUUGACAAGAGAAUUAUUCAUGUCAUUAUUUGUUCAUUGAAAACGGUUCUAAUUUUGGAAACCACUUUCUACACGUGGUUAAUUAUCGACUUUUUGGCUGACAAAUUAGCUAGUAUGGGAUUGGAAGCAGCAAAUAUCUAAAAAAAGAAAAAAAAAUGUGACUAAUGUUAACAAAAUAGGUAGAAAAAAGUAUAAAGUUUAGCUCAUCUGACACAACUUAUGAACAAUUGAACAACACGAGUAAGAUUUGUGCCUCCUAAAACUUUUGAACAACACAUGCAAUAUUUGUCCAUCUGGCAAAAUUUGGGAACAGUUAAGGCAUAAUACAUAAAUAUGUCAUUUAAUUUGAUCUUAUUUCAUAUUUACGUCCUCCAACUUUGGGUGUGCACCAGUAGACACUAAAACUUAUAUAAAGUUGAACAAAUAGAACAUGAGUCCUAUGUGGUAUAAUACAUGUAGGACACCAUGUAGGAUGCAAAUUGCUACGUAGGAUGUCACAUAGGACGUGUGUAUCUAUUUGUUCAAUUUUAUAUAACUUUAAGUGUCUACUUGUGCACACCCAAAGUUGGAGGACGUAAAUAUAAAAUGAAGUCAAGUUAAAAGUCAUAUUUAUGUAUUAUAUUUGCGACAAUUUAACAUGAUAGAUAGAAAGGAAAAAUACAAAUAUACUCCUAGAACUAUCGUAAAUGGUAUGUUUUAUUCUAUUUGAGAUUUGAGAAGCAAACACAUUGAGACUUGUAUUUAUCUUUCAAUUCCGCAUUUUUUAUAUUAGUGGCAUGUACACGUGACAAUCAGGUUAUAUGGUUAUAAUAUAAUAGAAUGAAUAAGUUUUUCGCUCUUAUGUUAUUCUUGUUUUACUUUCCGCAUUUCUUUCAUUUCGUUGGGUUGAGGCUGACAUGUUUUGGUGGAAAUAGACAAAUGUCAUCUUAUCCAUUUUUGGGUCGUGACAAUAUUUUUAUGCUAUGAUUUUAAAAUUACCAUUAGAAUCUAAUGGUUCAAUCGAAACACCAUUUAAAAUAUCAAUCUUCGAACAAGCACUUGAAACUCAUCUAAGACCACCCAAACACAAACUAAAUAUGUCAAUUAACUAUAAAACACAUUUCGGACCUAUUGAAAUCAUCAAAUCACUAAUUUGAUGUCAUCUUAAUAGAAAGUUCACAAUCAACCAUAACUUUCUUAAAACUCAAAAAUACAACUACGGGGUCAAAUCACUCCCCAACAACUUGGGAUCCGUAUAAACCAUCUAUCGUAGUCAAAAAUCACCUUUCGGAUCUAAUGGAAUUGUAAUAAUUUGAAUUUGGGUUCAUUAACCUAGAAUGUUAUCUUUGAUCAAAUUUCUCAACUUCCAAAAUCAAAAAUCUUCAUCUUGACGCAUUCGAUCAUCUUGGAAAUCAUGUCACUCAUUUUCGCAAAUUAAAAACAGCAUAAGAAUCUACAGAAAAAUUCUAAUUGGAAUAAAAGAACUCAAAAGAAUAAAAAAAAAAAAAAUCAUACAGAUCAUUACCAUUAUUAUCUUAAGGUACAAAAAUUAAAAAUCAAUUCAAAAUAAUAGUAAAAGUUGAAUUGACCUUUGAAUAAAAUAUCUAAGUUAAUGGUUCAUAUCUUGCAACCUAUUGUAUUUCAGGCUUACAUCAAAAGUAGUGUCCACCAAGAAAAAACUUUGUAGUGUAUAUGUCCUACAUAUAUAUUAAAUCAUACUUGUAUGAUGUCUUUUGUUGCUUGACAAAUGAAUUAACUUUAAUACCAUCUCCGACCUAUUUUUAUUUUAUUUUAUAUUCUUUAUAUUUGGAUAGUAAAAUAGAGAAUGAGCUCUCCAAUCACUCUCUAUUUCACUCUUUAUUAAUAAUUUAUAGAGAGUUGAAUAGUAGUCACACCCUCUGUUUCACUUUUUUAUUAUUUCUAUUAUUUUGUAAUUCACAGUAUUUUUCAGAUAAGGUCACUAAUUAAAUCACUAAUAUUUGUAAUUCUUUUGAAAUGUAAUAUAAUAUUUUAAAAAUAUAUUAUUUAAUAUAUACUACUUUUAUCUCGAAUUAUUAAUGUUUCAAAAAAAAUUAAUUUUCAUCACUUUAAUAUGAUUUGAUUUAUUAUUAAUUUUCACUAUAAAGAAUGCACAGAAUUAAAUGGUCUACAAUUGUUCAAACUAUUUGUGAUCCACGUUCCCAAAACAAGAAUUUAUCGCGAUGAAACAAGAAUCGUGCCGAAAAGAUGUUGAACAUACCUUCAGAGUUUUGCAAUCACGUUUUGCAAUUGUUGCAGGACAGUCACGUUUUUGGAGAAAGGAAGUGUUACUUGAUAUAAUGACUACAUGUAUUAUACUGCUCAACAUGAUAAUUCGUGAUCAUGAUGCACCAAUUCAAGAUGUCGUAGAGGCUCCAACUGCAACAACAUAAAUGGUAUCAGAUGAAAAUCUCCGAUUUGAACAAUUUGUAUCUAGACAUAAAAAAUAAUGGACAAAAAUGCUCAUUUUGAACUCUGUAAUGCGUUAAUAGAGCAUUAGAGCAACAUAAUACUCUUGAAAGUUGAGUACUUUAUGAUAUAUAAUUGUAUUUCAUUAAUGAUUUCACUUUUAUUUGAAUUGUCCAUUAAUUUGUAUAUUAUAUAAUAUUUGUUUGCAAGUUAUUUUAUUUAGAAAAUUAAAAUAAAAUAUAAUGUUAUAUUAAAUGAAAAACUUGAAAACAUAAAAUUUUAUAUCACAUGAAAAUAAUAUAAAUUGAUUAUUUGGGGGAAAAAGAAUUUAUAUUAUGAAAUAGAGAAGAUAGUAAAAUAGAUAAUAGGAAAAGAAUUUCCAAGUGUAACGACCGGGUUCCAUCGUUAUAGAAAAGCCAACGGGAAAAAAUUUUUGGUCGGAAAACUUUUUCGUAGUAACUUGGAAAUUCUCAACCUAGUCCAGAUUUUGACGAAAUCGGAGUCAUUAAGGUGUAGGGAAAUCUUGUAGCAAUCAGGUGACUUAUUUAUGAAUUUGAUUACAUGAGUAGUUAGAUAAGUCGUUAAGGAAUCCGUACGACUUUAUGGAAUUGAAUACGGGUGAGUAAAACUCCCGAAAUCGAUCUUAGCGUGAGCGGUAUUUUCUGAGCUUCAUUGGAUAAGGGUGUGUUGUGAAAUGGGGGUCUUGGAAUUAUUAAAAUAGCUCACUGGUUCCGUGCAAGCCGCUGGAACAGUAUUUCUACCGCCAGUGCGUGGUCGUACAGCGGGGUGAGGGCAGCUGUGGCAGGUUCAACGAGACUUAAGGUCGUAAAUAAACCCCAAAAUGACUUUAUUCUGCACUUUUCGACCUUGAGAGCUAGGAGACGACCCCAUACGAGUUCUUGACAGUUUUCCACCAUUCUUGAGGCUAAAAGUAAGUUUUUCACUCCCCGAAUCCAUUUUUUCUAUCAGUAAAACAUCAUAGAAUGGGUAAUUAUCAAUGGGGGAGGGUUUUGAAUUGGAAACCAUGGUGGAAAAGGCCUUAUUUUGGAUACUUGGUAUCAUGGGUAUGAUCUAGGGUUGUUAGAAUUGUUAGUAAUUCGGGUAAUUGAUGAUUGUUUAUUGAUUUCCGUGUUAUUAUGAUUGUUUGUAGACCAAGAACAAGCGGAACGAAUCCAGAAAGGGAAGGAUCAAGUUUCUUAGGGUUUCAAGCUUGUUUUGAGGUAAGUGAUGGUUGUGGUUCUAUGAUUGUGUGAUGUAUGUUUAUUCUUGCUUCAUUAUGAUACUUGCAUGUAUGUGAAUGUGGCAUUGUCGAUCACACUUGUUGUAAAUGAGAUAGAUGAAUGAUGAAUGCCAUGAAUCAUGACUUAUUUGUAUGAACUUGAGAACGUACUUGUGAUUGUGAUUGUGGUGUGUUGAAUGGAUCAAUUGCCACGUUCCGACAUAACUAAUUGGGAUCGAUUGACACAUUUCGGCAUAAUUAUGGGAUCGGUUGCCACGUUUCGACAUAACAUUGGAUCAGGUACCACGUUUCGGUAUGCUAACUGUUUGGGUUUGGGUUCCAUGAAAUAACCAAUGACUUGUCAUAAUUGUGUAUAUUGUUGAGAAUGUGAUCAUCGAUAUUGUAUAUGUUCGGUAUUUUGCAUGUUUAUAAUGUUAUAUUGACUUUCUUAUGUUACACUUAGUGAAAUAGCCGCGUGAUCCUACCAGUACAUUGUGAUUGUGUACUGAUACUGCACUUGCUCUUAUUUUUAUUGAGUACAGGGAAUCUUCAAGCAGCUACUGACAGACCUCGCUUAGAAGAUCAGUGAUCGUCGUUCGAAUUCAAGGGUGAGCCAAUUCUUUCGGGCUGCCAUGAGUUCUCCUUUCGUCUAUGUCCACACUUCCGGACUAAGACAUUUCUAUUAGUUAUUAGUACAUUAGUUUGGGGUUGCAUCCCUUCUUGUUUAGACUUGUUGAACUUUAGAUGUUUUGGUACAUUGACUUUCAGGUUCUAGGUUAUUCUUCCGCAUUGUUUAGUUCGUUGUUAGAUUUUUGUUGGAGUUUAUGGGAACUUCUUAUUUCUUUCCUUAGUAUUUAAUUUGCUUUCGUAACUUAAAUGCUUUAGUUUUUGAUUUAGUUGCUUGGCUUGGGGUUGUAGUAGUGGUUCUCCCACAUGAGGGUUAGUGUGGGUGCCAAUCACGACGGUCUGGGUCGUGAUAAAGUUGGUAUCAGAGCCUAGGUGCAUUGAUCUCAAUGUACCAAAACGAGUCUAGUAGAGUCUCGCGGAACGGUACGGGGAUGCCUUUACUUUUCUUCUAGAGGCUAUAGGACUUUAGGAAAUCUCUCUAUUUUUGUGUCUCCUUUCGUGCUAUAACUUGAUUCCAAUUGGUAUCUAUCGAUUUAAAUUGGUAUCUAGCCUCCUUCACUAUUCUGUCCGCAGAUGGUUAAUAUUAGAUACAACGACAUCAGGCUCGUAGCUCCCGUCAAUGCUCCAGCUGAGGAAUCUGCAGCGAGAGGUCGCAGUCGAGGCAGGGGUAAAGAAAGAGCUAGGGGUAGAGACCAAGGAAGAGUAGCACCUGCUAGGAAUGGAGCUCCUGUUGAGAAUGCUCAUGUGAAUGAGAACCCUCCUGGGCAUUAUGAAGAGAUUGAAGAGGAGAAUGUUGAUAUUGAGAAUGUUGCGGAUGUGCGACAAGAGGAAGAGGUGCAAACUGAGACUAUCGAUUUUCCCCCAUAGACCUAGUGUUAGCUCGAUAGAUUAUGUCAUUCUUGGAGGGGUUGGUUAGUCCUAGAGUGCUUCCUUUUGCUCAAGCAACUCAAGCACCUACUAAUCCUCAUAUUGCUAGCAAUGCGCCCAACGUGGGUGGGACCGGAGGUAAUGAUGCUUUCUUUCAUCCUUUGUUGGGUUCUGUUAUGACCGGUAAUGAGCAUGAGAUGUUGACUAAAUUUUUGAAACUAAAGCCUCAUGUGUUUCUUGGUUCUGAGAAUAAGGAUGCUUAUGAGUUUAUCUUAGACUGCUAUAAGAGGCUUCAUAAGUUGGGAAUUGUCCAUCAGCAUGGGUUGAGUUUGUGUCCUUUCAACUUCAAGGUGAGGCUAAGUAAUGGUGGAGAGAUUAUAUAGAAUGCGGAUCUUCUACUUUACCUCCACUUACUUGGACCCAAUUUCAUGCUCUGUUUUUGGAGAAAUAUGUGCUUAGGACUUUGAAGGAUCGCAAGAAGGAUGAGUUCAUGGCUUUGGAGCAAGGUGGUAUGACUGUGGCUGCUUAUGAGGCCAAGUUCCAUGUUUUGUCUAGAUAUUCUACUCAAUUGGUGACUACUGAAGAGGAGGGGAUCCGGUUAUUUAUUAGGGGACUAAAUUCUCAAUUGCAGGUAUUAUCUGUUCAUAUGACUUCUGCAGGGAGGAGCUCUAAUGAGGUAACAUACUAUGUUAAGAAAGUGGAGGGGGUGAGGCGAGAUGGUCAGGCUAAGGCAUUGGUUAAAAGGGCGAAGAAUUCAGGCAACUUUCAAGGUUCUUAUUCCAGAGGUUCAGAGAGGCCAACGCUUGCAACCAAGCCAAUUUAGUCCGCUAUACCCGCCUCUACAGGUACUCAGGAACUCCACCUUAUAAUUUGAUUCAGGAUAGCCAGGUAGUCACACAUUCAGUGGGCAGCAUGCCAUUUUUUUAUCGUACAUGUCACAACUGUGGUGAACCUGGGCAUAUGAGAAGAGAUUGUCCCCACCUACGUGUGUUAGAUUCCGCUCAGCAGCAGUCUAGAGCAGUGGUACCCAUGGGAAAUGGUAAUAAUAGUCGAGGGCAUCCACAAGGUGGGCGAUGAGGUAAUCAGCGAGGCCGUGGAGGUAGAGGAAAUGGUAAUACAGGCAGGGGUAACAUGCAACCAGGCAUAGAAAUGACUCUUCAAGAUGAUAGGGCUCAGUGUUUUGCCUUUCCGGGCAAAAAUGAGGCAGAGGCGUCUGAUGCGGUGAUCACAUAUACUAUUCUUGUCUAUGAUUGGAUGGCUAAUGUGUUAUUUGAUCCGGGUUCUACUUAUUCUUAUGUAUCCGUGCGAUUUUCCUCAAGGUUUGAUAUGAUUUGAGAUAUACUUGAUGCCCCUAUCCAUGUUUCUACCCCCAGUUUGGAGAGUCAGUCAUAGUUACCCAUGUUUAUCGUGUUUGUCCUAUUUUGUUUAUAGGUUUUUAGACUUGGGCUGAUUUGGUAAUUUUGGAUUUAACUGAUUUUGAUAUAAUCUUAGGCAUGACUUGGUUGUCCCCCUAAUAUGUUGUGCUUAAUUGUAAUACUAAGUCUCUAACUCUAGAAAUUUCGGAAAGGGAAAAAUUAGAGUGGGAAGGGGUGUACAAGCCAAAGCAGGCUAAGAUCAUAUCCUCUAUUCGGGAUGGAAAAUUGGUAGAGCAGGGUUGUUUGGCUUAUUUGGCUCAUAUUAGGGAUGUUGAUAUUGAGGCUCCAUCCAUUGGGUUUAUUCUUGUGGUGUCAAAAUUUAGAGAAGUGUUUUCUAAUAACUUGUUUGGUAUGCCUCUGGAUAGGGAUAUAGACUUCUGCAUUGAUUUAGAACCUGGUACUCGUCUCAUUUCUAUCCCUCCAUAUGGCAUGGCUCCGACAGAAUUUAGAAAGCUUAAGGCUCAAAUCCAAGAGCUUCUUGAUAAGGGAUUUAUUCGUCCUAGUGCUUCCUCAUGGAGUGCUCCAAUUUUGUUUGUUAAGAAAAAGGAUGGUAGUAUGAGAAUGUAUAUAGAUUACCGACAAUUGAAUAGGGUCACUAUUCAAAACAAGUAUUCUUUGCCUCGAAUAGAUGAUCUUUUUGACCAAUUGCAAGGUGCAUUAGUUUUCUUUAAGAUUGAUCUAAGGUCUGGCAACCAUCAGUUGAAAAUUAGGUCUGAGGAUGUGCCCAAGACGGCAUUUAGGACUCGUUAUGGGCACUAUGAGUUUUUGGUUAUGUCUUUUGGUUUGACCAAUGUGCCUGUAGCUUUCAUGAGUUUAAUGAAUGGGGUGUUCAAGUCAUUUCUUGAUUCUUUUGUCAUAGUCUUUAUUGAUGAUAUUUUGGUUUAUUCGAAAAGUAAGGAAGAGCAUGUCGACCAUCUUCGUAUUGUUUUGGGUGUUCUUGGAAAACAAAGGUUGUAUGCUAAAUUUUCUAAGUGUGAAGUUUGGUUGACUUCGAUUGCAUUUUUGGGGAUGUAGUUUCGAAAGAAGGGGUAAUGGUAGACCCUCAAAAGAUUUAGGCGGUAAAGAAUUGGGUUUGACCAUAUUUUGUAACUGAAGUUAGGAGUUUUGUGGGGCUUGCUGGCUAUUAUCAUCGAUUUGUGAAGAACUUUGCUUUUAUUGCCACCCACUUGACUAAUUUGACCAAAAAGGAGAUACCAUUUGAAUAGACUGAAAAAUGUGAGGAGAGCUUCCAAAAGCUCAAGGCUCUUUUGACCACCGCACAUAUUCUAGCAUUACCAGUAGAAGGUGAAGAUUUUAUUGUUUAUUGUGAUGCUUCACAUUCUGGUUUGGGUGAUGUGUUGAUGCAGGAUAGGAAUGUUAUAGCUUAUGCAUCACGUCAAUUGAAGGUGCAUGAGAGGAAUUACCCAACAAACAAUUUUGGGUUGGCAGCGGUAGUGUUUGCUCUUAAGAUCUGGCGACAUUAUCUGUCUAGUGUCAAGUGUCAAGUGUUUACUGAUCAUUGUAGUUUGCAGCAUGUGUUCACUCAAAAGGAUUUGAAUUUGAGACAACGAAGGUGGAUGAAGUUACUUAAAGAUUAUGAUGUCACCAUUCAAUACCAUCCGGGCAAGGCUAAUGUGGUGGCAGACGCUUUGAGUCGAAAAACAGUGAGUAUGGGUAGUUUAGCUUGCUUAAGUGUAUCCAAACGACCUUUGGCUAAGGAAAUUCAGACCUUAGAGUCUAAGUUCAUGCAGUUGGGCAUCUCAGAAAGAGGUGGGGGUGCUAGCUAGCAUUAAAGUGAGGGCCACAUUCAUUGAGGAGAUCAAGGUCAAACAGUUUGAUGAUGAGAAUUUGGAGGAGCUUAGAAAGAAGAUUGCGAUUAGUAAGGCACAAGAGACUAUUCUUGAUGCGGAAGGUGUGCUCAAUUUUAAAGGAAUAAUAUGUGUUCCUAGAGUAGAUGACUUGAUUAAGAAAUUAUUGGCGGAGUCUCAUGGUUCGCGAUAUUCUAUCCAUCCGGGUGUGACCAAGAUGUAUCGAGAUUUGAAGCGAAUUUAUUGGUGGCCGGGCAUGAAGAAGGAUAUAGUGGAGUUUGUAGCUAAGUGUAAAAAUUGUCAACAAGUGAAGUAUGAACAUCAAAGGCCUGCAGGUUUGCUUCAAAGAAUGUCAAUUCCGGAAUGGAAGUGGGAAAUGAUAGCCAUGGAUUUUAUGGUUGGUCUUCCCAAGACUUUGGGGAAGAUUGAUUUUAUUUGGGUAAUGGUUGAUAGAUUGACCAAGUCAGCCCAUUUUAUUCCGGUAAGAAUAGAUUAUAAUGUUGAACAAUUGGCUAAAGUUUAUGUGAAAGAGAUUAGUGAGGUUGUAUGGGGUGCCCCUCUCUAUCAUCUCAGAACAUGGUACCCAAUUCACCUCCAAGUUUUUGAGGAAAUUGUAUGAUGAAUUGGGCACACAACUCAAUUUUAGUACAACCUUCCAUCCACAGACUGACGGGCAAUCAAAGAGGACUAUCCAAGUGUUAGAGGACAUGUUGAGGGCAUGUAUGAUUGAUUUUGGAGGACAUAGGGAUUAGUUCUUACCUUUGUUUGAAUUCUCCUAUAAUAAUAGUUAUCACUCCAACAUAGAUAUGGCACCAUUUGAGGCACUCUAUGGGAGGGGAUGUAAAUCACUCAUAGGAUGGUUUGAGGCUAGGAAUGUGAAACAUUUAGGGGUUGAUUUAGUGAAGGAUGCUCAAGAUAAGGUGAGGAUUAUUCAAGCUAAGUUUUUAGCAACACAGAGUAGACAAAAGAAGUAUGCGGAUCAUAAGGUAAGAGACACACAUGUUUAAAUCGUUUCCAAGUUUUAGUAUGUGUGAUUUAUUAAAGAAAGAUAAUAGACUUGGUGCUUGAAGUCGACUAAAAAAAUGUUGUUUUGAUCAUCAUACUGAACAUUGGGGCAAGGGAGUGCUAUUGAAUCGAGAACUGUAUUCAUAGUUAUUCUUUAGAUUCUUACACAACUUAAUUCAUGUUCUCCAGGGAAGACAAGGGGAUGAUAUCAAUGGUUUGUUAUCGACAAGCAAGGAUGAUUUUCAACCUCCAAAAUUCAAGGGAAGUGCAAAAACAACCUUCCAAGCUCUUUUCACCUUCCCUCUCUGAGCUAAUACACUAAGGUGAGAGACUGCAAAGAGUUUAUGGAUUUAGGACGUUUCGUCUUGAGCUGCCUAAUAAUUCUACUUUUUGCACUUGGAAGGAUCUCUCUUGAAACACAUAUUAGAGUCAUGGGAUCCUAUAUUUCGAUGACUUGUAAAGACGAGAAUUGUUUGCAAGGUCAUUAGAUUCAUUUACAUGUAUGUAUUGCAUUCUUUCGAAUGUGCUCUUGACUGACAAUUCUUGUAUUUUUGAAUAAUAUCUUGAUAUCAUCA